This 91189-nucleotide long non-coding RNA is filed under the name Populus trichocarpa (black cottonwood). Its description in RNAcentral is "long non-coding RNA (PTRI_LNC001570)". Lineage: Eukaryota; Viridiplantae; Streptophyta; Magnoliopsida; Malpighiales; Salicaceae. The record is from RNAcentral.
UUGACAGAAUACACACUGCGGCUGAUUGGUUCAGAUAUAGAACACUACAUAAGGAAGCUGCUAUAUGAUGGAGAAAUCAAAUACAACAUGAAUGCAAGGGUGCUGAAUUUCAGCAUGGGGAAACCACGCAUUCUAUUUAACAACGAUGGUCAGCUGCAGGAUGUAUAAUCACAAGAUACAGAUAGGGUGGCCAGACAAAUGUAUGAAGUUGUGACUUGGUAUGUUUGAAUACAGUUUCUUCCUCAUGGCUUAUCUCCACGAGCUAAUCAUGCAUAAAUGCUGAGGAUAGUAACGAAGAGAGUUGCACAAACUCAAAUGCAGAUUUCAUGCAUUUGUAGACUGUGAAAAACAUUGCUGAUGAUAACAUCACCUGCAUGAUGAUCAACAUAAGAUUUGCCAAUAGCUUUAGUUUCAAAUCUUCUAGACCCACUCCACAAGUCUACAUCUGCCAAAGAUCACCAUACUCCCUUUCGUUAUAAGGCUUUUCAAGAAUUUUAUUUAGUUCCUCUCUAAAUUUACCAGAAACUCCAUUGUCCCUCCAAUCCUCAUCCCUCAUUUGCCAAUCAUAAAUAGAACAUGGAAAGCAUAUUAAUUUCAGCUGUUAGAAUUGUGAUAACAUGAAUAAUUUUAUAGCAGACAAAAUGACACAUAAAGAAAAGAAAGGAUUGGAGCAGGAAAAGAUGCAUUACCUCUAAAAUGCAUCCUUUUGAAGUCACAAAUGGAGUAUCAUUUCCAUCAAAAAAUUGAGUGGUGUCCGUGACAAUCACCUCAGAAUCAGAUGAACUCUGUUCACCCUCUUCAUAUAAAACUCCUUUUCCACUUUUGAGGUGCAAAUACCACAUACCCACCAUCUUUUUUGCAAAAAUUCAAAAACAAUUGGUUACUAUGAUCCACCAUAUCCAGAUUCAUCUCACAUUUGUGUUUGCAAUUUGUUGAACUAGGAGCUUGUGGCUAGGCUUUUUACUUGCAUACAUGGAACUGCAUUCAAGGACUGCCUUUUGAAUUCCCUUUCAACAGCCGAAUUCCCCCUUGGCUGAAAGACCCUUCAUUUUUCUUUGAGUUUCCAUCCUACAAUUCUCCAUAUCCAAAUGCAUCUUGCGUUUGCGCUUGCAAAUAUUCAAAAUUUCAAACCAAUAGCUUCUUGACUAUGCCAUUUCCUUGCAUGUACAUAGAUUCCUUUCUCGCCUUGCUUAUAACUGCCGAAACCUUUCUUUCUGUGGAUGGAACAGCCCCUGAUUUUCUUUGAUUUUCUGUUCUAUGAUUCACCAUCGUCAAUUUCACCUUGUGUUUGUGCUUGGAAUUAGUCAAACCAAGAACUCCUGGACUAGACCUUUUACUUGCACAUUCAAUUGCUCUAGAAGAGGUAUGAUCCACAGCUUCCACGUUCAAAUUGCUUUCAACUGCCGAAACCUUUUUUUCUUUGGAUGGGACAUCCCUCAAUACUGUUUGGGCCAUAUCCAAUUUCAUCUCGUGUUUGCGCUUGCAAUUAGUAGCGCCAAGAGCUCCUAGACUAGGCCUUGCAAGCACGUCCAUCUGCUCUGCACGAAAUAGGAUUCACAUAUUCCUUUUUCAUCUUGCUUUCACCACUGAAACCUUCCUUUCCCUUGCUGGAACAUCCCCCAAUUUUCUCGGAGCUUCCAUUCUCUCGCUUAUCGGAUCAAUCUUCAACAAUUUCCUAGUUCCUGUGUUCAUGCUCUUUGGACAGUCUCUCUCAGUGUCUGGUUUCUCAAUGUGACACCGAUCAUAUGCCCCAUCUUGUGAAGCAGAACUAACAGUUAUUGAUAUCUCAUUCAUCAAUGAAAUCUCAAGAACACAUGAUUUCACAUCGUGUCUAUAAUUAUCCCAGAACAUCUUAUAGUCAGGAUCUUCAUCAUUAUCAGCACCAUCACCUAGAGACCCAUCAUCUGCACUAUUACCAUCAUCCCCUGCUUCUUCACCAACAAUGCCAUUAUUGAGAUGCCCAUCAUCAACAAUAUCAUUAUCUCCAACCCUAGCAUUAUCUCUACCAAGACUAGCAAAACCAUCAGCCAGAGAAAAAGGAGUAGCAUCACCAUCAAUGGACCUAGUAUCCAAAUCAACACCAUCCAUAGCCCCAUUACCACCAAUAUUAUUCUCUACAAGUUCAUUAACAAGGUCAACAUUGACAUCACCUUUAUCAGUUAACCUAUCACCAUUUCUUUUCUUGGAUAAAGAAGUCUUAAUAUCCACACAAGCAUCACAAUCACUAUCAACAUACAGCCCUUCAUCUAAAUCCUUUAAAAACUUCUUGCUAUGUCAACCUCAAUGUUGUCAUCAUCAUCUAGUAUAAUAUAGCUACUACUCUUGGGUGCAUUUGUUGGCGACUCAAUACAUUUACCACCGCUGUAUCUUUGUUGGGAUGAAGAAGAGUUGAAGUCAAGACAAGCAUCAAUAUCAACAAAAAGACCUCUAACUAAAUCAUCAUAAAACUUCACGUAAUCUUCACAAUGAAAAUGGCUGUCAGGGCCAUCCUUUUGAAUACAAACACUUUCAUGGCUGCUCUUCAGAGCCAUAAUGUCUUUACAAAUGUUGCCUUUUCCAUUCAAAUUGACCUUGAAACUUUGAGUGCCACUAUUCCUUCUCCUCAACCUCCGAUUCAACCUCUCAUCAUGCAUGCAAUCAAACCCUUUAACAUCUGGAACUACUCCCAACCCUUUUCUUUUAAUAGAUCCCAUUAACCCCCCCACACCAAAAAAAAAAAAAGUUCUUUGCUAAAUACAUAUAUAUAUCAACUUAUUAAACCCCCUUGUUUUCAUGAAAAAGACGAGCAUCAAAAAACACAACCAGUUGACCAAUAAAAACAAACAAGAAAUCCCAGUUUUUCACAAAAAUUUUUUUUAAAUAAAUAAGAAGAAACUAAUAAACCUUAAUUAAUCCAAGAGGAACAGUAACAAAACACACCGUUUACAAAGGAAAAAUUGUCUAAACUUCAGGGAAGACCUUAAAUAUAACAAGCACGUGGACUUUUAGUCAAAGAAAAUACAUAGGUUUUCGUCUUCACAAACAGUAAAAUAUCUUCCUUUACUCUCUUGCUUUCCCGUAAACCACACAAAAACAUCGUAAUUACAGAAGGGGAAGAAGAGUCACAUGUCUUCCUCAUGUGUCCUCUUAACCUUUUUCUUGUUGCUGUAGACAAAACUCCAUGGGCAUGGUGAUGUACAUUCACUUCUUUAUUCAAGUGGCUUUCUUAAUGAAUGGUAUGCCUCAAUGGUUAUUGCAUAUGUUUUGAUCAUGCCCUUUCAGAACGUGAGUAGAAAUACUUAGAAUCCAUAUUAUGUUGCUAUAUAAAAAAAAGACCCUGGAAUAUCCUCACCUCUUUGGCGGAUAUUUGUGUUAAGAUUAUAUGCUUCUGGUUUGCAUGAAAAACGUUGGUUAAUGAGGAGGAUUUCCUUAAGCUUUGUUGAUUAUUUGUUUUGUUUCUAACUUUGAAAGUAGUAUAAAUCGAAGAACAAUUAAGAUCCACUCAGUUUUUAUGUGUCUGUUUAGGUGAUGGAUACAUGGCUUGCUUAUGCACCAGUGAAGAACAACCCUGAGGAUGCUGCCAAGGUAAAACAAAAAAAAAAAGAUUGUUGGUCAUCAUAAAUUGUUCCUGUUCUCAAUUUUGUGCUACUUAAAAUAGGCUACUGAAGUUCCAAAUGUGCUUAAAAGAGGUUAUUGCCGGCCUUCCGACUUCAGAGUCCAUUCUGGGGAUUGCAUACAUCAUUUGCCUACUUUAUUUUUCUGGAGACAACUUUUAGCUGCCCAGUUUGGUGGUGGCAAUUAGUUUUUUUCAUUUGUGGCCUUCGUCCCUGAUACCUAAUUCUACUCAGUCUCACACCACCUAUUCCAACUUGACUUCAAGCCAGAAGGUAAAAUCUUGAGUGGUUCUGUACUGUACUUAAUUUGCUGGACGUUGCAUUGGUUGAUAUAGCUGACAUAUAUACAUAUGCAUACUGUCUUUGAGAUAAAAAAAAACAUGUGGAAAAAGUCAACGAAUAAAAUUAAAAAAAAAACUAAAAACUAUCAUGAAUGGUUGUACAAAAAGAUUUAUAAUAUUAUUCAAGAAGUAAGUAAAAGUAAGAUGGGGUUAAUUAAAAUAAAAUCUUCAAUAUAUUUUUAAUUAAUUUAUUUUAAAGAAAUCUUAUUAAAAUAGAAGAAAAAAACAUAAAACCGGAAAAAAAAAGUGGUCAACUGCCUUGGCUUGUAUGGGCCAGCACACCUAACCUAUAACAAAGAACGCUAGAAUCGCAUGGGCAGACAUGCUUGCUUGACCUUUUUUUUUUAAAAUGGGUGGAGGAUUAGUCAUCCAUCUAUUUUGUUUUUAAUAAAACAACUUGUCUUUAACAAUGGAACUCUAAAGACAGAACAAAACCAGAGAUUGCUGAAAAGUCGAGUCCCAACCUCUUGGAUUAAAAAAAAAACACAUCUUCAAAUCUUUUUUCACCUAAAAUAAAUAAAUAAACAACCCAUAAACAUAAUAUAUAUAUAUAUAUAUAUAUAACCUCUAAUAAACCUUUAAUUGGUCAAAAAACUACAAUAUUAUAACUAAAAAGAUUAAAAUAGAAGUCAAUGAAGAAUAUUUGGACAAAAGUGUACCUUUCAUGCAAAUUUUAGAAAAGACAUGCUUUUUUUAUUUUAAAUUUGAUGAUUUUUCUCUUAAUUUUCUCUUUAAUUUUAUCUUUGUGCUAUAAAUUCAAACUUUACCUUGUUAAAUUUGCUUCUAAUGAAGUUCAAAAACCUAAUAGAAACCUUUAAUCCUUUAAAUAUGCAAGCAGAAGAAACCAUCAACUCAAAAAACACCAUAAACAACAGGUGUAAUCCAAAACAUUAAUAAUGAUAAUAGAAAAAGAAAAAGAUCUACAAGAUGGACAAUUAACGGGUCAAACACACUACAGUAAGGUUAAGCAAGAAACACAAACAACCCACAAACUAAAUGAAAAAACAAGGAUCUUUCCAAGAAAAAAAUUUAAUUUCAGUUCAUAUGCAGAGAUUACUUGAAACCCAUGUUGAAACCCAUGUUAGUGCAACAAUUUAUCAUCACAAUUACUUAAGAACCGCCAAAACCUAAAUCCACUCCAAAAUUACAAGAGCUAAGGCUAUGUUUAUUUCUUGAAAAGUGGUUUUCAGGAAAUCAUUUUUCAAACUUUUCUAUAUUUGUUUGCUAUUAAGAAAGUUGGUCAACGGAAAACACUUUCCAGUCAAAGAAAAAUUUGGCUUUGUUUCUAUGAAAGUGUUUUCCUGAAAAAUUUGGGCGGAAAACACUUUCCAGAAGUUAUAAAAAAUUUAGAAAUGUCAUAUUAUUUGUUAAUUAUAUCAAAUUUGAUCCUCAAACUUUUGAUUGCUAUAUAUAUUUUGUUUUGAAUAUUUAUUUUUCAAUUUCAUCUCUUAAAAUUUAAUUUUUAUAUUAACUUUGGUCCUUAUUUUUAUAAUUGUUAUUUGCUUUUUCCUUAUCAUUUUUUUAUUGAAAUUUUUUAUCUAUCAAAUUUGAUUCUCAUUCUUUUGAUUGUUACUUAUUUUAUUUGAAGUAAUUUAUGAAAUGUUAAUUAUUAUUAUUUUAAUUUCUUCAUCUUUUAUUUUUUUUAUUUUUUAGAUUUGAUCUCUAUUAUUUUGAUUAUUAUUUAUUUUAUUUGAGAUAAUUUAUGAAAUUAUAUUUUUUUUCAAUUUCAUUAUCAUUCAACUUUUUAAUUUGUAAGAUUUGUUUCUCAUUAUUUUAAUAAACUUAAAAAAAAUAAAAUAUUAAUAUGUUAUUUUCCAGCUCAUUUUCCAUGACAUAACUAAGUACUGAAAAAUGUUUUCUAAUUUAUUUUUCAUUAUACUACCAAACAUCAGAAAAUAAUUUAUUUUUCUGGAAUUCAAUUUCUCGAAAUUCACUUUCUAAAAAAAAAAAUAUUUUCCAACAAACAAAUAGAAACUAGAAAGAAGUGAAAUCUAUGAAAAACUCACCGAGAUGUUGAAGUAGAGAUGAUGUAGAAGAAAAUUACGUCAACCAAAAGCUUGAUUUCUUCGAUCGGUGCUUGUUACGCCAUGGUUUUUGAAAACUCUAGCAGCUUUGAGAGCAGAUUUGGAGCAAAUUAUGCCAACCAAGCUUGCUACCUUGUCUCUGUUCUUGGACAAUGAGCAGCUGUGUGCAAGAUUAAGAGGAGAUCAGUCGGGUUAAAAUAUCUUACACCAAAAGAAGAAUAGUCACUUGUUAAUGGUUUAUUGAGAUCUAAAACACCCCAGACAAAGUUUAAGAAGAUAGUAGCUUCAGUAAUAUAUCCAUGGUGGUUUCUUUUCCAAACAAUAGCUGAUACAAAAAAAAGAGAGUAAAGGAACCAAGAAUGAUCAGAUUCAAAUGUAGAAGCAAAGGAAAUGGGCUUACAGUAGAAUAGCAGCUGGUUCUACUGUAAAACACAAUUUUUGUUUCUGCCAUUCCCUUUCCCUCUCUAAAUUCUUGCUCAACUCAACUGAAACUGAUGCGGGUAUCCAAAGACAAGGAGAUGGGGGCUGGAAGGCCGACGUUGGUGAGGCUAUUAUUUCAGUUUAAAAGUGUAAUGUUUUUUUUUUUUUAAUACAUUAAAAUAAUAUUAAAAUGAUUUAAAAAGUACACAGUGUCUAACACCCUUUAACAUAGUAUCAAUAUUUCAUCAAACGGUGAAAGAUGAGGGGCGGCUGCAGCAAUAUUUUCCAGGAAGAGAUAGGGUUUGUUUCUUUUUCAAGGGAGGUGGUAUUUAUAUUUCAAAUGAAAACAUAAAAACGUUAUUAAAAUCAUGAUUUUACUGACUUCAAAUAAUUUCAAUUUUAUUUUAUUAGUUUUUGAGUUUUUAAAAUGAUUUUACAUAAUAAAUAUAUAUACACUGACAUGUAAAAUCAAUAUUCUCAAUUUUAAACCAUCUAGGUGGUGACCUAGUGGUAAAAGUUUGGGAUCAAGAGGUUUGCUCCCUCUGUGGUCUCAGGUUCGAGCCCUGUGGUUGCUCAUAUGAUUGUCAUUGGAGGCUUACAUGGUCGUUAACUUCAGGGCUCGUGGGAUUAGUCGAGGUGCGCGAAAGCUGGCCCGGACAUUCAUGUUAAAUUAAAAAAAAUUUCUUAAUUUUAACAACAUUGUACAGUGUCUAAAAAAACAGAUUUCCAUGGACGGACGAUAGAGAGAAAGGGACAAAAUGUAGUUUUGGUCUGUGAUUAGUAAAUGGAAAAAUUAAAUGGAUCGUUUCAAUUUAAACCUCGUGUGUCGUGGCCAAAUAAAAGUGGUUAAAGAUUUCGAGCGUAGUUGUGGAUGUGAUUGUUUUUUAAAAUAUUUUUUAUUUAAAAAUAUAUUAAAAUAAUAUUUUUUUAUUUUUAAAAAAUUAUUUUUGACAUCAGCGUAUUAUAAUAUUAUAAAAAAAUAAAAAAAAAUUUAAAUUUAAAAUAAAAAAAAUUAAAUUUUUUUUAAAUACUUUUUUAAAAUACAAGCUAAAGUUCUGGAAAAAUCAACCCACAAGGCACACGAAACUCGAGACUUGGCAUUUAUCACGACUCGUAUGAAGCUUCUUGCAAGUUUCCUCGACCAUUAUUUCAGCAGAAAAAAAUUGCUUUCUGAUUUGCAUUCUUCGUGUCUCUCCCCUGUAAAGAAGUCCAUAUGGGGCAUCUAUAUAUAUAUAUACACACACACACAACCUCUCCUAUCUUAAUGUUAGGUCAACAAUACGUGCAGGCUAGUAUGUUGGCGGAAUAAAAAUAGCAUCUCAUCUUCUUUUGUGUUGUUCGGUGAUUCUUGAGUUAGGUGCAUCAUGUGUCUCCUUAAAACAAAUGACUUGCACCGGAUUUUCCAAGAACUUGACAGAAAUGGUGAUGGUCUCUUGAGUGCAGUGGAGCUUAAUUGGCUUCUUGAAAGCAUCGGAGGAGUCCAUUUUAGCCUGGAGGAGCUUGAGUCUUCGGUGGGGAAGUCAUGCCUCAACUUUGAUGAGUUCUUGUUAUUCUACGACUCCAUAACAAAGCAAAGCGGUGGCGGAAACAGCGAGGCAGUAGUAGCAGAUGAUCAGGAGGGCUGCAACAGGGAGGACUGUGACCUUGUUAAGGCAUUUCAGGUGUUUGAUUCUAACGGCGACGGAUUCAUUUCUAUCGAGGAGCUUCAAAGCAUGCUGUCAAGACUUGGAUUAUGGGAUGAGACGACUGGCAAGGAUUGUAGAAGUAUGAUUUGUAGAUAUGAUACGAACUUAGAUGGGGUUCUUGAUUUUGAGGAAUUCAAGAAGAUGAUGCUUCAUACCAGUUCUUAAUUAAUUAAUCAUUUUUGGGGCAGUCUAGGACUCUAGAGGUUUGGAUUUUUACCUUAGGUUUGGAUUUUUACCUUAGAUUUUUUAUGGUCGGCCUCUUAGACCUCACUGGCCGUCGAUCUUGGAGGCCAGCUUUUAAUGCUAUAUGUAUCGCUUUCAUACUUGUUGAAUGUAGUUGUUAUGGUACAUCUAUGUAUGUACAGCAGAAUUUUCAGGGAGUUAUAUCAGAACUGAUUUCCGGUUGCCACACUUUGUCGUUUAAUGUAGGAUUUUAUUUUUUAUUUUGGAAAAAAAUAGAUAUCUUUUAAUUAAUUUUAUUUUUUUUAUUUUGUAUUAUUAUACCUUUCUAGGUUUUUUCCUAUUUAAUAAGAAUAUUUUUCUUAUUUUAUUUUUUCUAUUCAAUAUAAUUAGUAUUUUUCUAUAUAAAAUGUUGCAAUAAUCUCUUAAUAUGUAAAGACAUGAAUUAAUAAAAUUAAAUAUUUUUGAGAUAUUUUGAGAAUCUAUCAAUGGUUAUGGUGUUUUUUUAUCUUUAAUGGUUUUAACUUGUAACAAAUCUUGUUAUCCUUUUGUUCUUAAUGUGUUGGUUGAUAUUAGAGCAUAAUAAUUCAUGGUGGUUUUGAUUGGAAAUCAUAGAGGAGUUGUUUCAAAACUCAAUGAUUUGAUUCUUGUAAAUCCUUGUGUAAACAUAGGGCCAAAGAUAGUAAUAGCUCAAUAAAACCUUGUCCCCAGCUAAUAAAACUAGCCCAGAACACAACUUUCCACCCUAUAUAUACCACCUCUCUUUCACUGGUACAACACCUUACACUACAUCUACACUUCAUUCCAAUUAGAAACCACAACUAAGGACCACCACAUGAGCCAUUACCGCCAUUGUUUUUCCUCUCACAUAGUUCACAGUACCAGCCACACCAACAAUGGUAGCAAGGGCAACUCAAAGCCAGAUAAUAUUUCCUUCCACCCUCCUCAUGUAAUGUGAUGUUUAGGGCUAGUACUAAUUGCUUACAUGGUUAUAAAGAGAAGGGGAGGUGCUGAGAAUGCAUGAGGCAAGAAAUGGCUUUAUUAAUGGAAUUUUAUAUGCCAAGUGAUGGCUCUCGGGUUGGGUUGAGUAAGAAAUAAUAGGGGUCGGGCCUCUUAUUCAAGCCCAACCCGUAUAAUUGAGCUAGGUUAUAUAUAUAUAAUCAAUCAACAAUGCAACUUAUCGCAAAUAGGGUGCACUGAGGUAAUGCGUCUUUUUUAUGCAUAGCUAGUCCCCUUACUCAGACUCUCGCAGACUAAUAGACUUUCUAGUGACCACCAUUAUACUAGGUAUUGGCUCCUUUAAAUCAUGAUUUUAUUAUUAAUUCCAAUACAUUCCAAAAACCCCUCGAUCCAAGAGGCAAAUCUAUCAUUUGAAGUCGUGUAUGCCACGACAAAGGUUAUAAAGAAUGAAGAGAUUGUUAGGUUAUGGAACGUAAAGGUGAUUAUAGCGAGUAUAUGAACUGUUAAUUUAUAUUUUUCAUAAGGCAAGGUGUUGGAAGUUACCCAGCAUUCUUGUAAAGGAUAUGAUGUGUUUAUUGUUAAUUUUUAUCAUGGAGAAUUAUAUGUGAAUGUUGUGUUUUGCAAAAAUUCAUCAUAUAUCGGACUAGCUGAGGAACCGAGAUUAAUGCACGGCUAGUUUUUUGAUAGAAUCAUUGUUUAAUUAUAUUUCUCAACAUGGAUAAGGUAUAAUUUUGAUGUCAUAAAUAGAAUAUGGAUAUGUUAUUAAUUAUGUCGUAAAAGUGAAAUAUUUAUUCAAGGAAAAGUUGUAUAUAUUUUGUUAAAUGUAUUUUCUUUUAGUGGAUGAUAUGUGUGAAUGAUAUUGCUAAAAAUGUUAUUUAUUCAAUUGAGUGCCCUAAGGCCCAUACUUAAAUAUAAAUUGUUUGUGAAUGGGAUUAGAACUCCCAAUUGAUUAUUAUACAGGUUAUUAGGAGAAAAAAAGAAUUGUUUAGUGACUCAGACAGAGAAAACUCUACCGAAAUUUUAUCUAAGAUGUAUUAUUGAAAGGUUAAGACUUGAAUAUGAUUACAUUGUUAGAUUACCGAUGAAAAACAAUUACCAUGUUUCCUGAGAUCAAGGCUCAAUUGUCUUAAAAAAAUUCAAGGUUAUAAUUUUUGUUGGUUAGUUGUUGUAUGUUGUUGAAUAACUAUAGUCGAAAAAAGUCAUAGAACAUUAUGUGCUUGUGUAGGAGGGGAUGGUGAGGUCCUCCCUAAAAAAAAAUACGUCCAAGAACUAGCUAUUGUUUUUGUUUGUUUCGGUUGUUGUCAUUGGAAAUCUUGGUAGUGGGACUUCUUAUGGGAUGACUUGCCCGAAGGUCUUGUGUUAGAAAUCCAUGAUGGAGCAACUCACAUAUAGAUAUUGUGUUAGGGACUCAUGAUUUGGUGGUCUGCAUGAAGAUGUUAGGAAAUCACGAUAGGAUGGACCACACAUAAAAGGAUGUUUGCGGUGGAUGACGAUCAUUGAAUGAGGUUUGAACUCGAGGAUGAGUUUCUUCUAACCCAGAGAUACUAAUUUAGGAGAUUUUUAGGGAAAAUAAAUAUUUUUCUCAAUUAAUUUUAUUUUAUUUUUAAUUUUAAUUUUGUAUUAUUAUGCUUUUCUAGUUAUUUUUUCUAUUUGAAGGAACACUUUUCUUGUUUUGUUUUUUAUUCAAUAUUAUUAGAGUUUUCUAGUUUUUCUAUAUAAAGAAUUGUAAUAAAUUCUUAACAAGUUAAGACAUAAAUAAAUAAAAUUAAGAACUUUAAGAUUUCUUAAUUUUAGAGGGUCUCAAGUCCUCCUUCCUCUGAAUAUAUAUAUAUAUAUAUAUAUAUAUAUAUAUAUAUAUAUAUAUAUAUAUAUAUAUAAUUUGGUGUCUGCAAUUUGUAUACACCAUAAAGUCAUUAGAUUUUCCAUUCGCAUCUAGAAAGUCCAACAAGUAUUGCAAUAUUCUAAUUUUAUCUUAUUUUUUAAUCAUAAGAUAGUUUUACUUUAAAAAAUGAACCAAAUAAUAUUCAUGCAUGAGAUAGAGAAUUCUAAAUCCAAUAUUUAUAAUAUUUUUCAUGUUAUAAUUAAUUAAUGAAGCAUAUUCUUCCUCGACUCGUUUAACAUAUUGAAACCAGUAUUUAUAAAUAUUUAUUAAAUUAUUCUUAAUGUAGCAGAUAAAUAUAGAAGAAGAGCAAGAACAAAAGGCUAUUAAUUUACUAACGCCAUGGGAGUUUCCGAGAAAACACCCAGGAGUCAGGACAGACCAUCGUACAACCGUACAAGUCAAUGUCCUUUUAUCGCCUUAUUAAAUUAUUCCGUUGACCAAAAGAUCCAAUUUCCUCCCAAGAAAAGAAAUAUAUUAUAACUGUCAAUGCCAAGCGUGGCCAGCGGACGUACGCAAUUGGCUCGGAAAGAGCCACGCAAGUUACUCCAAUAUUUACGUGAUCCAGUCACAUUCAUUCAAUUAAAAUGGGCUGAUGCAUGCAUGGCAAAUUGACUCCACCCGUUGAUCUCUAAAAUUCUGAAGUCUGGUUUUAUGACUCUGACGUGGAUUUGAAUUGAAUUCCAAAUUGCAUUUUAUAAAAAUUUGAAUUUUUUAUUUAAAAGUUAUGUUUUUAAUAUUUUUAAAAAAAUAUUUUUUAAAAAUAAAAAAUAUUAUUUUAAUUUAUUUAUAAAAAAAAUAUUUUGAUAAACAAUCACUAUCAUAAUUCUUAAACAUUGAUAGUGUUAUAUUUGUUUUUUCCUGUAUAUUUAUUUUUCAAAUUAUUCCACUUUGCCAUUUUCUUUGGAACAUGGUAAAUACAUGGGCUCCGUGACUAUAUUAAAAUAGAUUAUUAAAAAAAUAUUAUUUUAUCUCCAUGACUUUUCUCAAUACUUUUAUAAAAAAAACCCCAAAAGUGUCAACAUUAAGUAUAUUAAAAUAUAAACGGGUUGUUGAAAUGAUUUUUUUUAGUCCACUUAAAAAAACAAUAUUUAUACUAUUCUAAAAAAAUAUUUCAAGAAUUCGACUUUUCCAGGCCAGGGAGGAAAAUUCAGAGUCAAUUUGAUUUACUUUUAUACUAACCAGACUCGUUGUUUGUGAAUUAUGCUUAUGGUGAUGAUUAAACUCCAAUUUCCUUCCACGUCGUUGUCUAAAACGUUGCAUCACAGUAUUUUGUGGGUGCCGAUUGAUCAAAGUAGAAUAAUUUCGUUGAAACUGAUUUUGCUAGAAUUGAAUGAGAAAAUGACCACUUCCAGUUUGAUAAACCCAGCAGGCUUUGCCAUGAAAGAAGUGUCAGCGAAAUUAUAUAUUACUACCAACCAAGAGAGCCGGCAAAGAUUCAUAUUUUCUUGGAACAUCAAACCUUGGAGUUAUUCAAGAUGCUUUAUUAAAUAUUAUACAUGUAAUAAAUUCUUAAGAUUUUUCUAGAGUAUGAUGUAGUCUCAACUAGAUAGUAGCACGCAGUAUCUCGUGGGCCGGGAUGAAAUUUUUUGAUGAAAAAAAGAUAAAAAAAAAUUCAGUCAUUCAUCUAUUUGGAUCCAAUAAAAUAACUUCAUCUAAUUAUAUGAUAUAAAAAAAAACAACGAUAAAUGAACUGAAUCAAAAAAUAAAAAAAAAUCCGAGUCAAUUUAAAUUAGCAUGUCAAACCUGCAUCCUUGAUAGUGAGGCCUGAAUAACCCUGUAGGAAGAAAAUUGAAAAAACAUUAUGAUGUCUAAUUUCCAACAAUUCAAAUAUAGAAGCAUGAUAUUAAAAAAAAAAUCAAUUAAAAAAAGGAUUAAAAAACACUAAUAAAACCGAGUAAGACUAUCAAACCUCGCGAGCUAGAUCAUAGAAGGAAAAAUAGGAGAAACUAUGAUGUUCAAUUCUCAAACUAACAUAAUAUUGAAGGAUGUAAAUGAAAAAAAAAUAUUCAAUCUAAAAAAAUAAUCCAAAACAAACCUCAGUCACCCAAGCUAACCCGUCAAACCCACAACUUAAGUCAUGAUACUUAGAAAGAAAAGCAAAGAAAAUCACGAAACUCAUUUCUCAAUAAACCCAAUGUUGAAAGAUGAAACUGAAAAAAUAAUCAUUGUAAACAAAAUCUUAAAAAAAGACCAAUAUCAACCCAAGUUAGGAUCAGCCCAUCAAAAAAAUCAUGAAGUCCAAUUCUUAACAAACUCAAUAUUGAAUAAUGAAAUUUAAAAAAAUAAUUUUAAAGAAGGACCUAAAGAAAAAAAAAAUUAAAAAAUGAAAACCAAAUUUAAAACAAAAAUAGAAUGAUAAGACAAAAAAAAAUUGGUAAAGCUGUGCAAAUUUCGAUGAGAGAAAAGAGAGAGGAGAAGGCCAGUAAAAAGAAAAAAGACCUCCACGCGCCACCAAUUGUCACAUGUGCCACAUCACCAAGAAGAUCUUGCUACGACGCUUACAAUGCAAGUGCGGAUGGCGGUGUUAUGCCAUUGGAUAAAGGCUCAUGCGCUGCCAAAACACGAUAGCUAACCUCAACACGUGACAACUAUUUUGCACUGCCAGUUUAACCUAGCCCACCAUAUUGUUUUUACUUUAAAUUUUGGUUUCAUAAAACUUAAUUGUUUUACAUGAACAUAAUUUUAGUUUAUUGUCAAACCAAGCAUCAAUCGAGCGCUAUAAUUUUCCCUCAACAUUGCAAGAAACUCAUAUAUGGGCAACCAUAACAAGCUACCAAGUCAAAUAAAAAAAAAAAUAUGAAAUUAUUAAAUUAGAAAAUUAGUCCCUUAAUGCUAGCAUAUAAAAGGGAUUGAACAAUUGUUUAAUCUUUAAUUUCAGUCACUAAAUCUCUAAUUCUUGUAAAUCAAUGAAAUUAAAUUUGUUUGUGCUAAACGAAGCAUCAACCAUGCGAUAAAAUAUUCCCCUGACAUUGCAAGGUCCCCAUACAUGGGCAUAAAAAUAAACCACAAAGAUUAAUUUCAAGUCAUCACAAUAUUAAAAAAUCAAAUUAAAGGAACAAAAAAAAAAACUUAAGGACCCAAAAAAAAAAACUGAAGGAUCAAAAAUAAAUUACUUCCAUUGUGUGAAUCUACUAUGAAAGUUCUCCCAUGCCACAAUAAAAGAUUAUAAAAGAAUGAUGUCUUUUAGUUUUUUUUUAUUAUUAUUAACAUAGAAACUUUUAUAGUAACAAAUAUAUUUUUGCAGUCACCAAACCAGGCCUGAGCUAAUAUAGGGUCUGGGAUAGUUUAGACUAAUUAUCAAAAUAGGCCUAGUUCACGAUGGAUUGGCGAGCCCAAGGCCUGCCCUAGCAACAGCAGUCGAAGUUUCUUCCAUCAAGUGGGUCUCUUUUCUGCAAAUUGUCCCACAACUUGUUUUUUAUUCCAAUAUAUUUGUUCAUUUAUUUUGUUGUAGAUAAGGACAGAAUCUGGGUUAAUUAGCUUUGCACAUCCCUGUACUCUUAAAGUUUUCUUAAUAUGGUCCUUUAUCAAUUAAUUUUUUUAAUCCAAACCUCCUACUUGAACAACAUAGCACUCUUUAAUGGGAAAACAUAUUAAUGAAAGGACUAUAUUAAGAAAAUUUCAAAAGUGAAGAAAUAUCAAAGUUAAUUAACCAAAAGAACCAAUCCAAAACGAUUCUAGGUUAAGACUGGUAAGAGGGAUUAAUUAGGUUUAAUAUGAUUCUCCAAUUUAAGCUAUAUUACUUAACUAGGCCCUUUUAUCUAGUUUUUAAAGUUAAAUACCAGUGAAAUUAUGAAAAACCUCAUACAAAAAUUGAGCUUUUUAAGGGCUAUGAUCCUGGGUCAAGAUUGUGUUUGGACUUGAUUAUUUCUAAGAAAAUAAGUUCUUCAUGGAACAAGAAACUCUUCGAUAUGUAAGUCAAUAAACACAUGAAAAAAAUAUAAAAAUAAAUUAUUGAAGAGUGAAAUGUUAAGUUUGAGAAAAUAAUCUAUAUUUGUUUAUUUGAUGACCCAAAAUAUUUAUAGAUCUUGAUCACGUCAGCUUAUCUUGGUCAAUUGCAUAACAAUUAUUCAAUGAAAAAACUAGCGUGUAGUUACAGAUAAUUUGUCAGUGAAUAAGGUUGUGUUCUGACUCCUCAAAACUUAAAAAGAUAUUCAAAUAUGUGCGUAUUAAGUAGUUUGUGUGGUAAAAUUAGUGUGUGGAGUUGUAGUUAUUUGGGUCACGACUCAAACCUGUUUAGGCCUCCGAACAGCAACAAGGGUGAUGGGCUGUAUCCAUUUGGCUGCAACUUGAAUAUCUGAGUAUCAUGAGUGUUGCCUUUUAAUUUUAUUUUAUUUAUAAAAAAGUUUAUUCAUUAUCAAAAUACUAAUAUGGUUUGAUAAGUGGUGUAAUUAUUCAUUUUCUCGAGGAUUAAGUUAUUAAUAGCCUCUUUAUUAAAAAAAUGAAAAUUUAUUAACGACCUCUCGUCUUAAUUACGUAGAUUGCAUUAAAAAAAUCACCCUCAAUAGUAAAUUAAUAAAUAAAGGAAGAAAAUCAAACCACUCCGUAUCGCCACCAUUGUAAACACUUCUUGGCAAGCAAACUCAAUUUGAUGGCAAAAUGAAAUAUCCAAAUUAUAUUUAAUGACAAUUUCUUCCUCACUCUCGAUUUGGGAUUAGAAUUUCCGUAAGUUUAUCUCUGCUUUCUUCUUUAUAAACCUCCUUUUCUCCCUCGAAGUAAAUAUUCAAAAUACUUAAUUUUGGAUGGUUAGAAUGAUGGAUGUGGUAAUGAUCUUGAGUCUGUGUUGAGUUUUUGGAUAGGUGGUGUUGGUUUUUUUUUUUAAUUUUUUCUAGGUAUUUUAUGCUUUACAUUUGUGGUAUGUUUGUGAUUUCUAGAUUGUUUAAAUGAAUGGUGGUGCGAUUUUGAUUUUUAAAAUUUGUUUUUAAAGCUUAAAAUGUUAAAUAAAAUUUCAAAAUAUAAUUUAUAUUUGGUUAAAUUUAUAUUUUCUUGCUAAACACAUGGACAAGUCUUGACUGAUUUAGAGAAUUCACAGAUUAGUCUAGAUUUAGUCCAUUUCUGGGUAAUUUUAAAAGUAAAUUUUCACAUGCAUUUAAUGUAAAUCUCGUGCGUGCAUGGAUGCUAAUCUUAAUUAAAAUUAAACCUAGAAAGUUAAAAAUUAGAGCAAACCUCUUGAUUGCUGAGCCAAGAUAUAAACCUAUUUACUCAUUGUUAUAGAUCAAUCCAGGGUGAAAAGUUCUUGUUUAUUCUUAUUUUAAUUGUUGGAUUACAAUACAUGUUACAGAAAUAAUAGGAUGGAGCUGUUAUUAUGAUUUUCUUUAUUUGAAUAUGUUUAUAUUUUUCAAAGCAGCAAUAGUGAGAUGUAUAUGUACUUAAUUCAAUUAUUUUUUUGGUUUUUAAAAUUAAGUGUGUGUUUGGUAUUGUGAUAUAUAUACAUGAUGUUUUUUUAAAAGUAUUUUUUUAAUUAAAAAUGUGUUAAAAUAUUUUUUUUUAAUAUGUACACAUCAAAAUCAUCUAAAAAUAUUAAUUUAAUGUGUUUUCAUGUGAAAAAUAAUUUAAAAACAUUUUAAAAAGCAAGUUGUAAUGCUAACUAAGAAGAAAUUAUAAAACAUGGUUAAUAUGUAUUUUAGUGAGAGAAACUACGAUGUCAUUUGGUAAUGCGGCCCAAACGACGUUUUACAAAAAAUUAAUUGUUUUUUGCUUAAAAUUAAUAUUUUUGGAUUGUUUUGAUUUGCUGAUAUUAAAAAUAAUUUUUAAAAAAAUAAAAAAAUAUUAUUUUAAUACAUUUUCAAACAAAAAACACUUUGACAAUAAAUUACUAUCACACUCUUAAAAAUCUCAUUAAAAGCAUCUCUAAUAGGAGAUACUAUUUAGAUGAGCUAAAGUGGUAAUAUGGUUUUUUAAUGGUAUAAAUACAUCUUCUUUUGCUUAUGUGCACUAUAAUGGUAAAAAAUCAUUUAGAAGAGCUAAAUGUAUUUUAAUAUAUUUGAUAUAUAAUUAUUUUAAUAAUAUGAUAUGACUCGAUUGACUUGACAUGUCUAAAAACAACCCGGAUGAUUCUGAAUCAACUCAAUAUUAAAAAAUAAAAUUUUAAAAAAAUAAAAAAAUAACCCGAGUCAACCCGAGCGAGCUCAUCAAACCCAUGAUACAGGACAUGAGAUCAGUAUAAUCUCAUAAACAGUAAAUGAAAAAACAUAAAUUUAAAAAAAUCAAAGGAAAAUAAACUAAUGAAGAAAAACAUUAUUUUAGCAUUUUUACAAAAGAUGUAGAAAUAACAUUUUUAUAAAAAAAAAUAAAAAAAAUAUUUAAUUUAAUAAAUUUUUAAAGUAUACAAAACAAGUAUUGAAAGGCCGAAACAAUUUUUUUUUCCUUUAGCAUCUCCAUUAAAGAUGCUCUAAAGUAGCGGACGCUCACAUCAGGCCAUGCACGCAGGACAGGACCCUCUGGAUCACGUAACGGAACUCAAGUAGGAGGACCGGAUUAAAAAACGUAAUUGACGAGGACUGAAUUAAUAACAGUAUGAAAAUAGAGGAACAUCCGAGCUAAUUAACCCUUGAGAGAGCCGAACAGAACUUAUUCCAUCGAAAGGGUCGGGUGGGAGAAUAUAUUUGGCACCCUGACGGAAAUCCUACGAGUGGCAAAGAAGCACUCGCAAACCGAACAAAGCAUCGAAUAAGAAAGGAACCGAAGGGGAAGUGAAAUGGUAUAAAACGGACAGUUGGUUGCACCUCGAUUUCUCAGUCGUGUGAAAAAGCUCAUUCAAGUCGAGGCUGAUUUAUUGAGCAGAGGUGAAGAGUGGUUGUGUAGUUAUCAACAAUUAAUCAAUCUAACAGGUAUGGUAUGCUGCCUUGUUUACCUCCUUUCAUUUUCAUAGAUUCCUUAAAGAUUGUCUCUUAGUAUUCUAGUUUUCCGUGUUUUGUGUGUGUGUGUGUGUGUGUUAUCGGGAAAAUCCUAUGUUGCUUCCUAGGCAGAUUGUUAUGUUCUCUUUCUGGGUUUGUUGACAUCCAAGUGAUGUUGAGUACCAACCAAUUUGAUUUAAUGGACUGCUUUUGAGUAAUUUGAAUCUGUUAUUGGGCAUUUCUGGUUAUUAAUGAACUGGGUUUUGCUUCAAUUUCAGGGUUAGUAUCGACGUGAAGAGAAUCUAAUAUAAAUCUAUUUGUGUAUAAUAAUUGUUAAAAAUGUCGAUUGCAAAGCCUUUGAAGAAGGCAGUAGCUGCUGUCAUUCUUGAUUUGGAUGGUACCCUUAUUCAUACAGGCCAGUUUCAGCAAUUGGAUUCAUUUUCAGCUUUUACUUUCAUCAACAUUUCACUAUCAUAUUUGUGAUAAAUAUAUAUAAACACACAAGUUUUUCUUUUCAAUUUCAUGGCACAGAUGGCAUAUUGGGCGAUGUUUUAAAAGCUUUAUUGCUCAAGUACGGAAAACAAUGGGAUGGGAGAGAAGCUCAAAAAAUAGUGGGGAAGACACCUUUGGAAGAAGCUGCUAUAGUGGUGGGAGAUUAUGAGCUUCCUUGUUCAAUUGAUGAAUUUGUGACUCAAAUCACCCCAUUGCUCUACGAUCAGUAAUUAAUCUCUACACUUCUAUCUAGUAUUAUUUAAUGUGGAUAUCAGAUCUUUUGUCAUCAAGAUCUCAAAAAUAUUAUCUAGGGGGCAUUUGGUAUGCAGAUUCUUAGAUGACUUCCUAUAACGUGAUUGUUGGAAAUAUAAAAGAUGGGUGUACAUGAAACACAUAUUUGACUUGUGUGUUGACCAAAUAGAUGUGUAAAGCUAGGAUAAACACACUGUUAGAUUCCCAUUUUGUUGCCUCUUUUAUUUUAUUUAUUAUUUUCUUUUCCUAAAACUUGUAAUGUCAGGACUUUAUUAUGGCUUACUAUGAUCAGUGGAAAAUUUUGAUUUCUGACUGUUUGGGACUCGUUUUGGCAUUUGUCUCUCAUUAUAUUACAUGGUGACUGUUGUAUGGGUGCUCUAUCUCAUAUAUUGGAAGUAAUUGAAACGUGUCUUUUAUUAAUUUGAAGGUUUUGCAACAUUAAAGCUCUUCCUGGUGCCAAUCGGUUGAUUAAGCAUUUGAGUGGUCAUAAUGUGCCUCUGGCAUUGGCUUCAAACUCUCCAAGGGCAUAUAUAGAAUCCAAAAUUUCUUAUCAACAGGGUAGGUUAUUGUGGGAAAUUUAAUGAAACCGAUGAGUUUUGUUUCCUGUUUUAUCUUUUGAAAAUUAGCAAGUCUGGCAUAGCAAAGAGUCAAACUUGACAGACAUUUGUACUACUUGCUUGGUUUCUCACAUUUCAUGCUUAUAGGAUGGAAGGAAUCCUUUUCUGUCAUCAUCGCUGGUGAUGAAGUGAGAGCAGGAAAGCCAUCUCCUGAAAUGUAAGAUAAAUUAGUUCACAAUUUUUUGGAUCAUAUAUCUUGUUUAACUAAAAAAAUCGUGUAUGUUCUUUGAUUCUGAAUCUACUAGCUUGCCUUUCUAGAUUUUUGGAAGCUGCUAAAAGGCUAAAUAUUGAACCAUCCCGCUGCCUUGUCAUUGAGGAUUCUUUGUGAGUGAGUUUAAUUCACAAGUUAUUAUUGUAGCGAGCCUUUUGAUUUGUCCAACUUUCCUUGCAAAGGCUAUUUGAGGAAUAUGAUUUUUCUUUAAAUAGUGCAGUCCUAAAUAUUGGUUGGUGCAAAACAUUGUAUUACUGUCAAACAGUCUAAUUCUGUCUGAAUGUUUUAGUUGGCAUAAGAUUUGAUAAAGAAUUGGCAUAUCUUUAGGACCUGACCCCUGUUGCAACUGUUUUUAGUUUUCCAUUAGGCUGGUGUUAUUCCUACCCCAUACUUUAUUGAAAUGACAAGUAACCUUCUAUUAUAUGUUUUUGUAAUUAUAAAUAAGUUAGAGCAUCAGAAUAGCCCCUCUUUACUAAAUAUUUAUAGCAUAAUUAUAUACUUGACAAAAGAAAAAGAAAAAAAAGAAGUAAUAAUAGAUGAAUGCAAAAUAUUUAGAGAUUUAUUCUAUCGAAAGAUUAGUGAGCUUUUUUUUUUCCCGAAAAAGAAGUAAGAACAGAUGAUGCCAAAAUAUUUAGAGAUUUAUUCUAUUGAAAGAUUAGCGAACUCUAUUUCUAGAUUAUUUGCAUCAUGAUUUUUUUUACCCAACUGAUUGGUAAAAUGACGGAGUAUCCAUAAUGAAUUUGUAUUCCUAAACAUUUAUGCCUAGACUAAGAAGUAAACAAAGUUGCUCCAUGCUACAACACACACACACACACACACACACACACUCUAAUAUGAUCAUGGGUACUAGCUGCUAGUAUUUUAGUAUAACGCAAGGAAAUUUUGGUAUGUAAAACUUUAUAAUAUAGUAUUAUAAUUAAGGAAACAUAUUAAAGAAGGUUAUAUUAGUCAUGGGUAGAAAAAAGGUGGAGUGUGAAUAACAGUGGAUGGAGUGAGAAUAACACCCCUGUCAGCUGAUGUUCCCUGCCUAUGCAUUCUACUUUUUUCUGACCCAAACAACAAUUAGAAUGUUGUUCAUUCUGUUACGGAGUUCUAUUUACUGAUCCUGAAAAUUUUUUGUGUAUGUUAGGCCAGGUGUUACUGGUGGUAAGGCUGCUGACAUGGAAGUAGUUGCCGUACCAUCCAUUCCAAAACAAACUCAUCUUUAUAUAGCAGCAGAUGAAGUGAUCAGCUCUCUACUUGAUUUACAACCUGAAUUGUGGGGCCUCCCUCCAUUUGAUGAUUGUAAAUAUCCAAAGACCUGGAUCAAUGUUGCAGUUUUAUUUAACAAGUUUCUUUUCAUCCUAGUUCUCUUGGGAAUUUGAUUUGUGAUUGCAGGGAUAGAUGGUACUUUGCCAUUAGAAAUUUGGCACAUAGGUGGUCCUGUGGUUAAGGGAUUUGGUCGUGGCUCAAAGGUUCUUGGAAUCCCUACCGGUAUGGAAAUUUCUAUGUGUUCUCUUUGUGUGUCACAUCUGAAUUUGUAGUUAUAGAAACACAUUUCAGUUUAGUGGGAAUCUACUUCAUUACUUAUCUGACCUUGAAGUCACACUUUGUUUCAAUGAAAUCGAGCAUAAAGCCGUGUUCUCUAUGCCUGUUUUGCUUGAUGACUCCUAUUUCAUAUCAGCAUCUAACAAGUUUAUUCAUUUAUUUCAGCUAAUUUAUCUACCAAAGGUUACUCAGCACUUCUUUCGGAACAUCCAUCUGGUGUGUACUUUGGUUGGGCUGGAUUAUCAACACGAGGUGUUUACAAGAUGGUCAUGAGUAUUGGUUGGAACCCAUAUUUCAACAACACUGAAAAGACAAUAGUGAGUUUAACACUGAAACAGCUGAUGAUCUAUUCAUAUCUUAAUAUAUUCUCUAAAUAGUUUGUGUUGUAGGAGCCUUGGUUGCUUCAUGAAUUUGAUGGGGAUUUCUAUGGUGAGGAAUUGCGCCUUGUGAUAGUUGGCUAUAUUCGACCAGAGGUAUAAUCAACACUCAUCUGUAUCCUUUUGAAUCCCUUGCUAUAAUCACACUAAUCGGUGUUCUUUUUCCAUCCCUUUUUUCCAUCGAAGUCUUGUCUUCCCUUUUUCACUAAAGUUUGGGUUUGGAAAACUACAGGCCAAUUUUACAACACUUGAGAGCUUGAUAGCAAAGAUUCACGAGGAUAGAAGAAUUGCAGAGAGAGCUCUAGAUAUUCCAUUAUACCUGAAAUACAAGGAUGACCCAUAUUUGAAAGGCUCUUCCCUGUGAUCGUGGCAAGCAUCCAUAAACUUCAUGACCCUUGAAACUUUUCCAGAGCUUAUGUUGCAGACAGCAUUUGCCCAUUAUAGAAGACAGUGGUUUGUGACCAUAUUGUAUUCUCAUUUCAUGAAAUGUUAGGCCCGUUUCAUAAUCACCGUGGGUAUAAAACUGAAACGAUCGCCCCGAAAGCCCCCAAUUAUUGUUACUGAUGAUUUAUGUACCGGAAAAUUGUUGAUAAUAUACUAAAAUUAUAGUUGGGAAGCAUUUAUGCAACCUAAUGUUUGAGCCUUUAAUACCAUGAAUAAAAACCCUUCCUCCACUAGUACUUCCAGAUUCAUCUAAAUUUGAUUGCUCUUUUUUUUUUUCUUUUCUAGUUUUCACAUUUGAAGUGAUUAGUCCUGUUUGUUUUAUAAUAUUGAAGCCCGAGUAUAUUUCCUUUAUGUUCUAUAAUAUUGCUAAUCUAUCCUUAAUGUGUGCCUUAACCACUAAAGUAGUUUUAGUAAUUCAUAGUAUAUAACUGAUUAGGUUAGGUGGCGGAUAACCAUAAACCACCUCCAAAGGGGUUGUUUUUAAGUAUAUGCUGUAGUUAGUGUUGUACCAUUAUUUUGUUAUGGCCAACCACUUAAACCACUUUUUAGGAUUGUCCCCUGCAAAUUAAUGAAGAUAUAUUUUUAGGGUUUUGUUAGUAUCUUUGAUUUGUCCAUUGCUUCAAGGCUGAUAAGCACUAAAUAUAUAUAGUUGGACUCCUUGAACUCUGAAUAAUUCCUACCAAAAUCCACUAGUGAAAGUAGGAUCCUUGUUAAUGACAACAUUUUAUGGCAUUCCAUGCAAUUUGAUAACAUCAUGAAUGAAAACAAAUGCUACAUCUACAUUUGAUGUUGUGUAUGGAUAUAUUGGUGUCAUGAAGUGGUUCUAUUUAGAAAGUUUAUCCACGACUACUAAGAUUAUUGUGUAACAAUUAGACGAAGGUAGUCCCUUGAUAAAAUCCAUAGGAAUGGAAGUCCAAGUCUUUAUAGUAUUGGUAAGGGUUGUAAUAACCUAGAGGUUUUGUGUUUUCUAUCUUAGCUUGUUGACAAAUCUCAUAUUGUUUAAUGUAGCCUUGAAUGACCCGCUACUAUGUUGUUAUAAAGGUAUUGCAUAAUAGUUAUUUUGUUUAUAUAAACCCUACCCUUAUAUAAAAAUAUUUCAUCUUGUUUUUAAAAUUUAAGGGGAUCUAAGGUUUCAUUUUGUAGAAUAUAAAUUGUACCUCAAGAUCAGUAUAAUAGCUAAUUUUAAGGUCAUAUAUCUAGCUAAUUAAGAGUGUUAUAAUAGCCUAGAUUUCUCAAUUCACCUCUCUUUCUUGUUUUCUAGAUAGACAUCCACUAUUAAGUUGUCCCUCAACCCUGUAUUCUAUCACAAAGUCAUAUCCAAUUAACUUAGUAAUCCAUUUCUGUUGGGUUAAGGUUUAUAUUUUUUUAACAGGUAUUUAAAGCUUUGUUGGUAUGUUUUAAUCUUGAAGGAUAUACAAGAGGUCUCCAUUUAUGAACUGCCAUAACUAGGGAUAAUAAUUCCUUCUCAUGAGUGGACAAUGCUAAUUCUUUUCCUUUUAACCCUUUUCUAAGAUAAGCUAAAAGUCUCUUUUUUUUUGUAUUAAAAUUGCUUUUAUCCCUCCUCCUGAAACAUCAUACUCUAUUAUAAAUGAUUUAGUGAAAUCAGGUAAAGCCAAGACUAGUGGGUUGAUCACAAUAAUUUUUAAUGUUUUAAAGGCCUUGCGUAAUCAAUCUUUAUAUCCCAAAUGAAUCCCUAUUUUAUAAGAAAUUUAGUUAAUGGACUUGCAAUUGAUCCAUAUCCCUUGAUGAAUCUUCUAUAGUACCCGGUUAUACCUAGAAACCCGCUUAAAGAUUUUAUGCUAUUAAGCCUGGACCAUCUAAUCAUGGCCUCAAUUUUUUAAGGGUCUAUUUUAACUCCUUCUCCAUACAUAAUGGAACCCAAAUACUUAAUUUCUUUAUAAUCAAAUAUGCACUUAGAAAAUAUAACAUAAAGUCUAUGUUGGGCCAAAAUCCUUAAAACCUAUCUAAGGUGUUCUAAAUGUUCCUUCUCAAUUAUGUUGUUUCUUAAAAUGUUAUGGAAGAAAACCCUAUAAAGACUUCAUUGGAAAAUAUUUAAAUACCUUAUUCAUCAAAUCUUGAAAAGUAAAAAGGGUAUUAGUUAACCUAAAUAGUAUGACCAGGAACUCAUAAUGGCCUUCGUGAGUCCUGAAGGUUGUUUUAGGAACAUCUUUCGACAUCAUUAUGAUUUGAUAAUACCUAACCACAAGUCUAGUUUAUAAAAGUAUUAUGAAUCAUAUAUUUCAUUUAGCAGCCUUUCUACUACAGGAAUUGGGAACUUAUCCAUCAUUAUUUUCUUGUUAAGAGCCAUAUAGUUUACACACAUUCUUCGUAAGCCAUAUGAUCUCCUGAGCAACAACAUUGGAGAGAAAAAAGGACUUUAACUUGGCUAGAUUGUGCCUAACUCCAAUAAUUCUUUUAUAAUUUUUUUAUCUCAUUUUUUUAUAAUAAGGAUACAUACAUACAUACAGAUAUAUAUAGACACACACACACACACGAACAUUGAUAGGUGGUAUCCCUUUCUUAGUCAUAAUAAGAUGAUCAUGGCUCCUGGUUAGUGGCUACCCUUUUGGUUUUUUAAAAAAUAUUUUGAAUUCAUCCAAUACAUAUUGUACCAGUUUUGGCACUGAAGUGUUGAGUUUGACCUCUAUGUUUAAGGUCCAUAUUUACAGCAUUAAUCCAUUUGUAUUUUUCUUCAACUCUCAUAAAAAAAAAUUUAGCCCACGAUCAAUAUUUGGCUUUUGGAUUCUUAAGCCACUUAACAAAACUGUAAACCCAUUGUAUUUAAACCCUAUAGUCAGCUUUGAAAAAUCCCACAAAAUAAGCUAUAAAUCUUUAAGCCAUUAAGCACUUAACACCAUGUUGCAUCCCCUUAGACGAUUUAUUAAGGCAAAAGUUUUGAAUUGGACUCCCUGAACCACAAACUUGAAAUUUGAAAAAUCACCCUCAUUGUUAAUUUUAGUCUCAUUCAUAAUUCUUACCAUAAUCGAUUAGUGCCUUAUUAGAUCUAUUCCCAUCUUCUUAUCUAUUUUAGGGUGAAUGAAAUUACGAGUGCUUCAUGUGUCAAUUUAAGCACUAUAAAAAGUUAUUAAUAAUGGCUUUAACUCAUAUUAUUUAUGAAUUUUCUUUAAAUCUUUCUAGAUUGAAAGUCAAAAGGACCCCCCACCAUAGCAUAUAUGGAUAUCUCUGCUUCUUCAUUAGUCAUCAUAAGUUCCUCCAAAUCAAUCAAGUCCCAAAUUAUCAUCGAUCCACCUUUUUUUCCAUCUUAAUCUAUUUUUUCAAUUAAAAAUAAUUUUGGUUCUGUAUAACUAUGGCUUGAAUUCCAUUUACCAUUACAUUUAAAACAUAAGCCCUUAUCUCUCUUUCUUUUUCAUCCAGGCUGGUGUCAAUUUCUACAUCUGUAAGUUAGAUUUUGGGUCUGCCCUAGGCUAAAUAGACAAAAAGCCUUUUCCUUUGAAGUCCGCUGGUAUUGGAUCUCUAACUCUUGUGAAUUACUACAAUGUUUUCUUCCUACAUUCUAGCCAAUCUAUAAAGCGUUACCAAAUUAUGAGAAUUCAUCAUUCUUACCCAAUCAUGAUCUCUUCCUUUAAUUCUCCUAAGAAACAACUUAAACAAUGUGAAUUGGAUAAGCCUCUAACUUUUUUCGAGAUUAUUUCAAACUGAAUCUUAUAGCUUCCCACUAUUGAGACUUGUUUCAAAUUGAUUAAGGCUUCUAUAGGAUCAUUAUAAGUAGAUUGCUCAAAUUGAAUCUAUAUUGCCUUUACCGAAUAUUCUCAGUUGAUGAUAAUUCUAAUUUCCUUAACCUCUUAAAACAAUGUGAUAACACACCCUUUCAUUUUAAAGGGAUGUUUGGGAGUGUGAUAGUGAUUGCAUUUCAAAAUGUUUUUUCGCUCAGAAAUGCAUUAAAAUAAUAUUUUUUUCAUUUAUUAAAAAUUAUUUUUUACAUUAGCAAAUCAAAAUGAUCGAAAAACAUUAAAAAACUAAUUUUAAGCAAAAAUAAUUUUAAAUUUUUUUAGAAACGCCGUUUGAAACACAAUUUCAAAUUGCCCCUAAAAUUAUUCAUGAAUAUUCUAUGAUAUAGGGGAGUUUUGUGAUAAUUAAAAAAUUAGGUUACCUUGUAUACUUAGCUAAGUGGGUCAUCCUUAUUAAAUCAAUAAAAAUUCAGUUUAUUGCUCUCAGUUGAGUUUAUUGAUCCCCAACCUGUUUUGGUUCCACCCAGUGAUAACCAUUAACCGAUGUUAUUGAGGUAUUAUGGGGAGACUUGUCUAGCCUCUAUCCUUCACAAUUUGAUCAACCUUUAUAGUAAUGUGUCAUAAUUGUUGAACAAGUUCUUAUAAAACCUUUUAUUAUGUUUAUUGGUUAUGUUGUUCUUCCAAUUGUUGUUUUAUGCUAACAAUUGUUUUCAGUAACUGUAACAUCUUGGUUUCAUCAACGCUCGGUUUUAAUACUAAUUUUGUAACAACCAUGUAAAGUUGAAAGGAAUAGGAAUUGAAAUUGAAAAUAUUAACUAAAAUGGAAUGGUUAAAUUUAAUCAAACAUUUUAUUGAAUAAAAAUUAGUAAUUACAAGGGUCAAAUAGAAAAAAAAAAUUGUUUGGGCUAUUUGAGGUAGUCUGACCUUCUAAGAUUGAGAAUUAGCAUUGAGUUAUUCCAUAAGAAGAGUUUUACUUAAUUAAUACUUAAAUAAAAAUAAACUCAAACUCAAAUCUUGAAUGAACCUAAUCUGACAAUUUGAAUUUAAAUGAGAUGACAAUUUGAAUUUAAAUAUAUAGAAGAGCUGUUUGAUCAUUGAAUAAAAAUUAGUAAUUACAAGGGUAAAAUAGAAAUUAACAAUUUACUUCACACAAAUGCAAUAUCUCGAGUAUCAUGCUUGAGAUGGGAUGGGUCGAAUUGCCAAGGCCUGGAGGAACCGUUCAUAUACGUGACUCUGCGUCAGCUAUAGCCUUGUAGGCGAGCUUCAAGAGAUAGCAACUGCCAUGAGAUGGGUGUGCACACUUGGGGACAUAGGCGAAGGCCCCCAUGCGAGCUGGAACAUUUUUCUCUGCGAUAAAAGGACGCCAUCAGUUUGUCUUAUUGGUUCCCUGAAAAUGGGAGUCCUGUCCUUUUUGUUGGCGUAAACAUUUCUGUACAUCAGUAGCGAUUCCUCACUAACUGUAAUGGUUACGACCUCCCAAGUAUGUUAGUCAUUCACACAGAUGCGCCGACAGGAAAAGUGAUCUUAACAAGUAAUUGAAUUUAGGUGUUUCUAAGUUAAAAUCUUUUUUAUUUUUUUGGUAGAUUCAUGAAACCACAGGAGUGACAUUAACAAACUGGAUUGACGAAGGGCUGAAUCAACAAAACUGCAAAGGACAGAGGACAAACAGGGACGAUACGCCAAGCUAUAAAAUGGAAAUUGAUGUCGUAAAACCAUUUUCAUAAUCUAAUCAAACAGUAUCAUUAAUUGUUCUAGUUACCAUGACUGACCAGAGCUGUCAUUCCACAGGCCCUUACAUAUCCUUCAUAAAUGCCCAACAGUGUUUACACAAGCGAAAACUUUACCGGGAUAAAGAAGUACAUCUUUACAUCAACAAUCCAUGAGCCAUAAACAAAAAUGAUCCUUGUUUCAGAUUUAUCUAUGGCUUCGUGGAAGAGGAAUCCUUGUGCGCUGCUGUAUUAAUCUGUUUGGACAGAUAUGCUUCAUAAAUCUCCACGACAAGCCGGGGAUCCUUUUCCACAAGCUCCAUGUACUCCUCUCGCUUGGUAAGUUUAUCCAUGUUGUCAGUGAUCAAUGACAACGCUGCUUCAAGCAUAUGCUUUGCAUUAUGCUGAUGGGCAAAGGCAUAGCUCACGACUGAGUUUUCCCAGUUUAGUUUUGACACCAAAAACUUCUCACAGUAAGCCUUGAGAUGCUUCACCUGAUAUUUUUCGGCCAAUAUUAAAAGAUCAUAGGCCAUCUGCUCAUCAAGGCACGCUUCAGCAGUGUAAAAAUAGUUGACAAAUGUACGAAGUGCAUCAUAUGAUACAUCACUAAUCUUGAUGGUACCACUCCGGCUUUCUUCCAUCUCGUUCUCAAGCAUUGCCUUGAAGACUGGGGAACGGCUCACCUGAUCACAAAAAAAAAAAAAAAAACGUUAAUCAGUAGUAAAAAACUAAACACGUGAACAUUUGGCAUAACACAUCACCAGAUCAUCUUGUCCAGUAUGAAAUGGACAUGCGGGAUACCUCUUGUUUAGACUAAAACAGGAACAACUUGAAGGCAAAAUUGAUAAAUUGUCUCCCAUGGUUCGUCUGUUCAAGUUCUGUCUAGUUUGUCAGAAAACAGGCUACAAUCUUAAUGGGGCCGAACUUAAGGGAUAUCUCCCUCCCAACCUACUACGUCUCCAUCAAGCUAUUUGACAAACACAACCAGGCUUGAAAUGGGAUUUCUAUUCCAGGAAGGUCAUUGAACAAAAGUAUGCAAAUAAUACUAGCCAAGUAUGCAUUUGAAAUGAAAGCGAUUAUCUCACAUAAUUACAAUAAAGAGAAUGACAUAUAUAUCUAGCAAGUGCCAUGAUCAUUGACGAAUCAAGAGAUAGUGGAACUUGAAAGCGAUUAUCUCACAUAAUUACAAUAAAGAGAAUGACAUAUAUAUCUAGCAAGUGCCAUGAUCAUUGACGAAUCAAGAGAUAGUGGAACUUGAAAGCGAUUAUCUCACAUAAUUACAAUAAAGAGAAUGACAUAUAUAUCUAGCAAGUGCCAUGAUCAUUGACGAAUCAAGAGAUAGUGGAACUCACUCAAUCAGGACAGGAUCAAUCAAUAAAUUGCAAGUCAAUUACCAUCUAAUUGAUCAAGAAUAACAAAAUUGGGGAAUUGAGUAUUUACCAAAACGGCCUUAUGAGCAGGGACUGGGACAGAUGGCGCAGUCCCGGUGAGUCCAUCAUCGGAGGAAGCAACCAAAACGACAUCGGUGAAACAAGGGCCAGCAGAGGAGCGGUAAGUGAUGUGGUGAUCGAGAGGAGACCAGAAACGCAAGAAGGCAACUUUAGCUUUGAGAUCAUCGAUCUCUCUUUUAAGCUCUUCUUCGGUCUCGCUUGCUUCCUCAUAACACUCUUUGCAAGUUCCAGCAUCGCAUCUGCCGUAGUACUCCUUACAAGAAAUGCACCUCAUCGUUUCGGAAUCGGAAUCAGUAUCGCUUUCAGUCUCCACCCGGGAGGACGCUGUACAGCGGUGGCCUCUCAUUAUUUUUUGCUGGGUUUUGUGCAGCAAAAGGUGGGAUGCCGUGCGAUGGGGGGUUUUAAUGAAUUGGUGGUGGCUGGAAGCUUUUGAUUGAUGCCUGAUGGGGGCGUGGGUGCGGGUGCUUUCGCUCACAGUGCAGACUGCAGAAAGCGCAUUUUGUUGGGACGAAUAAAAUAAAAAUAAAUGGGUAUUCUUUAUUUUAAUCAUUAUUAUUUUGUUAGCUCCGCUUUCUGUUUUGAUUAGUUUUUUUUUUUUAAAAAAAAAAAUCGCCUGUUGCUUUUUAUAAUUUGUUUAAAAAUAACUUUGCAACCUAAAUUUUGCCGCGCGUAAUACUUUAUACGUUUAUCUAAAAAAAAUUAAUAAAAAAUAUUUCAUUAAUUAUAAGUUUGCUUUUAUUUUCUAUUUAAUCAUUAAAAAUUCUUUAUAUUAAAUAUUACUAGUUUUUCCAUUGAAUAAAAAAAAAUCAUAGCCAUCUUUUUUCGCCGAGUAUCAAACCUAAGUAAUGACCUUCCCUUCCGUUCGAUCCCCUACCGGCAUUUAUCUUUCUCUCCAUCUACUAGCUAUCAACCACUAUCGUCAACGAUAACAACUCUGUCAUAUUUAAUAGCCACAACCCACACAUUCACUAAUUAUAAUAUUGAUCAACUACUCCUAUCAAUAACUAGAUCAGCUUAAUUUGUCGAUGACAACCUCUCCAUAUUAACCUUCUUGUCCUUCUUACAAAGAACUUGUCCUUGUUAUUUUCCAAAAUUAAAAACAUAAGCUCAAAAGUCAUCAAGAACUACAUCUAUCAACAACCAACUUGUCAUUAAGAAAUCUUAACACAAAAACAACAUUGUUUCAUCUCUAACCAAUUCUUUCUUCCUAAACUCCCACUCAUCUACUCUAGAAGUUCAACAAUCAUCAUAACUGGAGCUUCAACAUCAACACCAGUUGGAGCUAUAAUGUCAGCAAUAGCUGGAGCUUCAACAAUGAUGACAAUUGGAGCUUUAGCAACAACGAUGAUAAUUGGAGGUUCAACAACAACAUUAUUUAUUGUAUUAACAACAUCUUUGUUAGUACCGAAUGUCAAAGCCAAAUUUAAAGCCUUCAAUGCCAAAUAAGAAAUGAGAGAGGCAUAUAAAUGAUUGGUUUAGUUGAAAACUAGAGCUUGCAAAGCUGGGGUGAUGGCAACAAAUAUUGUCUUAAAUUUCUCAACAUUGGAGUUGUUCCAUCAAGAGAAGCAAACCUUGGUGGACGGUUUUAGUGGUGUAAAGAUUGGGAAUAGGAUUGAAACUAAUUGUUGUUGAAGAUUUAAGAAUUGAUGUUGCAAUUCAAUUUGAUUAUAAAAGAUUUGCUCAACUCUCAGUUCCAUAGCAUGUGAUAAGGGAUGGCAUAAUUGAUUACUAGGUUUAUCUGUGAAAGUAUUAAGAAUGCUUCCCAUUCAACCUAUGCUUAAGGACCCAAUCAUGUUAGAAAAACACUUUACUAAGAAAUUUCAUGUACAUUUUUCUUUCUACUUUUGCCAUCCUAUUACUUACACCAAAUAGAAAAACACCCAAUAACCUAGAAAUCACCAUGAAUUUGGCCUUCUUCAAACCCAAAAUCUACCCAAAAAUCAUAGUCCUCUUCCUCGUUAAACAGAUCCAAAAUCAACCCUCAAAACAACCUAUAAUCUUUGCCAUCAGCAUAUCUCGAAGCAGACACCUAAUGAAUAUUGCAAACAACCCACCUUCCUCAUCUUAUCCACCAUUUUUUCAAUAGACACCUAAUGAAUAUUGCAAAUAACCCACCAUCCCCAUCUCAUCCACCAAUUUUUUAACAUCAUCAGUUUUACUUCUUUAAGGCCACGAGGUGUCGUGGAUUGUUGUUGAUGAUGAUGAUUCAAUUUUGUAUUGGAGAAAUCUUCAAUUUGAGGGUUUUUCUCUCUCUUCAUAAAAGAAAAUAAAUCCAUGUCCCAACCUCAAAAUUCUAUGCAAUAAUGUCAAGAAAUCUUCAUAACCCGUUUAACAAAAUGAAAACAAAAAAAGAGGAUUUCUUUUUCAAAAAAUUUAGUUUUUGACAUAAAAUUUAGUUUUUCUAGUUUGCAAAGAUUAAAUAUUGACCUAAUAAUUUCUCAUCCUCAAAUUUUUUUUUGUUUGAUUUGGUGAUUUAUGUUUAGAAAGAGAGAAAAUAGUGUGGGGAAAAGAGAGAACAUGUCACUUGAAGAGAGAAGGUCUUUUGACCAAACUGCUAAGGGUAAUUUUUUCUUAAUUAUAUGAUAAAAAAAAUAAAUACUCGUAAAAUCAAGCAUCAAUCCUAAAAUAGAUGUUUAUUUGAUACCAUUAUAAUCCUAUAGAAAGAAAGAAAAAACUAAAUCAUGAACUAUAUUUCCCAACCAAUUCAAUAUUGAAAGAUAAAAUAAAAAAAUCAAAUAAAAAUUAUUAAAAGUCCAAAAAAAAAAAAACAUAUCGGGUUUGGUGGGUAAACCUACUAAACUCAUGAAUCAGGUAACUCAAAUCAACAUAUCAAACUCGUAAACCAAGUCAUGACUCCUUUAAGAUUAAUAACUUGUUUUUUUAAAUUAUUUGUUAUUUAAAUAUAUGAUAACAAAAUAAACAACCACAAAAUUAUGCACUAACCUAAUAGAGGGACUUUUUUGAAAUAGUUAUAACCUCAUAAAAAGCGAAACAAAAUAAAUUAUGAAACUCAAAUCUCAAUUAACCUAAUAUAAAAGGAUAAAAUAAAAAAAAGUUAAAUCCAUUGAAUUUGUAAAUUAGGUCAACUUGCCAAACCUGUGAGCAGGUCCAUGAACCUUAUAAAUUUUAAUUACAUGGUUUUUCUCCGACACUAUUUUUUUUAACUAUAUGAUAAAAAAAAUAGACGAUCAUAAAAUCAAUUUCAAUUAAAAAAAAGGUAUUCCACCACUGGAGCAACUUAGAUUACCCUACCAAACCCGCAAAUUAGGCCAUUAACUCCAUAAAAUUUAACAACUAAAUAUUAAAAGAUAUAAAUGAUCAUAAAAUCAAUCAUCAAAACAACAUUGGGACAUCUGUUUGACACCACAAUAACUAGAUAGAAAGACAAAACAAAAAGAAACAAAUUAUAGAAUUUAAUUCCUAACCAACGUAAUGCUGAAUGAUGAAAUAAAAAAACUCUGAAAAAAAAUCAAUUAAAAAAAUCCUAGGACAUAAUCACCUCUAGGCCUCGUGUUUUUAUAUUCUUCAAUUCUAGUCCUUUGACUCUUAAUUUUUAGAAAAAUAAAGAAUCCAAAUAAUAUCUCGCAAAAUAAAGUAUCAAUCCAAUGUCGAGAUAUUUUUUAAUAACGUGAUAACCAUAUAAAAAAGAUUAAAAUAAAUUAUCAACUCUAAAUCUCAAUAAACACGUAAUGUAAGGACUAAAUUAAAAAAAUCAAUAAAAAAAUAAAAAAAACCAAAAUGUAAAAGAUAAAUUUACAAAGUUAAUGGGUUCUGAUGAACAACUUUUUCCUCGCACUCUUUUAGUUUUUGUUGUAAUUUUGUAUCAAAACAAAAGGAGGAUUAAAAUUUUAUAGGAAAUUACAAUAAGAUUUUAAUGAGCAAUUGUGCCCUUCAAUUGUUUAUUCUUGGCUAAGAGUUUAUUUUUACCACAGCCCCGUCUGGCUUCGAUGUAGCGAUGAUCUUCUAGGCCAUACAGGGAGAGAGUCCGGGACUUGUAUUCAUUUACAAGAGGUCCUGCUUUACACUUGCGAUAAUGCUUGAUAUCUGUCAUAAGGUUUCAAGGCUAGAGAAGUUUAUAUAAACGAUGAGAGCUAAUAUUGUUGUCAUAGUUUUUAAACCCGAUCCGGUUCAAGGUUCGGGUUCCGGGUUUUGACCGGGUCACCGGAUUACCCGGGUCAAUCGCUAUUUCAAAACAAAAUCAAAACGACGUCGUUUUAGUAAAAAAAAAAGAAAUCAACGGGUUGCAACCGAGUUUUGCCGGGUUGCCGGGUCACACCGGGUCAUGACUUUUCCUAUUUUUUCUUCAACCCGGCCCGGCUCCAGCCCCGGGUCGGGCGGGUCCUGAAUCGACCUGCCGAACCGGGCCGGGUUUCAAAACUAUGAUUGUUGGAAUAUCUCUAUUAAGGUAUGACCUUAUUAUUGCUUUUAUUAUUCGUUAAUUAAAUUUAUUUGGCUGCUCAGAUGUUUUGCCUAUACAUGUAAAAAGUGAAUGUGGCAAAUCUUUGUCCUCUAAAAAGAAUGCAAACUUGUAAAAUAAUUAUAAACAUAGCUGUUAUGCGAGAAUGUUUUUGAACAUAACAUUGCAAACUUGUUUUCUCGUAGCAAUGAAAUUUAAUUAUGAACUGAAAAUUUAAUGCAUAUAUUUAAUCUAAUAUAUUAAGGAUUAUAUGCAUUAGCAAAUAGUUAAAAUAAUCUUAAUGCUAAUUAAAGACUAUUUCGUGAAGUUGAGAAAUAGAUGUAAGUUAAGAUAUUCGAUUUUGUGGUGUAGGAAGUCCUUUAGUUUUUUAUAUUUAAUUAUAUGUAAAAAUAAUAAUAAUCUAAAUUCCAUUGAAACAAAUUGAUUUGCUGGUAUAAAUCUUUCCUUUUCUUAUUAAUAUCUUUAAUUCUAACAAAAAAAAAAACUCUAACAUUUUGUUCUAUGUAAUUUAUUUAAUAAAAAUAAAAAACAUUAAGAAGACAUACUAAAAAAAAGACAAUUUAAAAUUAUAUAUAUAAACCCCCUUGUCUCAUUAACAUGUAAUUUUUUUUAAUAUAUAUAUAUAUAAAAGACAAUGUUAUGUGCAUUGUCAUGGGAAAUUUUUUGGCAAAGUCAUUAACCCAACUCAGGGGAUUAACUCUAAAACUUCUCGAUCUGACCUUUUGCCUAGCGUGAGUUUCAAAUUAAAUUAUGUAAAACUUAACUUGAUAUGACUUGAUUUACUUGGUAAGUCUAAAAAUAAUCUGAAUAACCGAUAAAAACCUGAUUUGUUUUAAGAAAAAUCAAGAUAAUAUUUUUUUAAAAUAUUGAGAAGACAACAUCUUGAAUCAAUUUAGAUUAAUUCCAGUUAACCUGUCAAACCUAUGAUACGAGUCACGAGUCAUGAACCUGACUUAGUUUAAUAACUUCAUGUUUUUGAAAUAAUUUUUAUAUAAUUUAUUUGAUAUUAAAAAUAAACACUUGUAGAAAAGCAGCCAAAUAAAAUUCUUUUAAAAAUACAAUCAUGAUAGGUUAUACAGAAAGAAUAUUUGCUAAUAUUAUAAGAAUAUUGUUAUAAUUUUAUUUUAAAACAAAGUAAAAAUUAAAUGAUAUUUAAUAAAAUAAUAUCUAAAACAUAUUCUUAAGUAAUUUAAAAAUGAAAUAAAAUAAUAUAUCUAAUAUAUUUUAAAUUAAUUAAUUUCAAAUAAAUUAAAAUUAAAUAGAAGAAAAAACAAAAAAAACAAAACUAAAAACAAGCUGGCGGUAUUUUCUUUUUAAAAAAAUAUAGUUGACAACAAGUCUCCUACAUGUCCAAUAUUUGAUCAUGGUAGAGGUGACCAACAAAUUAGUUUGGGGAUUUUCAGACCCUAAAAAUUAAAAUUUGAUAUAUUUUCACCUAAAAAUACUAUUAAAACCUUAAUAAACUAAUUAAUCAACUAAAAAAACCCCUAGGCUAAAAACACACACAAAAAAAAGGAAAAUAACUCUUUUAAUUUUGAUGUAUUUUUUCUAGCAAUAUAAAAGUUAAAAAACAAUGACAUUCUUCUCAUUAAGAGAAACAUAUUAAUAUCAAAUUUGAAUUUUUUUAUUAACAAAAUCUUCUUAACUGACCACUUUCUCUUUUUUCUGUUAUUUUUCAACAACUCUCUCUCUCAAAUCUAAAAACUAAAAAAUGAACAAAAUAAAAUUUUUGACUAAGACGUAUAAUUAUCAAAUUAAAAGGGACCAAAAUAAAGGCAAUUGUUUUUUCAAAAAGGCAUUUUAUUGAUUAAUGCUGAAAAAAAGGGUUCAAUUUUUUUUAUUGUUAAUCUUGGUCGCUUCAUUUUAAAUAAUAAAAUUAAGAGGAACUAAAAUAGCUUUGUACCAUGAUUAAAUGUUUGAAAUAUUGAAGGACCGAAAAGUUAUAACUCAAAAAGUAAGAGGAUCAAAAUAAACUCUUUGCUCAAUUUUUUUAAACUACCACCCUUUUUUUCUUUGUUUUACACUUUGGUUCUCUUUUUUAAUUUUAUCCCUCUUUAGCAAUUCUUGAUAAAUUAGUCAUAUAGAUAUAAAAGGAUGUAAUUAAAAAAAAAUAAAGUUUAAGAACUAAAUUGUAAGAAAAAAACUAAUCUGAAAACACCAUAUCUUCCAGUAUUCCCUGUAAUACAAUGUUUCAAUAAAAAACAAAUUGAUGGAAACAUAAACUGAAUUGGAGCCAUUAAAGGAAAGCAUCGUGGAGGCGUGGACAUCCACUUGAAUCAAGGACGGACCUUAGAUUCUUCCUUCAGGAGGAGGAGGAUGAUUUGACAGUUUAACAAGAUGGCGUCACCCACUCACUAGCCAAGCCCAUCCCUGAUGAAUACCUACACGUGUCCGUCCUUAAAACCUCCUGGGUUCUCCACUACCAGAUCCGGCUUCAUUCCUCUAAUCACUUUCACAGAGAGAGAGGGGGGGGAUAUGGGGGGAUGAAAGGUAAAAAAUAAAAACAUUUAUGUAAAAUCACUGAGGGUGAAUUAGUUAGUUAUAAUUAAAAAAUAAAUUUAUUAAUAUUAAAUAUAUUAAAAUUUAAUUAACUUUUUAAAAGAUUAUUAAAAUGCAUAUAAAAAUAUUAUAAUAUUAUUUUAGCUUUUCUAAAUAAUAUUUUCCAUGUUAUUAUAAGGACCCGGAAUUCUAAAAAAAUUUAAAUUUUAAAACUAAAUUACAGCAGAACACUGCAAAGUACAAACAAAGGAUAAGACCUGCUACUUGCAGAGCCAAACUCUCUCUCUUGCUCGCUCUGUCUCUAAACAAAACAAAGAAACAAGCCCAACUCUUCUUCUUCUUCUUCUUGGUCUCAGAUAAUUAGGGUUUCAGUUUUCCAGGCCUAAAAACUCCUCUACUCGGUCGGGUACGCUUCUUUACGCUCUCUCCUUCUAUUUUGAUUUUCUCUUCAUUUUGUUUGUGUUAACUCUUUGGUAACUGAGCAAUGUGAAAGGAAAUUUAAAGAAAACAAACCUCAACUUCAACUCUUGAAUCUUCAAUUUUUUUUUAAAUUUUUUUUUGGGGGGAGGGGGUUAUUCAUGUCAAAUUUACUCUGAUUGAAGAAUUUACCAUUACUUCACUUAAUUUAGCCUGGGUAACCUAAAGCAAAGUUUUUUUUCUUUCUUUUUUGUGUUUUCCUGGCUACCUGAAACAAGCUUAGGUUUAUUUUUAACACUCGGAUUUGUUUUUUUUGUUAAUUUAUGCUGCUUUCUUUAAUUUCUUGUAUUAUGUAUUCAGCAGUUAUGCUCAAUUUUAUGUUCUUUCCAUUGUGGGUGUCACAGUGAAACCCUAAUUUGGCGGUGAAAAGCUUGAAAUUAGGUUUUUUUUUUUUUAAAAAAAAAAACUUGUAAAGGAUGGUUGGUGGAGAGGGAACAAGCAAUGGCGAGGGUGCAAAAGAAAGGGUUCAGCACUUAAAUAUGGAAGCAAUGGACAAUGGGUUUGGAAAUGAUGGUGGUGAUGCAAGCUCUGGGGGCAGUGAGGGUUUUCGGACUUACAAGAGACGAAGGAACAUGAGGUCAAGUUCGGAUAGUAAAGGUCAAGAGGAUGGGAAAUGUUUUAUGGAAGCUGCUAGUAGAUUGUCAGACCAGGUAGCUCACAAACCUAGGCCAUCCAUGCCAAUUUUUGCUUAUGCAAUCUCGUUAUGUAUUGCCUUGUUGCAAGUUACUCCUAUCAUGUAUGAUUCUAUAGAGAAGAUGCAUUUUAAUGUUUGUUCUGUAUCUUUUAUCCUAGUUCUUUGAUCUAGCUAAUAUGUGGUUUCUUGCAGACCAUAAAGGAUGAUGAUUCACGAGGCCAUCUUUGUGGGAAUCAUGCUUCUAUGAAUCGUUUAAAUGAUGUUUCACAGAGGCAGUGGAGAAAGUUUGUCCUUGACCACAUGUAUCAAUCAUUAAGUAAUGAUGAAAAUGGCAUCCAGGGGUGCUUGAGGGGUGCGCUUAUGAUGGCAGUUAAGAUUUAUGAAGCUAUUAAAUUGGAUGUGCUAAAUGCAUAGUAUUGUCAUUCGUGUUUCUUAACAUAAAUUGGAUGUGCUAAAUUUUGUCUUUCUUCAGGAGUCUGGUUACUGUAAUGCAGAUAAGUCACCUUUGAUGGGGCAGAUGGCUAAUGGAACUCACAGUACAGCUAAAGGGCAUGCAGGGGUCUUGUCAAAUGGAGCUUUGGAUGAAUCACGACAUCACAGUGUCCCUGAGUUGUGCCAGCAUGCUUUCCUUAGUAUUUUACUGUCAGAAAAGUUCACCUCUCUCUGUAAGCUACUGUUUGAAAACUUCCAAGGAAUGAAGACUGGCAGCAUUCUUAGCCUGAGUUUCAUAGACAGAAGGAUGAAAGACGGAGCUUAUGAUCAUUCGCCUAUGCUUUUCUGUGAAGAUAUUGAGCAGGUAAUUUAUUACAAUCCUUCCUACGUAGUUUGAUGUUACUAUUUUGUCUAGUGUGUUACAAUGCUCUUGCUGAAAUCAUUGUUGAGUAAGCUUUAUGACUGGAUGUCUGGUUCUUCUAGGCACUACGUUGCUUAUGUGCCACCUAUGUGAUUUCAAAAGCUAAGUGACAUCAUGUGUUUUGUAUGAAAGUUGAAGAUGAAUACAAUGUUAUGCACCAACAAAAGUAAUUAUUUGUUUGAUAUUUUGUGGUCUGUUAUGUAGAGUAGUAUCUUUAAAAUCUCAUUUUCUCACCACAAUGUUUAUAUGAUCUUAUAUCUUAGAUGCAUCUGUGUAAAUGAAUUCCUGCUGCCCUUGUGCAACCUCUACCCUCUUCUAUUAGUUAACAAACUUUUGAGUGAUUUACUAAAGCACUAGAUCACACACAGUUUGGGGAUCUUUUUGGAGUUGAAAACUAUCAUACCUUUAUCUUUAUUGCUUUAUCUCUUGAUUAGUUAAUUUUUCUCUUCACCCAUUGUUAAUAUGCUACAUGUUGAUGUCAAUCAUUUUUUUUUUGUGAUUUACAUAGUGAUUGUAGUUCGUUCAUCUUAAUUGGUUAUUCAUGCUACUACAUGACAUUCAAUUACUGGUCUCGUUCAUUGUAAUGUUUUAGCAGUCAUUCAGCAUGCAUGAUUUCAUUUCCAUUUCUAGUUAUCAGAAGAAAAUGCAAUUUCUAUUUGUUGUGCCAUUCAUUUAAACCUAAAUAAUCUUUUCAGUUCUGGAGAAAGCUUCAAGGUUUUGGUGCUGAAUUAAUCUCUCUUUCAAAGAGCCUAUCAGACAUAUCAAAGACUUGCUGUAACGAACGGGUAAGACAUCCAAUAUGUAGAUAUUUUUCUGGCAGACUAAGAAUGUGGGUUAUGUGCUAAAUGCAACUUUUGUUUCACAUUUCUAUUUAUUGUUGUUUCUUAAUACACUUUUAUGGUUCCCUUUUAACUUAACUGAAAAUCUUAACUGUGAUUUCCAGGUGGGAGGAUCAGUACGCUGUAUAUUUGAAGAUGAAAAGCAUGGGGUAAUUGUUUCAAAAUCACAGCAGUAUAAUUAGUUUCCUAAUGCUGGCAUUAGAAAUAUGUACCACUUUUAAGAUUGAUUGUCUUUCUGAUUAUAGUUGGUUCUGAUACCUACUUAAACUUUUGUGCUGCAAUACAGUUCUGCAUCAAGGGUUCUGAUUCUCAUGGUCAACCAGAGCAAAAGGAUGCUUGUUGUGUCUACAGAGUCUGCAGUUGUAGGCGUUGUGGGGAAAAGGCAGAUGGGAGAGAUUGUUUAGUUUGUGAUUCAUGUGAGGAAAUGUACCAUGUCUCCUGUAUUGAGCCUGCUGUCAAAGAGAUUCCCCCCAAAAGCUGGUACUGUGACAACUGCGCUGCAAGUGGUAUGGGAUCCAUUCAUGAGAAUUGUGUAGCGUGUGAGAGGCUGAAUUGCCCCAGGACCCAAAUUAAUCAAGCUGGUGAUGAAAUUGGUUUAUCAACUCAAGAACCAUUCAAUGAUUUUGAAGAGGCAUCAAAUUUCAGCACGAAUAAUGAGGUUCAGCUAUCAUCAGAAGGGACUGAAAACAUACGCAUCUGUAAAAUUUGUGGAAGUCCAGUGAGCAAUGGAGAGAAGAUAAAUAUAUGUGAUCACUCUGAAUGCCCUGGCAAGUACUACCAUGUGAGAUGCUUGACAAAUAGGCAGUUAAUAUUGUAUGGCCCUCGUUGGUAUUGCCCUUCUUGUUUAUGCAGAGGUUGCCUCACUGAUAAAGACGAUGAUAAGAUUGUUUUAUGUGAUGGCUGUGAUCAUGCAUACCACCUUUAUUGCAUGAUUCCGCCACGCAUUUCUGUACCUAAAGGGAAAUGGUUUUGCAGGCGAUGUGAUCUGAAAAUACAGAAAUUACGCAGGGUAAGGAGGGCAUAUGAGAAAUCCGAAAGGUAUGUGAAAAAGAAGGGUGAAGGGGUUAAAAAGGAAUGUGAAAACCGCAAGAAACUGUACAAGGAAGGUGGAGAAGAAUCAGAUAAAGGUAGAGAAGGAAUGGACAUGCUUGUAACUGCAGCACUAAAGUGUGAAGUCGGCUGCCAAUCAAUUGAAGAGUUGAAAAGCACAUGACAUUUUCAGGAAAUUACAAGAUAAAAAUUCAUGGUUUUAAUCAUUGAUCAUAUUGAUUUUGUAUGUGUAACUGAUGUCAAGAAUUUUGAUCCCGCCGCCUUCUGGGGAAGAAUAUUUUGUUAGGCUGUAAACUUAGGUUUUGCUGACUUUUGGAUACUCGACUCUUGGCAGGGCAUGAUUCUGAAGGCUAGUACAUUUACUGGUUGGCAAGUGCCAAAUACAGGACAUGGAGUUACAAGGAUCAGGGAAUCAUUAGAUAAGCAUGUUGGAAUCGAUGUUUUUAACAGUAACAUCUUGUUCAUUUUGUUCCGAACACGGUUCAUUAUUUUUUGUAAGGGAAAGCUAAUCUCUGUCAGUAAUGUUGUAAAAUUACAAAACGCAACCGAAUUUCAAACAAUCUGUGCUUUAUAAUGAGAAGAGAACAUUUUCUUUUGUAAUUCAAUUUCUCAACCCCCAACCAGUGUAUGCAUGCGUACUUCUUCUCUGGUGAGCAUUGAUGUUUAUCUCAUCCCCAGGUGAUGUUUCCUUGCCAGGCCUUUUCUUUGCUUCUAGUGGGUAAAAUACCACAUUUAAGAUUAUGGUUCUAUCAUUAAAUAGCAAUGGGUUUUUUAACAAUCGACACGCAGUCCUAGUUGUAGCCAGAAAACGAAGUUUAAGUUAGCGUUCAUUGGUAUAUGAUACAAUUAUUCGACUCCCUGUUCUAUGAGCAGAGUAUGUGUGACUUAAGCCACCAGGAGCUAGAGCAAUUGUAGGGCAAAAAAGAGGAAAUUGCUGAAUUUAAUUUAUGGCAGUGCUGUCUUUUUGAAACUCCAUUACCCAGCUGUUGUAAGCACAACAUAUGACUUCACAGCCUGAAAAACCAGAUUUCUUUGCUAAGGCUUCGAACUCCAUACCACCAGGAUUUCGAGCCAACAUGCACAGAUCUUGUUCAAAGACAACGUGUGAAGAAGCAAUAUUCUCUGGUGCAACAGGAAGAAGCGAUUCCACGAAUAUCACCUUACCAUUACUUGGAAGAGCUUCCCAACAGUUCUUGAGUAGUUUCAGCCUUUCAGGCAAUGCUCAUCGCUCCAAUCAUGAAGUGUCCACUGCAAGGUACAUUGGUAACUCAACAAAUAAAAGAAUCAAACACGAAGAUCUUAUGUAAAAUAGAUAUUUUGUAAACCAAAGUCUACAUCUUGGGGGCUGCUAUGAAUUAUUUCCUAUGAAGUUCAGGGUAGUCAGAUUUCACUAAAUUUCCUUUCACUCACAUCUUGACAAACUUCAAUCUAAGAACACGUAGAUAGGGGUAAAUGGAGAUGAUAACCCAGAGAGGCUUUACCUUCAUGAAAACAGCAUCUCCAUUUGGCACACUAACAAACAUAUCUCCCCCAACAUGCUCCACGCCUACAACAUAACGUCUUACAGGAAGUUAAAGCUGUCCAUUUCAGAAACAGGAAGGCAAGGAGAAAACAGAAGGCAAAAUAGGACCACCUCGUUGUUUGGCCCCAUACUUUAUAGAGCAAAUUGCAUCAAAAUACAACUGGGAUAGAGCCUUACUUGUACAGUGCUAUUAAAACAAAAGAAGGCAAUGGUACCUGGCUACGAAGGUGCAUCUGCUAAUACAUGGGGCAUAUCAUAAUUUAUGCCCUCAAUGUGAGGAUACUUGGAAGUGAUAAUGUUGAGAGUAUCUCCAAUUCCACCUCCAACAUCAACUAACACCUCGAGCCCAUCGAACCCUUCGUAAAUAUCAAGGAUUUUCUUCAUGAUGAAGGGAGUGUGGUUUGGCAUCGCUUGAUUGAAUACCCUAUUGAACCUAUGGUCAGUGCCUGGAUACUGGAAAGUUGUCAUUCCAUAAGCUCUGUUGAAUGGAACGCCCCCUUCAAGUAUAGCAUCAUUAAAGUGGUACCUGACAGACCAUUGAAUCACGUCAAACCUCGCGCAUUCUGAUCUCUCCCUCUCUUAAUACAAGUCUAGUUGUAGCAAAAAAUAGCCAAAUUCUUUGAAUUGAACUCUUCAUUUCUCGUGUCUGAUUGAGGUCACAUUGUACCCAACCGACCCAUAUGAUUAUUUUACCAUUCAGAAUUUUCUUUAUAUCCAUGAAUUUGUUAAAGCAGUAGCCUACUAUUUAAAAGGUCUACCUCAUGACAGGGUACAGAGUGUGAAACUCUUGCUUUGAUGCUACUUUCUUAUCUAUUCAGGAGCUCUCAGUCUUGUCACACUCCACAUAACCGUUCUCUUAGUGCUCAAGCCUGAUGAAUGACGCUGCUUUCACCUUUUUACAAGCUGUGAUGCACUGUGCCUGUCAUCUUGAGCCUCCUUAGAAUCAUCUGGCUGCAGAUGGAGCAUUUGGGGAAAUUGAGCAAAAAAUACAUUAUACAAACACAAAAAUGGAACUAGAAGCUAAGCACGUCAAUAGGAAUACCACCUGUCAUGAUAGUACUAGACUAGGACCUUAAAAUGAAUCACUCUCCCGGCAGCCCAAGUGAAGGAAGUAAAAGAUGGCCACAGAUACUUUUGAUGUUGGAGCAACAUUAUGUUUCUCUUUCUUGGAAGACUGAGAAGACGAAUUUGCCAUACAAUUCAACAAGAUUGUUGAACUCAAUAAAGGGGAUGAAAGGAAAAAUAAGGACUCACUCAAGCUCCAACAUUUAACGUUGAGAUUGUUUUCGACCCAAGCAAAUCGCCAGGAAGAUAUAAGCAAAGUCAAAUUACAGUAAUCUUAAUCUAAGUCCUGAUAUGACUCGCAACAAUCUUUAGAUAGGAAACUUUCUUGUUUUCACCAUUUGAUGACAGGUAGUGUCCCAUGAAUCUAUUUUAUUUGAAAGUUCACAAACAAAAUGAUCCAGAAAGGUCAAGCCACCGAAAUACAAGAAUGUACCUUUAUGGCUAUUGCUCUAAGGAAGUUCUCAGUUGCACUGUCAUGAUAUGACUCACAACAAUCUUUAGAUAGGAAACUUUCUUGUUUUCACCAUUUGAUGACAGGUAGUGUCCCAUGAAUCUAUUUUACUUGAAAGUUCACAAACAAAAUGAUCCAGAAAGGUCAAGCCACCGAAAUACAAGAAUGUACCUUUAUGGCUAUUGCUCUAAGGAAGUUCUCAGUUGCUCUGUCAGGCUCCCCAAAGUUCAACUGUGCUCUGUCAAGGGUGACCCAUGCCUGAGAAGACCACAGGCAAAAUAAACAAGAGAAUAAAUUUAGCAUACUUUGAGUAAAUAGUUUCUUAGACUUCACUAGAAUUGCACUAAGAAUUAUCCUAAGUUAUGCAGUACAUGUAGCUCUUAUGAACUCCAUCUUACCACAUUACAUGUGACUGCAUUUUAACAAACCUCGAUGUAGCAAAGGAUGCCCUAGAUUUAUGAGCGAAAGGAAAACAAAAAUUACUUGUACGGUACAAGAAAAAAAGGCAGAUGGAGGAAACUUUUCUAGGAGAAAGAAAAAGUUCAGAACAGGAGGUGGCAACUGUCAAAAAAUUGAGUCUAAAACAUAAAAAUCCCAUGAAAGCUAAUUCAGGGGAAAUAUACCGGAGCAGUGAAAUAUUCAACCAGCAAAUUCAUCGAAAGAGAUACAAAAGGAAAAUUAAAUGUUUCCAGAGAAUAAUAUAAAUUAUAUUUUAAAAUAUCAACUUACAAUUUAAGUUAUUGGAUAUUGAAUUGGUCCAUUUGACAUGGUAUAAAAGCCUUAAUGACUAAAUAAUUACGAGUUGCUUAAGCUAUUCAUUGAAUUGCUUACUUGACAGAAGCACCAUAAGAGUAUAGCAUCGUCAUAUCUCAGCCCAUGAAGGUUCCAACUCAGUUGCCCCUGUCAAAUAAAGUCCAAAUUAAAUUAAAGCUCUCACCAGUAUAUACACUCAGAAAAUUGUAAUAAACAAUGUCACGAGUUGCUGCCUUCAAUGCCAUUCCAUGCAAUCUCCAAUUCCAAUCAAAACUUGUGCCUUUUGUUCAUGUAAGACUGCAUUUUCAGGCAUCAAAUUAAGAGCAGCCUUCCACUUCCCAAGUGCUACACGGUAUUUUCCAUCAUUCAAAGAGAUAGCUCAUACAUAAAAUGCCACCACCAUCAUGUACUUAAGCAAAACAAAGAAAAGACUCGAGCCUCUUGUACAAUAAGAAACUCUUCUUCAAUUUGCCAAAGCAAUCCACUGAAACAGACACAAGAAAAUACACGCCCAUACAGAAACAGGUGCCAUCAACAGAAAUAAACACGAGGAAAUACAUUAACUUAGCAUUAUCGACAUAAUCUCUGCAAUGGCAAGAGUUGGAAAAAACUUAUAGAUUAACACCAAGUAAAACAGCUAAACCUUACUAUUAUGACCGAGCAAAUCACUGAGACUCCUCACUGCCAUUCCAAGUAGUAAAGUAGGCAAAUAUAUCAAAAAACCACAUAUGCUUCUUACCCAAAGUGUCCAAAAAACCACAAAUUUCAUAUCUUUAGAAACACAAAAGCUGAAACAAUCACAAAAAAAUAAAUAAAUUCAAUAAUAGCAUAAGUUCCGCACAUAUCAUGGUGUUUCAAUAAUGAACCAAAUUUUGCACUUAAAAAAAGAAAAGAAAAAAAGAUUGAGGGACGGAGAUAUCUCAGCUAGCUGGUUGCCUUGGGCUUGAAACGACUCGAGGAACCCACUUGCUUGCCACCGGUGGCGUGUCUUAUUGAUGAAAAGGGAGGUUCGGGUAUUUUUUAUAUGGCUGCCAAAGGCCGCUUCCAGCUACGACCUGCGGUAUUUCACCAUAUAUAAACCCUCAUUUCCUCUUCUUCUUCCUCACAAAACUGCCGCUCUUCUCUUCUUAAAUCUGCAAAAAGCGACGUCUCCUCCCAAACCCUUGCAAAACUUCCAUUCUCAUGCUUCCAUUUCUGGACUGCUCAACUGCUAGAAUUUGUUUUAUAGAAUUUGUUUACCGGUGUAAAACCAUAUUUUGUAAAAUUUAUAGUUAAUACAAGUUAAAAUUAUAAGCAAUAUAACUAAUAAUAAAUAUAUUUUUUACAAAAAAAAAAUAUAUAUAUAAUAAUAUUAGUAUGUAUACUAAUUAUAUUUUUAGAUUAAUUUCUCAUUCACCUAUAAUUUGUUUAAUUAAAACAAAUUUUCAACAAUUCCCCACAUGAAUGGAAAUUAUCUCACCAGUUUAAGAAUGACUCAAAGAUUUGUUGAUAGAUACUAAUUUAGUAGAUUACUACAUCAGGAUAGGUAGCUUUUGACUUUGAACAUUUCUUAGUGAAAUACUAUCGGAUUUACUCGGCUAAAUAGUAAAGGUGAUGUCGUGAACUAUUUAGCUUUUUGUGCAAACUAAGAUAAUAGUAAUCACAUAGUUCUCAACCUAGAUUUUUCUUUUGGUUCUUACCGUUAUGUUCAUUUGGCCCUAAACAAUUAUUGGAUUCAUGAGUGCUUUACAAAAUUCCAUGUUAUUGAAAUUCUCAAAUAAACGGCUACACUUCUCACUCAUUUAAGUGAUAUUUUAUUAAGAGUAUUUUGCUAUAUUCCACUUGGUGUACCAAGAUAUGAAAAUUAUUAAGAGUUCAGCUCACCAUUUAUCACUCUACAACUAACACUUAUUUUAUUAUAGGAAUAAACAAGAAAUAAUAUUUUUCUGGUGCUAUAAAAAAUGCUAUAUGACUUAGUUUUCUAUUUGAAUCUAUAUCUUGGAAUCUUUAAUCAACUAUGUAUGGUUGUCAUCAUUAUAUUUUUUUUAUUUUUUACAAUGUAUUAUAAUUCACAUGACCUAACAUGACAUGCCAUACAUAACAAGACCCAAGCACAUAAAAAGAAGAGGCAUUCAUAUUUUAGUUCUUAUCAUUGGUUACAAUGGUCAUUAUAUUUAUUUUAAAAAGGUCAUCACACAAAUACCUCUUUAUUAUAAACAUACCACUCUUAAAGAGUAUAAAUAUAUCACUCUAAAAAACCAUCUUAAAAUCAUUCUUAGAUUCAAAACCUUUAUUGAAGGGCUUUUGAAUUUUGGAAUAAAUAAUAAUGAAAAAACCAGGGAUCAAAUCUAAAAGAAAAAAAAUUAAAGGGCUUUUGAAAAUGUGUAGGGUUAGAUGUGAAAAUCGAGGAAAAAAACAAUCGUUGGUGUGAAAAUCGAGGAAAAAAACAAUCGUUGGUGUGAAAAUCGAGGAAAGGAUGGAGGGGCCAUCGUGAAGAUUCAAAUGCUGUUUUGAAAACCGACACUUGACCACCGAACGACUUCACACUCACUGUUUGAAAAGUGCGAUUGUAGCCACAUGCAUCCAUAUGAACAAUAUAUGCCAUCCACUUUUUAAUAUUAAAUAAUAUUUUAUAUCUUCUAAAAUACUAAAUAACUCUUGAUCCAACUUGUUAAUAAUAGAAGAAACCAUAAUGAAAAGAUAAAAAGUGCAAGUUAAAGAUAAUUUGAAUUCAAGUAUAAUGUAAUCAUUGUUCAAUAUUUUUUUGCUUUAAAAAAAAAGAUUUUUUCCUGGAUGUUAGUCUAGAGGUACAAUAGUUUUGCUAAAGGAAUUGCUUUACCACCUUUUAGUUGCUUUAGAAUAUAAUAAUAAUCUGGUAAAAUUGGAAAGUGAAACUCGUCCAUGUCUCCACUUCUUAAAUACAUCCUCCACACACACACAUACAGGGCCUCUUGGUCAACCUCAUAUAUCCGAAAACAAGCAAUCACCUCCACUACUUUUCCGCAGAACUUAUUCUGAUUUAAUUGCAUUGCAAAAUUAUAAUAAAAUUGUGAUUUAUUUCAUGUUGGAUUCCCGCGACCGACUCACUGCUAUAGCAAAUGUUUCUCAUAAUUCAAGAAAAAAAAAAAACAAUGACAUCAGUUGCUGAUAAGAGAAAGAGAAAAAAUUACACACAUCACACCCACCAGCUGUCGUUGCGAAUGUUCCUGGAAUUUCAUGUAGGAAAAUAUGUGGGUGGUAGCAUUCUAUUAACAAGAAAGGGCACAGGGAAACGCUCUAAUUUGAUAUUUUCUGGAGAUGUUUAAGCUAAUGGGAUACUUGAUUCGCAAGCAGCCCUCUCUGAUUGGGUGUUUUUUUUUAUAUCAUGUUUUUAAACAUAUAAAAAGCCUACGCCACGGCCAGAAGAAAACAGAAUUAAAAAAGAAGGAAAAAUAGAAGGAGAAAAAGGAGGCAGAGAUGGAAGUGAAGAACAGUCCAGCUAGUGAGGAAGCGAUCAAAUCCAAGAAAGACCCUUGCUUUAAACUCAGAAAUGAUAGCUUGAUUCCAAAGAGGAGGAGGUUAGUGAAAAGCAUGAUGUUUGACUCUAUUGCCUCUGCAAUUUGUGGCUCCUCUUGUCUUCCUUGUUCUAAACACCAAGAACAGAGCAGGGGUAGUUAUUGUUGUCUCGCAAGAGUCACACCAGCCUAAAAUAUCAGAUGUAUAGCCUGUUAUUCUUGUUCUUGGUAUUACUUUUGUUGUGAUUUGGGUUUAUUUAGAAUAAUUGUUCUUUAAUCGGUGAUGAUAACCGUGGCCCAAGGAGAAGUGGGUUUGGACAGAGGAAGGAACAAGGACAGGGAGAACAGAAUGGUUUAUAUUUAUUGGAAAGUUGUAAUUAAUUAGUUUGAUUUAAAAGUAGUUUUGAUUAUUGAUUGUUUACUCUACUUCUUUGCCUUUUGAUGUAUGGUGGCUGUCCUUUUUAAUGGUUUAUGAUACGCUUCUCCGGCUUACCAGAGCCGGAGGCUCAUCGCGGGUGACCGCUUUCUCAACCGGGUAAAUCCUGCCGGAUUCACAGCAAUUAUAAGCCACGUCGAAAAGGAAAAAUAACAAAUUAACUCUGAUGCCCAAACUUGGAAAAGCCUUGAAAGUGAAAAUGAAAGGCAAAAGGUAAAGGAAAAAAAGGGCAAGUUGGCAAUAGAGUAGAUAAGUAUCAAAAUAGAGUGCAGAGCUAGUUGGCGGCUACUUCAAGGGGCUGUGAUCUUCACUUCAACGAUUGUUUUUCAAAUUCUCUACCUGAAAUGAAAUAAUUGUUUGAUUUUCUGAGUUGUAUUUUACUCGAAUAUCGAACCCAUUACCUCCAUUUGUUUUUUUUUUUUUACCCGAAGUUUUUUUUUUUGUUUUUUUGAAAAAAAAAGUUCAAUUAACUAGAUAAAAUUAGGUCUUAAAAUCUUUUUGACUAUACAAAAUUAGAUUUGAGGAAAGUCCAUUAGUUUUAAAAAUUUAUAAAUAAAUAGGUAUAUAAUUAAAAAAAAUAUAUGUAAUUUGGGUAACCUGAUUUUUUUUUUGUUUUACCUGAAUUACUCAAAAAUAAACUUCAAGUAAUUCUCCAAAUUACCCAUUAUCUGAUAUUUUUUGAAAUUUUAUUACUAGAAUUGGUUCGGAUAAUUCGAGCAAUGUGAGAUUUUCUUAAAUAAUACUUAUAAACAUAUCUCACACUAUCUUUCUUAAAUCUUCAAUUUCAUGAAUUACAAGCUCGACACAACCAAACACAAAACACUCUCAACUUUCUCAACAAAAUCAACCCACAAACACCUCCUCAUCCUCCGUCAUCAUUUUCACAAUUCUCCCCGUAAAACCCCCAAUUCUCCUGCAACCCUAACCAAGGGCGGAGCCUUUCACAAGGCUCCGUUGGGCUGUAGCCCAGGUAGGAUAAAAAUAAUAAUAAUAAAAAAAAAGAGAAAGCAAGAAAAAAGAGGAAGCACGUUCUAAUGGGGUUUUUCUUCUUUGUUAGAGUUGCUGUUUCCAAGGGUUUAUCAUCAUCAUUAGCUAAGUAAGAAAAGUGACGCAGAGGAAGAAGACAAAGCUCUAUUAUAAUCCCUUUUCAAAAGGUUUACGGUACUAUCGUAGGAAAGUUCAGGAUUUUCUUUAAAUUUUAAAAUUUUUAUUUAAAAUUUAAUUUUUUUAAUAUAUUUAGAUUAUUUUGAUAUAAUUUAUCAAAAAUAAAUUUUAAAAAUAAAAAAAUUAUUUUAAUAUAUUAAAAAAAACACUUUAAAAAACAUCUAUCACACUCCUAAACAAACCUACAUCUCGCAAAAUAAAUUCAGAAACCAACUAUAUUAGUUACUUUUUGGAUAAAUUAUAAAAUUAGCAUGGUUAUUUUUAAAUUUAGAUAGAAUAAUAUAUUUCAAAAAAGUUAUGGCGAUAUAACACGCUUCUUCUACAUAUCACUAUUGAGAAUCAAGAUAUUUAAAUAAUGUUAUAUAUUAUAACCGUGACAUUUAAAUUGAUGUUAUAGUUGGGGAUCAUAAUAAAAUUUUAAUUGAUAUCGUAAUUGAUUUUUUUAUUUGGUUAGUUGCAGCAGCUAGAAAUGAGAUUUCUAUUUGUUUAUUUUUUUCAAAAUUGACAACCAUUAUCAAUCUUAUUAGUGCUUCUCCCAAACGUCAUACAAAGAAAUUGCACAUAUGGUAGCUACUAGAGAACGUGAGACUAGUAGAAGGCCUAAUCAAAUCAGUAAUUUACAUCGAAGUGGAACUACUCGCUGGAGUUCUCAUUUUGAUUCUAUUUGCAGUUUAAUAGAUAUGUAUGGUGCAACAAUUACUGUGCUUGAAAGUAUGGUCCAAGAAGGAUCUUCUAACUCUAUACAUGGAGAAGUUGGUGGUUGUUUGAUUGUGAUGAAAUCUUUUGAAUUUAUAUUCAUCUUAUAUUUGAUGCAUAAAAUAAUAGGGAUUAUUGAUUUACUUUGUCGAGUUUUGCAGCAAAAAUCUCUUGACAUCUUAAAUGCAAUGAAUCUUGUAUCAAUUACUAAAGCAUUGCUUCGAACUUUGAGAAAUGUCAGAUUUGAUCUUCUUCUUGCAAAUGUGCAAUAUGUUUGCACAAAAUAUGAGAUUGACAUACCACAUAUGAAUGCUUCGUAUAAAAAGACUAUAAGUCGUUCAUGUCAAGAAUAAGGUUCAGUGAUAGCUUACCAGCAUUAUUAUCAACAAUAGAUUUUCAGUUGAAAGAAUUAAAUUUUAAAUUCAGUGACAAAAUAGUGAAACCCCAGUCAUCCCCAAAUUCAGAAUAACUAUCACCACCAACAAUCACAUCAGGACCUUCCUCACUUCACUGAAUUGCCUUGGGUUUCUCAUCAACUUGAAGAUGACCGUCAACCGCCGCGUGUUCACCUGAAUUCGAUCACCAUGUCCACGAACCCCAACCUAGUUUUACAGUUUUGCAUGAUGAUCGACAAACUAGGGAUGAAGUGGAAUGUAAUCCUAAUCCUAACUCUUCAGGACUGUAAUGUUAUGAUUGAUGGUGAGAGUGAGCAUUAUCAUCAUCGUGGUGAAUAUGGAUCUAAUUCUGAAAGAUCUUCCUCUAGAGAUUUUCGAGCUGUUUCGAAUCAACUAAGGGGUUUCAAGUCAAAUUCAAUGAAUUAUGAGAAUAGAUGCUGUUUAAAUUAUUAUUAUUAUCAUGGGAAGGUGCGUGACAAUAAUAAUAAUAAAAAAAGGGUGUUACGAAUCAACCACGUGAUUCAUUGAUUGAGUCUGGGAGCAACAAGAUUGAUGAUGGUGAAAGUAGGAUCGUUGCUGGAAACUUGAGCAUCACAAGAGGCAAGAGCAGAGAAGGAAAUUUGGAGUUGGAAAGGCAUGGAGGUGAAAGAAGUAGAGAGGGAGUUAUGAGUGUAAUAGGACUCCAAGGAAGCAAUAAAAGAUUUUUUGGGUUAAGUGGCUGGUGGUUAGGGUAUUUUUAUUUGAAUGGAGAAGUUGUAAUAUUAGCUAUUUUAAAUUUUAAAUAUUAAAUUAAAUAUAAUAAUAAUUAUUAUGUAAAUAAUUAGAUAUUUCCUUUUAAUUUUUUUUUGACUUGUCAACUUGAUGAUGUAAACUAUUAUAAAUAUAUUAAAUUACAUGAUUUAAAAUUAAAAUCUUAAAAGGAAGUGUAAAUAUGAUCAAGGUUUUUUUUAUAUAAUUAUACGAAAUUAUUUAUACAUGAUAGAAAAACAAGUUGGAAAAUUAAGAAAGAAAACGCGACUCCCCAGCUACAAAAUAAUUCAAUAAUGACCCUUGAAAAGAAAAGAAAAGAAAGAAAUAAUAGUGACGCGAUGCUCUCAAAGAUAAAACACAAGAGGGUGGUUAAAUUACAGUAGGUAUAUUAAUAAAAUCCUAUUAAUUGAAAUAGUAUUUUGGGUGUUUUUUUAUUUAUUUGUUUUUAGUUUUUUUUAUUUCAUAUUUCAACAACAUAGUUUUUUUUCCUUAAUUUUUUUAAUAUUAAAUUGUUUUAGAAAUUAUACUUCAUAUUUUUUUUUAUUUCUUUCUAUUAUGUUAUAUACUAGCCUUACAGAUUUGAUUUUUUUUUUCUUUUAAAUUCAACCUUUAACAUUCGAUUUAUAAGAGCAACUCUAGGGGUGUGCUAAAUAAAAAACUAAAAAUUAAAAUAAUAUUAUUUUGACUCUUUCAUGCUUAUUUUAUAAGCUCCAAAGGGAAUGCUAAACAAAAUGUCAAAAUGCAUUUUCUCUUCCACAAAUGUUAUUCCUACAUAUCUCUCAAAAGAAGUCAAAACUAACAAAGUGGGCUCAACAAAAAAAUAAACCAAUUAAAUGUAGCCAUGUGAAAAAAAUAACAUCAAACUCAUUAAGAAAACAUAAGACACUUAUUUCUCCUACUCCAUUACUAUUGGCUUUUCAAAUGACAUUUUCUCAUUGGAGUAUACAUGGUAAAAAAAAAAAAAGUCUUAUUUAUAGUAUUCAAAAUGUUAUUUUAUCAAUUUAGCUCUUCAAAAUAGCAUCUCCCUUGAGAUGCUCUUAGAAGUGGGGAUUUGUAAUUUUUCUUGAUAUAUUUUCUAUGAAUUUAUCUUGAUGCCAUGACUUAAGUUAUGGGUUUAACAAACUAAGUCGGGUUGACUCGAGUUGUUAUUUUUCCAUUUUUUUUAAUCAUUUUUUUUCGAUUUCAUAUUUCAACAAUGAAUUGGUUGAAAAUUAGGAUUCAUAAUUAUUUUUUUAAUUUGCUUUUAUGUGGGGUUAUUCCAAUCUUAUGAUUUAGGUCACAGGUAUGACAAGUUGACCUGAUUGACUUUGUUUAUUUUUUUUGGAUCCUUUUUUAAUUGAAUGUUUUUUAAAUAUGGCUUUGUAAUUUUUUUUAUUUACUUUCUAUGAGGUUAUCCCGAUCUCAUAACUCAUGUCAUGAAUUUUGUAGGUUGACUUGAAUUAACCUGAUUUAUUUUUUUGGAUUCUUUUUUAAUGGAUUUUUUUUCAAUCUUACCCACCAACAACUUCUUCUUCUUCUUCUUUUAGUUUUUGUCUUCAACUUGAUUUUUUAAUAUUAGGCUAUUUGGAAAUCAGACUUCAUAAUUUUUUUUUAUUUCUCUAAGUGAAGUUAUCUUGAUCUUAUGAAUGUAGGUUUUUUUUACCUCUCAAUUUCUACUUUUAACAUUGGAUCUGUUGGAAAUAGAACUUCAUAUUUUUUUAUUUGUUUUCUAUGAGAUUAUUUCAAUCUUAUGAUCUGGGUUGAGGGUUUGAUAAAUUAACCCAGGUUGACUUGGGUAUUUGUUUUCUUCUAUUUUUUAAUAUAAUAUAUUUUUUUCAAUUUCAUUCUUCAAUAUUGGGUUGAUUAGGAAUUGACUUUCAUAAUCUAUUUUGAUUUUCUUUAUAUAGAAUUAUUACAAUUUUAUGACAUGGUUCGCAGAUUUGACAGGUUAAACUAGGUAGAUCCAAUAUACUGCUUCUCAAUAUUUGAAAAAAAAAUCAUCUAAUAUAUUGUUGUAUCAAUAAUUUUCUUAAAAUAUCAUCCAAUAUGCAUCAUAUUUUAAAUUUAUAAUUAAAAAAAUUAUUAAAAAAUAUAUUGCAAUGCUUGAAUAAUUUUUUUUAUUAUAAAAAAAUUAAUCUAACUUAAAACGCAAUACAAACCCAUAACCUAGUUUCAAACUAACAGGCUAACAGAACUCUUUAUCGACGGCGUUGACGGCUUUCUCAUAUAAAGUUGAAGUAACAAACAAAUUCGGGUCAUGUGACAGAAUCUCAAUACUUUGCCAGAAUUCAGGGCCUCCAACCAACAUUCCACCGCCACCCAUUUUUUCACACCGACUUAAAAAACGUGAAUUGAUAAACAAGUUCAUACGGCUUAAUAUAUUUUUAUUUUUUAUAACAGAUUAAUUUUUUAAUAUUUUUACAUUUUCAAUUAAAUUAAUUUUAUUUUUAAAUAUGUUAAGUUUCUAAUCUAUUUUUUGGGAUAAAAACUUAAAGUUACAUCAAAAUCAAUCAUGUAAUUUGCAAAUAAAAAUCUUCUAUUUCAAUAUAAAAAAUAAAAAUAUACAAAUCACGUGAUUAAUUUUAAUAAUCUAGCCUAAAAAUCUUAUAAAUCAGAAAUUUAAUAUGUAUUAAAAGAAAUUCUUGAUUUGAUAAAAUAAUUACUUUAUAUAAAAAAUUAAAUCAUUAUUCUAUAAUAAAUAGAUAAAAUUACAAAGUGAAAUAAUAAGUCAGUAAGACGUCGGAAAGAAGGUUUCACCAAGACCUAAGGACUAGGUGAAAGACUAAUUGCCUGAAAAAAUAAAUAAAUAAAAUUAUAAAAGAAAAGAAAUUCUUUGUUUUAUAUAUAAAUACUAGAUAGGUGGCUCGUGCUAUGCCACAUACCUAUUUUUUUUUUAUUGUAGAAAAGAUAUCAAGAGGAUGUAAAUUUGUUUUAUUUUAAAAAAAUCUAAGAUUUUGAUCAUUGACUCGAGAUAAAAAAAGAUUAAAAAGCAAUAAAAAAAAGUCCGAGUCAAACCUGAUAAACAUGUUAAAUCCAUAACUUGAGACAUGAUAUCAGGAUAACUCUAUAGAAUGAAAAGGUAAAAAAAACAAAGAAUAUCAAUUUCCCAAAAAAAAUAAUUACAAAUCAAAUGUUAGAGGAUGAAACAAUAAAUUUAAUUUAAUUAAAAAAUAAAAUUCCUUUUAAAGAAGCAAAAUUUAACAAAAACAAAAAAAAACUCAAGGCAACCCUUGUUAUUUUAAAAAGAAAUAUAGAUCCUAUAGAAAGAGAGUAAAAAAGAAUGUUAGAUGAUGAUGAUGAUAUAUAUAUAUAUAUAUAUAUAAAAGAGCUUGAAAAGAAAAAAAACCAAUCAAACUCGGAAACCUGAUUUAAACUCUCAAAUUCGCAAUCCGUUAAAUUAUUGACUCGGGCUCAACCUAGAAGCUGAACACCUAAAAAAUUAAAUGUUGGAGGAUGAAAUCAAUCAAUUUAAUUCAAUUUUAGACAAAAUUCAUUCAAAAAAGAAAAAAAAUAAUAGUCAAGGCAACCCGUGUUAUUUUCAAAAUGACUAAAAAAUACCAUAGAAAGUGAAUUAAAAAAUAACAAAAUGCUGGAGGAUGAAAAAAAAGAUAAAAAAGGAAAAAAAAACCAAAGAAACCUGUGUCAAUUUUGUAAAUCGGGGCUAAUCUCUUAAACCCGCAAACCGUUAAAUUUAGACUCGAACUCAACUAAAAAGCUAACCAUCCGUCUAAUUAAAUGUUGGAAGAAGAAAUAAUAAUAAUAAUAAUAAUACAAAAAUCAAUCUAAAAACAUUUUGCAAGGUCAAAAAAAUACAACAAUAAAAAAAGAAUUAAAUUUCACAUAAAAAAACCAAAGAAUGAUGAAAUUGUAAAAAACAAAUUACCAAAACCAUCUAAAACAAAUAGCAAUUAAAAGAACAGGAACCAAAUUUGUAGAUGAAAAUAUCAAUUGUGGAUUAAAUUGAAAAUAAUUCUUAAUUUAAUAAACUAUUCUAAAUUAAAAAAAUUGCAACAAAGAGAACAUUGAUGAAAUUAAAAUAACCUCUUAAUUUCAUAAAGUAUUCUAAAUUUUAAAAAUUGUAAUAAAGAGAAUAGGGAUGCAAUCUUAAGUACAACAAACUUUAGGGGUUGAUUUGAUUUUUUUAAUUCCAACAUGAAAAUCAAGUAGGAGAGAGGGUAAAAGAAAAAAUAAAAUAAAAGAUCAUAAGUGCCACACCAGUCACCAUAGUGCUACACACGUUGUUGAUCUAUGGAGAGGCCAUUGAGAUGCUUCGAAAGCCACCUUGGAAUCAUGGUUUUUUCCAUAGGACGAUGCCACAUGCGUCGUCCGAAGGCGGCUGACACUAUUUAUCCAAUUCUUUUUUUUUAUUUUUAUUUAUCAAAUUGCCCUACUGCCUCCAAAGACACCCAAUAACCACCAAAUGACCACAUGUAAAUGACAAAAGAUCCCCUAAGUCAAAGACAAUUGUUUUUAAUUUUUAAGAGUAAUAAGGUAACUUACUUGUUUAAAAAUAAAGUCAAAGACAUAAAAGCCUCUUGACCAAAGUGAGUUUUUUUUGUCUUUUAAAGGCAAUUAAGUAAUCACUGUCAAAUAAAACACAUAAUUACUGUCUAGCUCCUUCCUUUCCUUUCAAGUAAUAAUCAACAUGUCCUAUGAAAAAUAUCAUCAUACUACUAGACUUAAGGGAUAAUACUUUAUCCACCAAAAGCUAAAAUUAGCCUUUAACUGUGGAUUUGCACAAUAAAAAGCUAAUGCCUUUUAGUUUAUUGUUAAUUUAUAGCCUGUAACAAAGGAGCUCAUGAUCAUGAACGAGAAAGAGUGGGACAUAAUGCACAAAUACAUAAGGAUGAUUUUGCAAAGAAGAACUGAAGGAGGGAGAGAUAUAUACAUUGGGCAUCUUCUCCCCCCCCCCCCCCCAAUAAUUAAGGGGGCAAUUGACAGUUGACAAUAAAAUUGUUUGCUCAAAAUUUAUUUAUUUAUUUUUAAGAUUAUAUUUUUUUAGUGUUUUUGAAUCGUUUUGAUGCAUUAAUUUCAAGAAUAAAUUUUAAAAAAUAUUAUUUUAAUGUAUUUCUGAGCGGAAAACACUUUGAAACACAACUUCUACUACACUCCAAAACAGGCUCCGAGAAGAGACAUUGAAUAUUGACCCCUUUUCUUUUCCUUCGUAAUUUUUUGUGUGAGAAUAUAUCAACAUUACCAUACGUCAUAUGUGUGCUUAGAGUAACUUGGGUUUCCUCGGGUUUCCAUUUUUUAUUUUUUUUUAUUUUUGAAAUUGAUUUUGUUUUUCAAUUUCAUCAUUCAAUAUUAGGUUAUUAGCCAUGAACUUCAUGAUUUCUUUCACAUUUCUUUUUAUAGGGUUAUCCCAAUUUUAUAUCAUUGUUUACGAGUUAGUCAGGUUAACUCAUUUUUUUUUGACAUUUUUUAAUUGAUUUUUUUUCAAUUUGCCUUACAUCAUUUAGUUUGCUUAAGAGUUGAUCGUUAUUGUUUUAUUCAUUUUUUUUUUGUAUGAGAUUAUCCUGGUCUUACAAUCGCGCUACUCGAGUUAGGUUUUUUUAUCCUUUUUUAAAAAUGAUGUUUUUUAGUUUGUCCCUCACAUUUGAUUUACUAGUAAUUAAGUUUCAAAUUUUUAUUUUAUUUUUCUCUUUAUGAGGUUCUUUCAUUCUCAUUCAAUUUUUGCUAAUUUGUUAUCAACUAAUCAUUACACCUUUUAAGAAUAUUUAGAGAGUAUAUUUUUUUAAUAUUGACAUGCGUUCAUUUUGUUUUAUUGGUCAUUGGUUUUUUUUGUCAUUUGAUUUUUUUAAUUAUAUUAUUGAAUUAACCAAGAUUAUUAAACUCAUUUGAAUGAAUAACCCGGGUCCUAGAUUUUUCUUACUCUUUUAAAAAUGUUAUCAUCACCUAGGUAUUUUUUUUAACAUUAAUUUUUUUUCACCUAACCCAAGAUGUAGCGUGAUUGUUUACCAGUGUUAAAUACUACUAGUAAUCAAUUUUUCAACAAAUUUAGGGUCUUUUACCAUUCUAACACAAUUUAAUAAUUUUUUUUAGGAAAUAAGACAAGUAAAAAAGUAUUAGAGAAAUAACUACUAUUGAGAAUAACAAUUGUUUCAAAAUUCAUAUCUCAUUCAAAUUAUUUAACAUGCACAAAAAUCGAUUCAAAAUUUUAUGAAGAUCCAAUGGCAAAAAAAUGAGAUUCAAGAUCCAAUGACCAAGAAAGAAAGAGAAGAUAAGCUGAUGUGGCAUGAGAGAGAAAGAUUGAAGAAAGAAUGAGUUACUAGGGACAUGUCACUGCUCCGUUUUUGAUACACUCAAUACCGUUAGAAAGAUUUCGACGAUAUGAUUCUAAUCAUAUCUUAGAAGACCAUCGAAUGAGGUCGUAAUUGGUUAUGGAUUUUGUUCUGGGCUAAUUAUGACCUCGUUUGGUGGUCUUCCGAGUUGUAGUUAGAAUCGUCUCGUUGAGAUCUUUCUCAUAGUACUGGGUGCAUAAAAAACGGAGCCUCAGUGUUCCUAAUGACCAAUUUUUUUUUUUCUUCCAUCAUUUAUCUCUCAUGUCAUAUUACUUUAUUUUCUGUAUCUUUUUUGACUAAUGGAUCUUGAAUCUCAUUUUUUAACAAUUAUAUUUUUAUAAAAUUCUAGAUUGAUUUUUAUUUAAAUUAAUUAAUUUACAAAAUACAUACAUUCUGGAACAUCACUACACAACAGCUAAGAGGAAUAAUGAUUGCUUGCAAAAAUGAUAUUCAUAAAGAUGGUUAUAUUCAAACAAUGCUUUUUUAUUUUUUUCAACGUAUAUCUUUCUCCCAAAGUUCUUACUAAACUAUGUUAUUUUUUGAAAAAAUUCACAGAUUUAUUACAUUCCAGAAAUCAAGGCAGUACACAAGCAAGCACCUGCAGCUUAAUUAUUCAAAGCAUCAUUACAAAGGACUGCUACUCAUUGAGACCAUCAUAAAUUCCCUUGAAUUGUAAUCAAUUCCAGAAUGGCUUUUGACCCAUCAUCGUCAUCUUUCCACGAUAGAGUCCUGUGAUUGGAAUUUAGUUAGCAGAUAUUCCAUUAAUAUUAUUUUACAACUUCUUUUAUGAUCUGAAUUCUGAACUGUCAGGGUCAAAAUUUCAAAAUAUAUUCAGUCGUGGUCAAAAGUCUGUUCACAACAAAUGAAGGCGACAGUGUGAAACGCACCUAGGCACACAAGGCCUUUUGUAAUUCUCUCUUUCUCUUUAGAGGUAUUUUAUAAUUCUAUCAUAGUUUAAUACAAGUUUUUAAAUAACAACAUAUAUUAGAAAAAUAUUUAAAAAAUAACACAGUUUAAACAAACUUGCUAUUAAAAACCGUGGUUAUAUAUUGUCGCUAUUAAAAAUAACGAUUGUUUCAAAAGUUAUUUUUCAAUCAAAUUAAUUAAUCGCUACAAAUCAAUCUAAAUUUUUAUGAAAAUUCAAUAAUAAAGAAAUAAAAUUUAAAAUCUAAUGGCUAAGAAAAAAAUGGGUCACUGGGAACACUUUGGAGCUUUAUUUUCGAGAUACUCAGUACUGUUAGAAAGAUCUCGACAAGACAAUUCUAACCACACCUUAAAAAACCACCAAACAUGGUCAUAAUUUAUUAGAGUUUUUGUUCAGAGUUAAUUACAACAUCGUUUAAUAAUUUUUCAAGGUGUAGUUAGAAUCGUUUCGUAGAGAUUUUUUUAACGGUACUGAGUAUGUAAAAAACGAAUUCUCGAUGUGUCCCCAAUGACCCAUUUUUUCUUUCAAUUUUUUCUUUACCAUAUCACCUUAUCUCCUUAGCGCAAAAAAAAAAAAAACCUAUGAUGUUUUUUCACCUUUAGUUUUGAUAAUUUACAAUAAAAGAAAGCACUCCUGUUAGUUUUGAUAAUUUACAAUAAAAGAAAGCACUCCUGACUAGCAAAAGGAACAAAAUAAAGAUACCAGCAAAUUAGGGAAAUAAGAAAUCAACGUGUCAUAAAACUAAUUCAAUUCUUCACUUGCAAGCAUCUCUCCCCAUGGUGGAAUUUCAACAAGAAGGAGAAUUAAAAAAGAUGCCAUCAUUUACAGCUUAGCAUAUAAGCCCCAACACACCUUAGAGGCUCAUGUAGUUAACAGAACAUAGACAUCUACUUGCACAAACACAGUUCUUCUAAGAAGCAGAGAGACUGUGCGCUCAGGAAGCAAAGCAGAGAUACAGAACAUGGAGCCUGUUGGUGUGGAAGUGAACAGAGACAAAGAGGACCCAAGCGAGGAAAUAGCCAGAGCCGAGAUAGAAACAUGGUUCAAGCCCAAGAAUGGAAGUGUAUUUCCAAAAGAGAAGAGGUUGGUGAAGACCAUGAUGCUUGAUUGUUUUAUCUCUGCUUUCAGCUCUCCCAGCGGUACUCCUCCUUCCUCUAAUGCCCAAGAAAAUAACAAAGCUAGUAGUUGUUACAGAAACACGGGUAAGCCAUCAAAAGUAUCAAAUGCCGAUUGAAUCUUGUUGCUGUCAAGUAAUUAAUUACUUGUACUGGGUUAUGAUAUGAAGAUGUAUGUUAGGGUAUAAAUUGUGUCAAGAGGGAAGGGGUUUGAGCAGUGUAACACCUGAUGUAUGUUUUGGUGACCUUUAUUACAAUAUUUGUGUACGUUUUCUUUUCUAUGGGAUUUUAAUUACUGGUGUAGUUCCCUGCCUUCUUAUAUCAUGGCUGAUGUUCUGACAUUUUAAUGAUUAAUGGAGCUUUUCUGGUUCAUGUUUGCCUCACAAGUAACCAGUUUAUCAACCGGGAAAGUUCACAGAAAUCCCGGUGAAACGGCUUAAUGAUUGAACAGCACAAGCUUCUUUUGAGUGACUUGAAAAGCUGAGGUUUCCUGUAAAAGAAACGAAGAAAAUGAUAAGCUAUCGGUUAAAAUCCUUUCAGUUUUUUCUGGGAGGAACUGCUAGUGCCUAUCCUGUUAAUUAGUGGGUCAUAGUUUUGAUGCCCCUAAACAUAGACUUAAGAGGGUUAAUAAAGAAUAGAUUCAGAAAAAUAUAAAGCACAAACAAUCCGACAAUAUAUUCUGAUAGGCAUUUUGUGGACAUUUAACUGAAAAUUGAUUUUGAUUCUACAAAGACGAACACCCUUUUCAGUCUACCUAGCUAUUUUAUUCUAUGACCUUUUUCUUUACAAAAAAAAAAAUUAAAAAAAAAAUACAGACGAAUGAUCGCACUCACUGUAAGGGAUCUUAUCAAUCCUCAUGCAGAAUAAUUUGAUUAAAUUAAAUUAAAUUAAAUUAUGUUUAACUUGACUUAAAUCAAAAGCUUGUUAUAAAAUCGAGUCAAUAUUCAAAAGUUCAAAUUUUCAACUUUUAACUUAUGAAUUAAGACUUAUAUUACAUUCAUUUUUCAAAAUAAUUUCUUUGAGUUAUUUCUACCAAAGAUAUUCUUAAGUCAAAAUCAUUCUAACUUAUUUUUAUCAUAAAUUAUUUAUAUAAAAUAAUUUUUAAAUUAUGAUUUAAAGUUAAGAAUCAUAAUUUAAAAAAAAAAUCAUAUGAAUCCGAUUCUAAGUGAUUAGUACAUGCUCUAUUUUAAAGACAAUCGAGAUAGCUCAAUAAUAUUGAAAUUGUAAAUUAAGAAAGAAAAAUAGGAUAGAUAGAGAAUAACUUGUCCUUUAAAAUCGCUUAGGUAUAAUUUAGUUAUUAUCAUGGGAUGGAAGAGAUGAAAAUAAUAAAGAUAAAGAAAACAAGAUAGAACAAGAGACAUAGAAAAAAUUAUGUUUGAUAAUAGUGUAUAAGAACUAUUUUUGUAUUUUUUUUAUUGAUGAUGGACAAGUUAGAAUAAAAUAUAGAAAAAAUUUAUUUGAUCCUUAAUAUGUUUUAUUGUUAAAAUUACAUAAAAAAAUAAUUAGAUUUUUUUACUUUAAAUUUUUGUUGAGUAUUGAAAUUAAUAAUAAUAUAAUAAUUCUAGUUAUAAAACUCAUACUGAGUUGGUGGGCCGACCUAGGAUUUUACCAACUCGAGGCUUGGAUCGAUCUGGGUUUAAGAAAAAUGGAUGAACGAUUGACUUGGUCAAAAACUUAGGUCGCCCUUGACUUGGUACACUUAUGCCCCGUUUGUUUGCUGGAAAGUAGUUUCCUUUUGGAAAGUGAAUUCCAGAAAAGUGAAUUAUUUUCCGAUGUUUGGUAGUGUAAAGGAAAAUAAGUUGGAAAACAUUUUUCAGUAUUUGGUUAUGUCAUGAAAAAUGAGCUGCAACAUAACAUAGUAAUGUUUUAUUUUUUUCAAGUUUAUUAAAAUAAUGAUGAACAAAUCUUACAAAUUAAAAAGUUGAAUGAGAAUGAAAUUGAAAAAAAAUAUAAUUUCAUAAAUUAUCUCAAAUAAAAUAAAUAAUAAUCAAAAUAAUAGAGAUCAAAUCUAAAAAAUAAAAAAAUUAAAAGAUGAAGAAAUUAAAAUAAUAAUAAUUAACAUUUCAUAAAUUAUUUCAAAUAAAAUAAGUAACAAUCAAAAGAAUGAGGACCAAAUUUGAUAGAUAAAAAAUUUCAAUUAAAAAAUGAUAAGGGAAAAGCAAAUAACAAUUAUAAAAAUGAGGACAACAAAUAAUAUAAAAAAUUAAAUUCUAGGGGAUGAAAUUGAAAAACAAAUAUUCAAAACAAAAUAUAUAUAGCAAUCAAAAGUUUGAUGACCAAAUUUGAUGUAAUCAGCAAAUAAUAUGACAUUUCUAAAUUUUUCACAACUUUUGGAAAGUGUUUUCCGCCCAAAAUAAAAGGAAAACACUUUCCUGAAAACAAAGCCAAAUUUUUCUUUGACUGGAAAGUGUUUUUCGUUGACCGGAAAGUAUUUUGUGUUGACCAACUUUACUAAUGACAAACAAACAUUUGGAAAGUGGUUUCCCAGAAACCACUUUCCGGGAAACAAACGCACCCUUAAGGUAAAACUUAAGUAAAAAACUUGUUGACUCUUUUAUUUUUAAGAAAAUAUUUUUGGGUUUGACCCUCUCUACUCGCGACCCUAGCCUUGUCCUGAGUUGACCAUUGGAUCAGGUUUUAAAAAUAUGACAAUGAUCAUUUUUAUCCUUACAUGUCUUAAUUUAACAACUUUGAAAUUAAGAGUUUCUUAUAAAGAUAUUUUAGGGAUAAAAAAUAAAAAAUAUUGCAUUUAGAGAAAUGUUUCUUUUACACCUUCUGUUUUGAAAAUACAAAAAUUCACUCUAAAAUUGCUUGAUAGACAUUUUUAUUUUUAUUUUUACCUCUUCAACCAAACACGUUUUUUCCCCCAUUGUCUUCAUCUCUUUUUUAUCAAGACAGUAACUAAACGAUACCUUAUAAAUAUUGAGAGUAUGUUUUGUUGGCAUUUUCUACGAAGCAUUCAUAAGGCUUUUAUUAAAAACAUUUUUAGAAAGGAUUUUUGCACUUUCUUUCAUCAUGAAAAUAAUGUAUAUAAUUUUGUUAAAAAUAAAGUUAAGCAGCCGAAAUGACUCACCUCCAGUCCAUUUAGGCUACUCUAGUAUAUUUGGGCAAGCAAACCAAAUAGACCACCUCCAAUCAUUUUAGGGCAACUUACUAAACAAACUGCUUUUCAAUCUGUUUAGGCUAGCUUGACCCCUUCUUUUUCUCUCAUUUUUACUUUAAACAAUUAUUUAGGUCUUGAUCCAAUACCAUAAAAAAUUCUAGGUUAUUGGCACACACCUCAAUAUAAUUCUUUUUAAUCCUGAGAAGUGUUGGACGUACACCAAAUUUUCUCAUGUAGAGCAAACACCACUUUUCUCACCAAUAACCAUCAAUUUAUCGCUAAUCACCCAUUUUUCCACCAAUAGCACGCGGCCAUGGUACUAUGACAUUGCUAACCAUAAGACACCCGCAACUCCGCUCUCCACUUACAAUGAGGUGUUGUAGUAUCACUCUCUAUAAUACAAGCACCAAUCUCCCCACCAAUGAUAUUCUCCACUCACCACAAGGCUUUCUAUCAUUGAUCCACUUGUGGUAAGUUGCACAUCAAGAAAUAAUUGCAACAAUUUUGACCAAAAUCUAUAAAAACCUCUUGUCACCAAUUAAGAAUGGACAUAAUUUUAUCUAAUAAGCAAUCGUCCAUAACUUAUAGUAAACACAAGCAAUGUAAUAGCUAUAAGCAAUCAUCCAACACUUCAAGAAACCAUACAAUAAUUCUAGGAAUCACCAACAUACCUUUAACAAUCUAAUAAGCUCACACAGAACACCCAACAUUCAUAAAUAUACUCUUCCAUGUUUUUAAUUCUUUUGCAUAUUGUUUCCCUCCUAUAUUUUACUAACUUAAGUAUUGAAGGGUCAUUUGUUCUAAUAGGGAAUUUCUUUUAUAGAGAAGCUUAUGGACAGACGGUCAAGCCUAGCCACUACACUAGCCUAGGAAACUAUACAGCCAAGUAGGGUCACUAGGACAUGAACUUAGAGUGAUUUAGAAUGUAAUUUGAUAAUCAGUAUUACUCUAAAUAUCAACGUAGAAUAAAGGAACAAGAGUUCUUGGCAUUGAGGCAAGAACAUAUAUCAGUGCUCGACUAUGAGAGGAGGUUUCAUGACCUUUCCAUAUUCGCUUCCCAAUUUGUUCCUACUGAGCAAUAUGUGAUUGAUAGAAUAUGAGAUGGGUUGCGACAAGAAUUGAAACAAGGGUUGAUUGCAUUUCAAUUUGGGAUAGUUAGAGAGCUCAUUGAGGCAACUUGGGCCUUAGAGUCAUGUAUAGUAGAAGGUUAGUAGAGUCAGUCUAAGACUGGUAAGAGAAAUGAUGUUGAUUUUUUACUCGGAUAGAACUCCUCCUCCUAAGAAAGCCAAAAGGUAGUUUGGUCGGUUUAGGAAAAAAGAAAGGGCAUAACUAGUUUUAUACAGAGUAUUGAAGUAGGGUUAACUAAAGGACGGUCAAACCCAAGGGCUGUUUUGGUUGGAGGAGAUUAGAAACCAUUACCUAUCUUUAUUGUACUUGGUGUGAACAAAAACAUAUGAGAGAUGGUUCUGUAUCAUCAGGAUGAUGUUAUCUUUGUAGAGGAGAGGGGCACUGAUGGCCUGAUUGCCUUUAUUUGGGAAGAGGAUGUUAUUAUUAUGGAGAAUAGGGGUGCUUACCAAGAUAUUGUCAUCGGAGGGCUGAGUUUACAUAAGGUCAUAGGCAACAGACCUAGAGUCAGCAACAAUUAGUCAUUGUAAAUAGACCUACUAGACCAACAUAGUCAGGAGCUAAUGGUAAUAGAGAGAAGUUAAGAGCAUAGUGACAAGACUCAGGAGGUUAGAGUUAUUGCAGAUGUAGUAGUAGAUAUGCUACAAUUGAAUUCAUUUUUUGCUUAUACAUUAAUUGAUCUUGGGGGUGCACAUUCGUUUGUUGCUAUAAAAUAAUGGGAAAACUAGGGAAAAGUUUAUGCGGAGCAGAAAAAGGGUUUACCAUAAGUACUCAUUUAGGAGAAAAUAUAGAUGUUAAUCAUUUGUAUAAAGGAGUUAGACCUAAUUAAAAAGGGGUGUGAGAUGAGUGUAUAUCUAAUACCUUUAGAGUUACAUGAUUUUGAUAUUAUUCUUUGUAUGGAUUGGUUGACUAGGUAUAAGGCUUAGAUGGACUGUUUUGCAAAAACAAUAACUCUCCGAGGAUUAAAUGGUAGGAGAGCAAUAUUUAGAGGGGAAAGGAAUGCCAUAUUGAAUUGCAUUAUUUUGGCUAUGACUGCUGGGAAAAUGAUAUAGAAGGGAAGUGAAGCUUAUGUUGCCUAUGUGAUGGAUGUGAGGAAGGAGAAGAAUGAAUUGAUGAAUCUCUCUAUAGUGAGACAAUUUCCUAAUGUAGUUCCUGGAGAAUUACCAGGAUUACCCUAAAAAAAGGAAAUGAAGGUUUCCAUUUAUGUACUACUCGUCACGUCUCCUAUAGCUCAAUCACCCUAUAGGAUGGCACCUACAGAAUUGGUUGAAUUGAAAAUUCAGCUUAAAAUGUUAUUACAUAAGUACUUUACCUUGGAGAGCUCCAGUGUUAUUUAUGGGAAAAAAAAAGGAUGGAACCCUUAGACUUUGUAUUGACUAUAGGCAACUGAAUAAGGUAACGAUAAAAAAUAAAUAUUUAUUUCCACGAAUAGAUGAUUUCUUUGAUCAACUCAAGAGGGCUAAAGUGUUCUAAAAAAUAGAUCUAGGAUCGAGGUAUUAUCAAUUAAAGAUUAAGGAGUAGUAUGUGUUAAAAACCGCAUUUAAGACUUGAUUCGAACAUUAUGAACUCUUCGUAAUGCUGUUUGGAUUGACAAACGCACCUACAAUGUUCAUGGAUUUAACAAACAAAGUUUUUUGGUAGCACUUGGAUAUAUUUGUGAUAGUACUUAUAGAUGAUAUUUUAGUGUAUUCGAGUUCAUACUUAGAUCAUGAAAAACAUUUGAGACAAAUGUUGCAAACUUUAAGAGAGCAUCUACUAUAUGCCGAGCUAAGUAAAUGUGAAUUUUGACUACAAUAAGUGAUUUUGUUUUUGGACAUAUCAUAUUUGUUGAAGGGAUGUUGAUGGACCUUAAAAAAAUGGAGGCAAUGUUAAAGUGGGAAAGACCUACAAAUGUAACCGAAAUUUAUAGUUUUCUUGGAUUAGUAGGAUACUAUAGGAGGCUAUUGAAGGGUUUUCCACUAUAGCUAUUCCAAUGACCAAACUGACUCGAAAAGAAACCAAAUGGGAAUGGAUUAAAUAGUGUGAAGCGAGUUUUCAUGAACUGAAGAGGAGACUUACAACUAUCUUAGUACUAACAUUUCCUUGAGGACUUGAAGUUGAUGUAAACCUUUUGAUCACGUGAUCAAACAACCCCCAACAAAGAUGAUACUUUCUAGAAAGCUAAAAAUCAAGAUUGAGAACCUUGACCCAGAGUUAACCUGUAACUUCCCAAGCUGCUUCUCCUAGGGUUUUAUAGCUAGAUUUUACAGGCAACAUUGGAAAGAUCUAGAGCUAGAUCCCAAGCUGCUUCUCCUAGGGUUUUAUAGCUAGGUUUUACAGGCAACAUUGGAAAGAUCUAUAGCUACAAACUGGCCAAAUCUGAUCCUUUGAUGCUUGAAGAGGGACUACAGCCCUUGAUUGAAAAUAACAACAAAGACACAUCUUGUUCAAUAGUUGGUGAAAGGAGUACACUAACAGUUCUGAUGUUUUUAGACUGUUGAUGAUGGAUUUUUGUUAUGUUAUGGGAGCAACUUGGGGGUAAAGAAAACAAUUUACAACCAUUACAUUUAAAUAGGGUAAUCUAGGCAAUGGAUUAGGAAAGUUCUAACGAGGUUUGGUGAGAAGGAGAGAUCGAACCAAGGCUUGGAAGGUGGUAACUUGACCAUGCCACUUAGGUUUAAAAGGAAGAAAAAAAACUAAACAAACCAAAACGACAUCAUUUUGGUUAACCUUAACAUAAUUAGGGCUUUAAUCUUCCCUAUUCAAUUUUAGUCUUUAAUAACUUGAAACUUCGCAAUCAAACCCUUAAUUGGUCUUAAUUUUUAGGAAUCUUUUCAAUUCUGCCCCUAACCUUUUCAAUUGAUCCCUCGAACUUUGGUGUCUUUUACAAUAUGAUCCUUGAUAUUGAGAUUCUUCAAUUUCAUCCUAAAUAGCCCUUCAAACUUUUAAUUCUUUUAAUUUAAUCAUUGAUUAAGUCAAUUAAGCCCUUAAAACUUUAGACUUCGUUCAUUUUAGUCCCUGAUUAUUUAAUUCUUGCAACUUUGAGCUGAAUUUAUUCAGAAAGUUUGAUUUUUCUUUAAUUAAGUCCAUGAUUGCAUUAAUUAAUCUAAUACAAAGUUUAAUUAAGUCCCUAAACUUAUUGAUUGUUCUAAUUUUGGCUAAAUUGACUUUCAAAUUUUAUUUUCCUUUCAUUUAAGCCCCUGAUUAAGCUAAGUAAGCCCUUCCAUAGUUCAAUUAGGUCCUUGGCUUUUCUAAUUUUUGCAAUUUUAUCCUCAUCUUCAACUUUCUUCUUAAUUAGGCCUUAAAUUAUCAAAAUUGAGCUGCCAAACUUUGCAACCUUGUCUAUAUUGGUCUUUAAACUUUCAAUUUGUGCAAUCUUGACAAAUUUCAGCAUAUUAUCUAAAUUUUCUACAACAAGACCCCAAAUUAUCUACCCACCUAGCAUUCUAACCGGCCAUGAAUUAACUGCCUACCGAAUUAUGAUAUGAAGUAUAUUUUUUUAAUUUUAGUUUUUUUAAUUUUCUUAGAAAUGUUUUUGAAUAUCUUUGAAAGAAAAAAAAUUCCACAUGAAAAUAAAAAAAUCUUGACGACAUAAAAUUGGGUUAUGAAAAACCUAAAAAAAGAAAAAAAAAACAAGAAGAGAUUAAACACCUCUAAAAGUAAUUGAUUUUCUAAAAGUAAAAGUCAAUUAUCAAGUGUAAUCUUGGUAAUGUUUUCAGGAGGAAGCAGUCAAGUGUAAGUAAAUAAAAAAGGCAUUCAUAUGGAUAUCAUUCAAGAAUCAUAUCAUAGAAGAUUUAUUCAAGUAUAUAUCUGUAAGAGUGGGAUGACAAAUAUAUUUAUCAAGGCAUUCACAUUCAUGCUCACUGCUUUGUUAGACUUUUCUCACUCUUUUAAAGUAGCUGAUGGUUAUUUUGGCUACAUGGAAUUAACUUUUUCAUCAUGCUAGGAAGUAAGAUGUUCAUUCUCCAAUCUAAAAAGCUCUACACAGAUCAUUUUCAGACUUCUGUAGCGAUGGUAAUAUUCUGUGGAAAAAAAUUGCCUAUGUUUCUUCUUUCUUUAUUUAUUUUUUCUUUUUUUGAGUAGGUGUGAUCAACAAUUAGCUAUGAUGUAAUUUAUAAAUUCUAUCAUCCAUCUCGCUAUCCCGCAGCGCAACGCAUGCUUUAAACCAAGUAUCCUUACUCUAAUGUUUGUGGAAAAUGAUUUCUCAAUACUUUUUAACAAAUUUAUGUUCUCUUUUGACAUUUUUAGAAUAAAAAAAAAACUAAAAAAAAAGUUAAUUUAUCUUUGAUUAAUCAAGUUUCUAUUUCAACUUAACUUCUAAUUAGGUCCCUGUACUGAAUCAAUUUGUUCAAUAUGAACCAUAUAUGAGUGAUUUUGCUGACAUCAUUGAGUAAAUUGUAAGUGAUACAUUUUUUUUUAUCUCUUUGACCCCUAUACUUUUUUAUUAUUUUUAUUUUUUUAUUACAUAAAGAAUUAUUGAAAUUAUAAAAAAAUUAAAGAUAGAAAAAAUUCUAAAAAUUGAAGGUAUCUUUUUAUAUAUAUAUAACUUCAUUAAUUGCUUUCUAUAAUAAAAAUAAAAAUAAAACAUGACUAACUAGAUCAACAAGAUCAAAGAACACAUGUUUUUUUUAUUAUACAAUUUAUUCUCACUAAUGGAGAACUCGCAUUAAACUAAUUGUUUCAAUACAGGAAUCCAAUUAACAUUUAAAUUGGCUUAAGAACUGGAUUAAUCAAUUGCUCAUAAUACAAGGACGACACUGAUUGUUAAUCCAAAAAAAGAGAGAAAGGAAUGUGAUGAAAUGAUUAUAAAUCAAGUAAGCUUGUGUGAUAUUUGUUUGUUUUUAAUUUUAUUUAAUUAAUUUUAUGUGUGUUUAUUUUUAUUAUCAUUUAAUUAAAUAAAAAUUAAUUUUUGUGAACAAAGUUGUUAAACACAACCAUGUCGAAGAUCCGAGUUGCGAAGCCAAACAUUUUGGAUUUUGGUCUAUAUUUAACUUUCAAUUUUUAAUUUUCAUCUUUAUUUAUCAUUAAUGACUUCUUAUUUAUUUAUUUAUUUAUUAACACACAUAGUUCUCAAUUUAUUUUAUUAGAUGUGUACAUAUCAUUUUUUGAUAUCUUAUUUUAAUUGUUUUUAUAUAAAAGAAUGCGUUGAAAAAGCCUACAUAUUUAUUAUUUUAGGAAAACAAAAUUCAACUUGCAGCGGAGCACAGAUGAAAUAGCUAGUGAUAAAAGUCCUAAAUUAAAAAAUUUAAAAGACUUCAAUAACAACUCCUGUGAUUCAGGAUGGUUGUAAAGUAAUGCACUUUAUAGAUAAUUGGAGCCUGGAACGAAGAGUUGUUGUUCAGUCAAUUAGGCAAAUCAAAGAGUUGUUGUCUGAUCAAGUUAUUGGGACACAACCAAUAUAGCAAGACCAAACAUCUACUGCUUGGUUAAGUUGUUGGGUCAUAGGCCUAAACAAACAUGAUUGACCAAUUGUUGUCUAGUUAAGUUAUUGGGCUAGAGGCCUAAAAAGCCAAGACCAAACAAUUGUUGUUCGGUCGACUAGUUAGGCUAAAAGCCCAACCAUCUAAUAAAAAGGAAGGAGAGUGCUAUUCAGGCCGAGGAUAAAAGAAAGGAAGAGAAUAGAUCAACCUAAAAAUCAAGAGAAGAGAGAGAAAAAAGAGAAAGGAAGGAAAAUUCAUCAGAGCAUCAUCGUGGCUCUAACAAAGACACAUAUCACACCUCAAGGAAGAGCUUAUAGAUAUGAAUCCAAUGGCACCAAGAAAGGCAUUCAUCAGUGUUGCAACAAUAAUAUGCUCGCCAAACAGAUUUUCCUCCUUUGCUUGGAUUCAAUCCUUAAUUUUUCAACAACUCUUCAAUUCAAUCUCCAAAUUAGCUUAACCAAAAAGCAUGGAAGGAAGAAUCAAAUUAAUUCCCUAAUUCUUCAAUUCACCCCCAAAUUAACCCUAAUUAGACAAUACACAAAGAAUCGAAGGAGAGAAGAAAAACAGAGAGAAAGUAUAUAAUAUCAUGCAUGUGCUUACACGCCACAACCACCUACCAAUACUAUGUGGCACCCAUAAAUGAUUCUGCAUUUCACAAGCUAUCAAUGCAUGCACAUAAAUUAUCUAUACGAUGUUUAUCCUUUCUCACAAAUUAUCAAUACAAUGCCUACCUUAUACCAUAACAACAUCUAUUUGUCCACAAAUUGAUAGUGCGACGCUUACAUGGAUAACCGGUUUUACAAGUUGUCUAUAUGGUAAAGGUAGUUAUUCUUCAUGGUUACUCUGACACUGUAUAUCUAUAGCUUCACACUUCACGAGGCAAUUUCAUGUGACUUGAGGUGUAUAAAGACCUCAGGUCAUAAAGUAACCACACAAACAACAAUACAAAACCACACACAAUAAUCAUAACAUUCACUCUCUUAUGUUCUUGUUCUCUUUACUAUACAUUAUUUUUUUUCUUACGCGUUUACUAACUUAGACAUCAAAGGGUCUCUUAUCCUAAAAAGAAAUUUGUUUCGUAGGAGUUCUUGUGCUACUGGCCUAGCUCAACUUAGAAAAACAAAAUCUCCAAAACCUAUUAUACUAGUUCUGAAAAGUUCUAAAUUCAUUUUGAAGUUUUUCAGACUUCGUCAGUAUGCAUAACAAUUUUAUAACACAAGUUAUAUCAUGAAUAAACACUUGGAAAAAUAAAAUGAUGUACAAUCAUGUCAUUUUCCUCAUUCAUGAUCCUUUUGAGAUCCUACUUUUAGCAAUAAAAAAAUAAAAGCUUUUUUACUUAAAGAGUGAAAAGAAUAGAGUACAUAACUUAUAAUCCUAGAACUUUAAAAAGAAAAACUAAUAGUUGACUUUUUGUAUUCACCAAAAUUGAAACUUCAAAUAUUCAUUGGGUUAGAAAAAUAAUGAAUUCCAAAGGAUUCAUGGAGAGGAGAGACAUUUAUUUAGAUGUUACAUGUAUACAUCUAAUUAGUAAUAAUCAAGACAAAGUUCAUCAUUUUGGUAUUGUAUCAUUACAAAUUCACAAUGAGUUAUUCUAAAAUUUAAGAAUACUUAAAUAUUUAAUGCUAUAUAUUAUCUAUAACUCUAAAAUAAAUAGGGUUCAUUAUGGUACUUCACUAUUCAUAUGAAAAGUGAAGCACUAUAAGUUUUUUCCUAUUUUUUUUUACAUCCUUCAACGGUCAAAUUAGAUGGAAUUAAUAUUGAAAUUAUGGUAUAAGUACUAAAUCAAAAGAAAAGGGGCUAAACUAUAAUAUAUCCAGAAAAAUAGGUUUGAUCCUAAAUUUUUAUUAAUGUUUAUUUUGAUCCACAAGUUUAUCUUAUUUGUUUUUGGGUCCUUAAAUGAGAGAGAGAGUGCAUCACUGGAAAAUAGCGGCAGAGAGAGAAAGAGAUUAGUUGUCGUAAUUCUAGUCUUAAAAAUGAUCAAUUUUAGUGUGCAAUUGUUUCAUUUGACUAGAGGAGUUGGGUGGUUUUGAUUAUUGGCAUUCAAAUUUAUUGAAAAGUAGAUCACGCCUAUAAAAGAUGGAAUUGUGGGUUGAUUCUUUGUUUUGUGACUAAUUAUAGACAACUUUAAGGGAAUAAGUGAGUUUAGUGAGUUGCGUAUGAUAUUUUUUAUGUGUUCACAUGUCAAAUAUUUGUUGAAAAUGAGUUGUUUGGUCCAAAAACUAAAAGAGAGAUUCUACCUAGUUUUUCGCCAUUUGGUCUACUAAAAACUGGCACGUGAACGAUGUGUCAUCCGUCUCAACAGACGAUGCAUUUCCUGUGUUAAUUUUAAUUAAAAGGCCUUAAUUUUAUUUUAUUUUAUUUUAUUUUUUUUAAAAAAGCAAGGCUAGGCACUUAGAUCUAACCUACUACUGAGAAGGUAAGCGUUGGGCAUAACCGGGUUCGUAAGCUUUUAUUUUGUAUUGCUUGAACUUGUUGUUCAUCCACUACAAAAGUAAAAAUAAUUAGGGCCCAAACACGUGGAUUUGGGUAAGACCCACGUGCCUAGGCUACUUAGAGUUGCACCAAGAGCUUUCUUUGGUUUUUUGGCUCUUUACUUUUUUUUUUUAUGUUUUUAUUUGGUUUUCAAUUUUAUCCUUAAAUGUAUGGUUUUUACUUAAUGUUUUUUUUGUUUUUUUUUUAGUAUUAUCCUUUGAUUUAGUGUUGAUUUGGAAUUGUUUUAUUUAAUCAUAUAGCUAAAAAUUUAAAAAUUAAUUGAACCCAAUGAAGUUUAUGAAUCGGUUCACAGAUUUCACUGUCUAGUCCGAACUAACCUGGUUCCUAUUGGUUUUUGUUGCUUUGAUUUUAUGUUCCAUUGAAUAUAUUAAAUCUAUAAAGUCAUGUAAAUACAACUUUUACGUAAUUAAAUUUAAAAUCACAUUUAAAUAAAAAAUUCAAGUUAUAAAUGCUCAAGUUGGAACCGUUGUAUUAGUUUCAAUGAUAAUAUCAAAACAUUUCGGGCUAGAUACACAUUUACUAACUAAAUUAAUUUAAUUCCCUAACACAACCAUGGAAAUGAAAUCCCUGUCGCAGUCUUUUAUUUAUUUAUUUAUAGUCGCAGCCAAUCUAAACAAGACAAAAUGGUCUGAAGUGUAAGUGUGUGUGUGUGUGUGUUAUUUUAUUUUUUUUCGUUUUUUCCGUUACUUGAGAAAAAUUUUCAUAGCUGGAGAAAGGUGAGUCUUGGAGCCCAAGGACCAAGGUUCAUGCACUAUUAUCAACUUGGGCUAACGUAUGCGUAUACGGUAUUUGGCGGGAAAUUUCGGGGACAAAUAGGAGGGAUGGUGUCUUCAAUCGCCACGCCACGUGUAAGAAAGCCAACAUCCUGCAUACGUGUCGCCAAUCAAUAGAAUACUUACCCAAGAAGCUUUCUUGCGGCUCACAAGUUAACAAAUGCGAGAAGGCAGAACUUAUUUCCUCUUUAUUUAUUAUUCAGUAUUCAGUAUUCACAGUUGCGUCAUACUCAAGCUCUACUCAUAACCAAGGUUAUAUCUUCGAUAGGUAGACGAAAAAAAACAUAAAAAAACGCAGAGCGUUUCUGGGGAGUGAAACAGAGAGAAAGCAGAGUGAGAAAGGACUUAACUGAAGGAGGGUCUACAGAUGGAGAUGAAGCUGAAUUCAGGCGAGAUCGGAACCAAGACAGAAGCAUGGUUCAAACCCAAGAAAGGGAGUGUUUUUCCCAAGGAGAAGAGGUCAGUAAAGAGAAUGAUGUUUGAUUAUUUGGUUCAAUCUGUUGGUUCUGUUUGCUCUCCCUGUUUCUUUUCGUCCCGGCGUGGAGCCAGCUCCCAUCAAGAGAACAAGGGUUUAUGCUGCAGAAAGAUCGUUUCGCCCUCAAAAGUAUCAAAUGCGGACUGGGUUUGAUGACCUCUUGGUUGAUUUGUUGUAGUUUUUGAUACUUUCAAAUCUAUUGCUCGGAACAUAAUUAGGAGCUUAAAUGCCAUAGAUAUGUGUUUUAGUUUUAGAUAGGCUAUUAAUAAAUUGUCAGUGAUGUACUUUUCUCACGCAUAAACACAUGUUAAUUCAUUUCUUUGAUUCAUGUGGGUUUAUUCUCAUUUAUGAUGUUGUGCGCAUUAAUUGCUUGUUAUUGCCAUCAAUAACCAAUCCAUCAACAGGGGAAAACUAUUUCCACUUCAAUCCUCCGGCAAAACCCAGUUUCAAGCAGCCGUAUAUUUACCAACGCCACACCAGGCACAGCGCAAAGCACAUCCAUGGGGGGAAAAAACGAAAGAAUUCCCACCAAAACUUGAGUAUUUUUCAAAACCCCAGAAACCCAAGUUCAUAAAACUGAAUGAAAUCCUGAAAGUAUUUCUGGGGAAUAGAACUGGAAAGCCUUCAGUUAAGUUCCAUAGCAGUAACAACAUGAAAUAUUUUCCACUUACAUUUGAGUGCCGCAAUUUUGGAUAAACAAUGAAAAAAAAGGAAAAAAAAAUUCAGACUGUAGAAGUAAAUGACGUCAUAGUCGAGGUUCGGUACAAGUGCAAACUAGUUGGCAGUGGCACUACUUCGAUUAGGAAAAUAUAUUUCGGAGGGCCCCAGGGGGUCAAGUAAUUUGCUGCCGGCCGUGGCGAUGGAUCUUUCAUAAGUUUGAUAUUAUCCUCUCGAUUUACUUUUAUAAUAAACGAUGAAAAGUAUUAAUUCACAAAAACUAAUUCAGGUCGGAGAAUACUGUAGUAAUGAACAGUGUUUUUCCUCAUUUUUUCAUAGGCACAUAUUAGAGAUUGGCAAAUUGAUUAGGAAUAAAUGUGACUUUUGACUUCCAUAGUUAAAUGAUUUAAUUAAUUUUACAACAAAAAAAAACAUUAACUUGUAUCCUUAUAUUUUAGAUAUUUUCAUUUUAUAUGCGAAUUUAAAUUACUCUUCUAUCCUAGAAAAAGACAAAAAUAAAGCUUCUUUCCUAAGGUUUUUCCACCUAGUAUUUUUGUUAUAAUUAAGUUGGUUUUGAGCAAUUCAACCUUUCAUAAAUAUCAAAUAUUAAUAAAAAAGAAAGAAAAAGGAAGUUAGUCAAAGUAUGUGAGUGUCCUAUUAUUUAUAUUGCAUAUCCAAUUUAGUCAUUAUUUUUUUUAUUACUAUUUAUUUUGUUUUUUAAUCUUCUUUUGAUUGAUUUUUUUUUAAUUCCAUCCCUUAUCAUUAGGUUUUAAUUGAUUUUUAUUAAAUUUGAUUCUUAUUCUUUUGAUAUUCUUAAAUCCUUAUACCAAUUAAAGUUUUUUUUUAAUUACAUCCCUCAUCAUUUGAUUUCAAUUUUUUUCAUGUUGAAUUUUGCCCUAAUUGUUUUUAUUUGUUUUGGGUCCUUUUUUUAUUGCAUUUGUUUUUUCAGAUUUCAUUUCUCAAUAUUGUUUUUAUUGAGCCACGAGCUUUAAAAGUUAAUACAGGUUGACUUUAGUCUUUUCUAAGUCCUUUUAUAAAAAUAUUUUUUAAAAUUUUAUCUUUCAAUAUUUGAUUUUUGUGGAUUUGGUCUUCAUGAUUUUGCUUUUGCUUUUCUUUUUAUAGGAUUAUCCAAAUAUUAUACUCAUGAUAACGAGGUUGACAAGUUAACUCAAUUUUUUUUGUUGCUUUUUAGAUUUUUUUUAAAUUUCAUACCUCAAUAUUUUUUAUUGAGAAUUUUUCUUCGUUGUUUUUUUGGGUUUUCCUUUUGCGUGAUUAUCCCCAACCUCAUAACUAUAAUCAUGAGUUUUAAAGGUUAACACUAGUUAACUUUGGUCUUUUUUACUUCCUUUUUUUUUAACAAAUUAAUUUCAUCGUCCAACAUUUAUUUUUUAGGAGUUUCUCUUUGUGCUUUUUUUUUAAUUUCAUUUCUAUAGGGUUAUCCCAAUCUUGUUUCCAAGGUCGAGGGGUUAGCUUAUUCUUUUAGGUUUUCCUUCUGCGUGGUUAUCCAUAGUAUCAUGACCACAUUCAUGAGUUUUAAAGGUUAACACUAGUUAAAUUUGGUCUUUUUUUACGCCCUUUUAAAAAAAAAAUUCAUCAUCCAACAUUUAUUUUUUAGGAGUUUGUCUUUGUGCUUCUUUUCAAUUUUAUUUCUAUGAGGUCAUCUCAAUCUUGUUCUCAAAAUCGAGGGGUUAACAAGUCAACCCUGGUUGAUUCAGGUAUUUUGUUUUCCCUUGGUUUCUUUUAGAAGUUUCAUGCCUUGACAUUUUUUUUAGAGUUUUCCUUCCUUGUUGUUUUGGGGUUAACUUUUGAGCGUUAAGUCUUGCUUUCAUGAUCAAGUUCACGAGUUUCAAAAGUUAACACGGGUUGACUUUGGUCUUUUUUAGGUCUUUUUUUAAAUUUAAUUUUUUCUUCAAUUUCAUCUUUCAACAUUUAAUUUUUUAGGAAUUGGUCUUCAUGCUUUCUUGUUUUAGUUUUUCUUAUAUGGGGUUAUCUCAAUUAAGUGUCCAUGGUUACAAAGUUAGUGGGUUAACACAGGUUGACCCAAUUUUUUUUGUUUUUUUAAUUAUAUUUUUUAUUUUAAUCAUUCAAGAUCGGUUUGUUUUAUAGUUGACUUUCAUGGUUUAAUUCAGUUCGUUUUCAUUUGUGAUUUUUUUUACCUUUUAUUUGCAUAAAUAAUCGUUUAAUUAUAUAUAAAAAAAAAUAUUCCAUGAAACAUAGUUAUUAAACACAUUUUAGUACAUGACAUGUGUUGCGAAUGUUUUUUCAAUUUCAUCCUUUUAUAUUUAAAUUUUUUUGGAUUUAUUUAUGGUUUUUUUUUCACUUUUCUUUUUGAGGUUAUCUGAAUUAUGUGUCCAUGGUCACGAGGUUAGCGUGUCUACGCAGGUUGAUCCAAGUCUUUUUUUUUGUUGCUUUUUUUUAAUUAAUGUUUUUUUUUCAGUUUCAACGUUCAACAUAGGAUUAUGACUCUCUUUUUUACCUUUUAUUGGUGCAAAUGGUUGUUUCUCUAAAGGAAGAUAAUAUUUCAGGAAAUAUAGUUGUUAAACACAACUAAGUACAUGAUCCGUGUUGCGGGAUCAAAUAUCUUAAUUUUAGUUAUCUCUUAAUCAAAUAUCAAUUUAAUUAAUCAGAUGUGUAUAAAAAUUUUGAUUUGUGAUUGAUAAUUUUUUUAUAUCUAAAAUUACAUUAAAAAAAAACAUGUAUAUUUAUUUUUUAUUAAAAAAAAUAACCACCCUGCGGCGUUGCGCGGGUAUAAAACUAGCACUUACUAAUGUUAUAUGGCUUACUUUAAUUUUGUAUACCACUUAUUUUUUAGUUUGGUGUCUCACCUUUGAGUUUUGAGCUAGGUUUUAUGACUAUGUCUAAUGACAGCCACUAAUACCAUGAUUUCUUCCUCCUUCAAAACUGGUGCCCCUCAUUAAUUAAAAGUAAAAACGAUGAACUAUUGUUAUUGUUAUUUAAUCAUUUGGAAAAAUUAUUAUUGCUUAAUUACACUAAUAUUUUACUUUUGUAUAGUUCUACACAUGCUCUAACUAGCGAGACAAAACAUGCAUACAUCGAAUAAUUACACAUUCUCUUAUCAUAAUAGAGCUUAUAAAAUGAUGCCAUAUCAUGUCCAUAUAUAAAAAUGACCCUCGUGAUGUUAUCCUCUCCACUCAACAAGAAAAUAUCAGCCUUAUUUCCAUGCAAAUUAUUAUGGCUCAUAACUAUAUAAAAGUCAAUGAAUCAACAAGUAAAGGGUUCCAAUCUAUGAGUUUGCUUCUCUUACAACUUAUCUACUAACACGCACAACAUAGCCUCAAAGGCUUUCCUCCUCCAACAUUUGUGUUAACUUAAGUAUUAGAAGGUCCCUCAUGCCCAACAUAGGGCUUGUUUUUAUAGUUGUUCGUGAAAUUCUAGACCAGCAACCUUAAUCUUUCAAUCUAUCCAUCAAAUGAGGAAAUACAUAGAUUUUUUGGGAUUUUCUUCAAAUCUAGUUAAUGGCGUUAUUUGUGAGAAACUGAAAAAAAGUUAGUUUGUCCCUUUUUUCUAUAUAUUUUCAAGUGAUUUCCAUUAUUAGCAACCUAAAAACACCAGGAUAUAAGAGAGUUACAAAUCUUUCCACUAUAUGCUUUUUGUUAACUUCUUCAAAUCUGUAACAACUUACCCGGCUAGUGAGAAUGCUCACUAAAACCCUUUUAGCCAUACAAGAGCAAUUAAAGGUCUUGUCUCUUCCACAACAGGUGGCUCCUUUACAAGCACCACUAUCUAAUGUAUGUAGACAACUUUAGUUUGAGAAAGAGGUAGGCCACAACGAAGUGCAAAAGAGCACCACUACUCUCAUAGCCAACACAAAAGCAGCUCUCAUAGCCAUGAAAGGCAUUCUCUAAUCAUCACAUUUCUCAAGAGAUCACAUUCCCCCUCAGAAUCAUGUUUUUCUUAUAAUCUAGUUCACCAAAGAAUCACACCCUACUAGAAAUAUCUAUGAUAAAUCGCCAAGCAUGGUCUCCAUGAAAACAAAAACCUAUGUGCUAAAUAAUUAUAUGGACUCGCUAGGUAGAUUUCUUCAUAUAACUCCUUAGCUUGACUAAGAGAACACCUCUACUCAGGUAUAAUGUAAUCUCUAUAAAACAUUUGCCUUGCAAUAUUUUAUCCUUAUGACUUCAAGAUAACACAUUUAUCUAGGUAUAAUGUGAUCUCCAUAAAAUAUGAUCAGACAAUAUUGUCUCCAUAUGACUCUCUAACCUAAGAGAGACAACACAUCUACCUAAGUAUAACAUGAUCUUUAUAAAACAAGCACCAUGAUGUAUAUUCUUCAUGUAAAUCUCCAACCUCGGUGAGAGAACAUAUUUGCUAGAGUAUAAUGCGAUUGUCAUAAAAUAUUCGUUAUGAUAUUUUCUCCAUGUAACUCUCCAAACCCGAUAAAAGAGAAAUUUUUAAAUACAAAGACAUUUCUUUAACAUGGGUAGAAGACAUAACUUUGUCCAUGGGCAAAGCAUUCUCCACAUAAGUGGAAAGUAUAAUUUUGUUAGGACACAAAAGUAACCUAGAAGGUAUUUUAUCUAUGUAACUCUCAAACUUAAGUGAGAGAACACCUCUAUCCAUGUACAACUUGAUCCCCAUAAAAUAUUCAUCAUAAUAUUUUCUUUAUCUAACUCUUCAACUCGGGUAGAAAGCAUAACUUUGUUUAGGGGCAAACCAUUAUCCAUUUGGGUGCAAAGCACAAUUUUGCUAAGAUACAAAGAUAGUCUAUGUGGUAUUUUUUUCAUGUAACUCUUUAACCUAGGUAGAAGACAUAACUUUUUUUUAGUAUAAAAACAUUUAUGUAACCCCAGAAAAAGGCAUAACUUUGUCCAAAUACGAAGCAUUCUCAACCCAGGUGCAAAGCAUAAUUUUUUUUUUCAAAUACAAAGAUAGCCUUCAGCUCAGGCACAAAGUGGAUUUCCAUGUGUUGCUCUUCAUGAAAUUGGCUUCGUACAAUAUUCACUAAAGACUCUCUGUAGGUGGCUCUCUAUAAGUUGUAUAAAAACACUCUCAAACUUGAGCAAGAUUUGCCCUUGUAUAACAUGAUUUUCAUGAGACAUGCACCAUGUGUUUCUUUAUAUAACUCCAACCUAGGUAAGAGAACACUUUGACCUAGGUAUAAAAGGUCUUCAUGACAUUUCUCUCCCCGAAUACUAUACAAACUCUAUUAAGGUACGUGGAUGACUUAACCCAAACUCAAACCUUUCUUAACUCUAGAUACAAGAUAUACCUUUGCAAUGGUACUAAAAUAUUUUCGACCUUGAACAAGAAGGGUCCCCAUGAAAUGUAUCUACCGAAAUACAAUAUAAUCCCCAUUCAAAUAUCUUUUAUGUUAUAAAAUUAAAUUAGCUUGAACGCAAUGGCAUUCUCCAGCUACUAUACAAGGAAUAACUUUGUCCAAGUGCAAAGAGUUUUUGCAUAAUAUAUAUAAGACUGCUUCUCCAUGUGUAAUCUCCAUGCAUAAUAUUCAUGUGUAAUCUCCAUGAAAAUUUACAUGACAAAUUACCAAGUCUAAUCUUCAUAAAAUUUUUUCCAUAUAAUCUUUGUGAAAUAUUCAUCAUGAUAUUUUCUCCACCAAACACUCCAUACUAAACAAUAGAGGAUACUACAUGUUCUAUAUUCUCCAUUCAAGCAAGGACAAUAACUAACUUGCAUACAAUGGUUUCUAAAACAAAUCUGAAAAGAUAACCUAACUCAUACAAGAUAUAGAUAACACCUCCUUCGAAGCUAAAGUAACAUUAGUCUUGAACAAUUAACAAGGAGUCAUCUUGCCUAGAUAUAAAGAUUUUCACCCUCUAGUAUAGGAACUCACCUUGUCUAUGUAUACAAGUACACACCUUGCCCAAGUAUAAAUAAAAUGAUCCUCCAUAGUUGUGUGGUUUACACCAUGUCCAGGUAAAGACACUAAACCAUCUAAUACAAAAGGUUAUCAUAAAAACAUUUUAAGGUCAUCCUAGAUAGCUUCUUAGCCAUUUAGAAAAAAAAAAAACCCUUCGCUAAUCAAAUAAAAUGGUUUGACAAUUUAGACACCCCAGUUUGAUCAAAUCAUAUGUACAAGAAAAUCAUUUUGUCCAAACCUAAGUGUGUCUCACUUUAAAACAAAGGGGCAACUGAUGAGGAUGCGUCCCUCGGGCAGAUGAUGCCUGGACUUGGGACGCCAAACCUCCCCUCUUCUUUAGAUGACCGAACCGAUCUCAUUUCCCCCUUCUUGGUGGAUCGACUAUGUGUCCCCUCUUCAUGGUAAACUAACCUCGUGUCCCAUCUUCUUGGUAGACCAAUCUCAUAUCUCUUGUAUUGACCACUCGUCCCUCCAAACUAGUUAUACAUCCUCCUAGACUAUUUAUGAUUGCACAUCCCUUUGGUCAAUCGUGUGUCCCUUUAGACUAACUGUACAUCCUUUCGAUUAACCAUACGCUCUUAUAGAUAAGGUUUAUAUCCUCUAAUCCAAUCACUACACUCUAGGUGCUCUACCCUCUAGUUAAACCUAGAUUACUUGCUACCAACUAUAGAGACAAAAUGCACACAUAUUAAAUAUUCACAAGUACUCCUACCAUAAUAGAUAUUAUAUAAUGGAAUUACGGAAUGCUCAUACAUAAGAUUGACCCUUAUGAUGUCAUACUCUCCACUCAAUAAUGAAUUACUUGCCUUAUCUCUCCAUACAAGGUAGUGUAGCUUAUGAUUGUAUAAACAUCUAUAAGAAUAGAUAAAUGGUUCAAAUAACACAACCUCAAAGUCAUCUCUCCUCCAACAUUUGAGCUAACUUAACCAUCAUAAGGUCUUCUCACAUGCAAGUGUUCGUGAAACCCAACUUUAGAAGCUUCAAUCUUCCUAUGAAAGACCUUGAUCUUUUUCUUCAAACUUGGUAAUUUUGUUGUCUUCUUCAAACUUGGUAAUUUUGUUAUCGAGAAUAAAAAGUUAUGAGGUUGACAAUUGGGUAUUAAUGAGAGUGAGUCGAAUUAAUAUGGAAAUGAUUAGUAAUUGGUAAAGAAAGGCUUCAAUUCCAAUUUCAACGUAAUAAUAUUUCAUAUACUCAGGAGUCAUUUAAUUGGCUUAAAACCAAUCAACAUGAAUUUCAAUGAAUUAAAGAUAGACCUACGAUAUACACGCAAAGAAAAAUAAUUUGUACUCCUAUAUUAGAACAUGUACUAAAAAAUAGAAAAUAACUAGUAUUUAAUAAUUCAUCAUUAUUGUAUCAUCAACACUCAUUAGCAAAAUCCAAGACCAGCUCCACCAUUUUUACAAAGAUGCUCAAAUUUUGAUGGGUGUUUUUUUUUAAAUAGCAUACUGCUAAAAAAAUAUUUAACGAAAUAGUACAUUCCCAAACUUAUCUGUAAAAAUACCAUGAUUUAAAUAUCUUUUGGGAAAAACAUAACUAUUUAUCAAAGAUUGUUCCAUUAUUUGUUUUUAUAAAAAAUCAUUUAAAUAAAAUAACUAAAAUUAUUUUCUAAGAGAUUAUUCUAUUAAAUGACAUUUAACUCUUAAUUUGUUUUCAAAUGAGAUUAUGAUUUUAUUUUUUAUGAUAUAAGCAGAUGCUCUUUUUAUACAAGCCUUCAUGAUUGUUUUUUUCUUUCAAGUUUAAUCAAGAUUAGUUAAGUAAAAUGGGUUGAAAUUUUUUUUAGAUAAUAUUUCAUUAGAUAUCAAUCAAUUUAAUAUUUAUCUUUAAAUGAAAUUGUAAAAUAUAAAGGUAUUUAAUUUUAUUUAGAUCAUAAUAAUGGAACUAAAGUUAACUAAAUAUAAAAUUUGAGGACUAAAUUGCAAUAGGCAUAAAAGAAAGAAGAAGAAACGAGUUGGCACAACAAAUGAAGUAGGAGGGAGAAAAGAAAACGAAAUAAAGAAUGAGACAUUAAAGACACAUUAAAGCUCUGAUAAUGACAUCCUUAAGAUCAUCUAAAAGAUCUCGAAGAGAUGAAUUCAUAAACACUAAGAUAACCAACUUUGAAGUUUGCGGUGAGCCAUAUGCGUCGUCUAAAUGUGGUGGCAAGCUCACUUGUUGGCGCGUGUAACUCAAGCAGCAACACCAAAACAAUUUAAUUUGUUGGCGUGUGUUUCAAUGGCGUCAUCAACAAAAAAAAAUGAUAUACUAGUACUUGUAUCACAUGUGCCAGCAAAAAAAAAUGAAAUUGAUAAGAGAUACAGGUUUAAAGGUGGGUAAUAUGUGAAACUUGCACCUCAAAUUAAAUUAUGUUAUGCGUGUAACUCAAGCAGCAACACUAAAACAAUUUAAUUUGUUGGCGUGUGUUUCACAGGUGCCAUCAACAAUAAAAAAAAAAGAUAUAUUGGUACUUCUAUCACACGCACCAACCAAAAAAAAAUGAAAUUGAUAACAGAUGCAAGUCUAAAGGUGGACAAUAUGUGAAACUUGCGCCUCCACUUAAAUUAUGUUAUUUUUACAAAUAAGUUUGGAGUUGUAUUAUUUUGCCAAAUAUUUUUUUGCCACUUUACUAAUUAAAAAAAUAUCAAAAUUUUCAAAUUAUAAUUGACAUCUCAUAAAAUUUUUAAUGACACAAAUGACAGAGUCAUGCAUUCAAGUAAUUUGAGCGGUGAAAAUUAAGAGAUCAUGUAAAUGGAAAAAUCAACCAUUAUCUUUUAUGACAAAUUGACAAGUAUAUAUAUGACCAUUAUAAGGAUGGGAACGAAAACACGAACAAUGACUAAUCAAAUGUCACAUUUGAUAGCUAACAAACAAGAUCCUUAGCGCACGCUAUACUAUGAGUUAUAUUAUUUGUUUUAUAUGAAAGAAAAAAAAUAUAAAAGCAUUCCAAACGAUGUAGAUUGGAUAAUACCUUUUAUAGCUAUUUAGCCAGUGAUAUAUUGGACAACAUAUUUCUAAUUAUUGAUACAGUGGUAUAUUAGAUUGAUAUGGGCAGUUGUGGUCAAAUCUGUAAAACUCACAACUCGAGUUGAAACAAUGAUAAUAUCAUAUAAAACAAAUCAAAAUAAAUUAUGAAAGUCAAUUUUCAAUCAACACAAUUACAAGUGACAAAAAUGAAAAUAAAAGGCCAAAAUAGGGUGACUUGCGUCAACCUGCGUAAACCUACUAAACCUACGAUCUAAAUCAUAAGAACGGGAUAAACACAUAUAAAAAAAUUUAAAAAAGAUUCUAAAGCCUAAUUCUCAAUCAACCCAAUGUUGAAGGAAGAAAUUGAAAAAAAAAAAACCUAAAAAUGACAUAAAGUCCGAUUCUCAACUAACUCAAUGUUUUAGGAUGAAAUUGUAAAAAAAAAAAAUUAAUCUAAAAAAAUGACUAAAACACUUGAGUCAACCUCGAUUAAGUUGCAAAACCUACAAUUUAGAUCAUGAAACCGGGAUAAACACAUAGAAAUGUUUUUUUAAAAAAAUAACAAAACCCAAACCCCAACUAACCAAUUGUUGAAAGGUGAAAUCAAUUUUUUUUUUAAAAAAAAGUGCACUAAAAAGAAAUGAUUCAAGAUAACUCGGGUUAACUUUUUAAACCAAUGACUGGGGUUGUGAAACAAAGAUUACCCCAUAGAAAGAAAAAUAGAAAUGUUAAAGGAUAAAAUUAAAAAAUAGUCAAAUUUUAAAAAGAAGACAGAAAAAAAUAACAAUAAAAAGAAUGAGAACUAUAAUAAAUAUAAAAGAAAAUUAACAAAACAAGAUAUAAAACUGAAAUUUCAUCGACAUAUUAUAUAGACCCAAUUCUAUAGUCAUUCAGCUAUUAUAAUCAGUUGAGUUUGGUAUCAUAUUUAAAUUAGAUCUAGUAGUUGUUUUUCUUUAUUUUUGUAGUUAUUUUCAUAUUUAUUUUCUAGUUGGGUUUCAAAAUUUUAAUUUUAUUUAAAUUUAAUUAGCUAGGACAUUAAUAUCUAUUUAAACAGUUUACAAAUUAUUUUCAAAAAAAUUAAAUAUUAUUGAGUUUUAGAACAUAUUAAAUAGAUUUUUCUACGAUAUAGGAUUGUAAAGAGGAAUUCGAGCUCUAUCUAUUCAUAAUAAAUUAUAAAGUAUCAUUCAGCAGGCUAGAGUAAUAAAUUAAAAUGUCUCAAAAUUGAACCAGGCUAUCACGUUCGAGGAAACAAGCUGCCCUGUCACAUCUUUAUGCAGAUGUGAACACGACUUGCAGCAUUUUCAGAGUGGGAACGAAACAAGAGUGGAAAAACCACCUGUGUAUCAACAGCUUGUGAAGCUAGCAACUCUCUUUAGCACUCUUUAAAACUCAAGAUGCAUGAAGAUCUGGGUCCCUUUGCCUUUUAAUUUCAAGAUAUACUGGAAUGAUUAACUGGAUCUUCCUUUUAAAAAAAAUAAUAGUACAUGAAUUCAGAGUGAUGAUUGAGAUUUAAUAAUUAUUAAACCAAAAAAAACAUUUCAAUCUAAUAAUUUAAGUUGUUAGGUGAAAUCUUAAUAGAUAAUUUAUAUUAAAGCUUAAAACUUGUAUAGGUUCAUAUUAUCUUGUGUUUAUUUUUUAUCAAAUAAAUGAGUAUGGUGAGAUACAAACUCGUGAUCAUUUGGUCAUUAAAAUUCUAAUACCAUGUCAAAAAACCAGUUCAACCCAAUAACUUAAAUUAUUAAGUGAGGUUCGAGACAUGAUUUAUAUUAUUUUAUAGGAAAAUAAAUAAAAAACUGUUUGUAGUUGUAACUAUACUAUCCAACAAAAGCAUAUGAAUUCAGAGUGAUGAUUAAAAUGAAUUCCCGUGGAAAUUGAAAAUCUAAAAAAUUUGAAUUAUAAUUCCCUUUUCUAACGAUCUUCAAGAACCUUGUCAGGAUUGAAGUUGCAAGGAUGGUUCAUAGAAAUGGACUUAUUAGCCAAUAGCAUGGGAAUUAAUUUAGAGUUAAACUGAAAACGCCUUGAAUUAUCUUCACGCGUUUUCGUGCGAAAUGACUACUUUAACCUCAAACCACGACCGCACUAGUAGAUAAAGGAAAAGGAUGGCACAAAUUUACUAUUUAGCUGGCCUCUUAAAUAUAUUAAUUAUUAUCCUGCAUUCUAUCUCACAAUCUCGCCGUGAAUUUUGUAUUGAAAAAAUGUUUUUUAACAAGACAUUAAAGAGAAAAACUAAAACGUGUGAUAUAAUCAUUUGACUCUGGUGUGUGUUUAUAUAUAUUUGUUUAUUGUGGAUUAUAAUAGUAAAAUUAUAAUUGAAAAAACUCUAGAUUGUUAUUUUUUAAAGGGUAAAAUGAUAUUUCUAUUUAUUUAUUUGUCACUUGAUAAUUGUUCGGGGAUAUUUUUGUCUUUUCAGUAUGUUUUUACACAGUAAAAUAACUUAGUUACCCUUAAAAACAAAAAAAAAUCAUUUAACUCUGGUUAAGAGUCUUUUUCAGGCAUUUCACUUUCUUAAUAUACAGUAAAAUAAUAAAUUUGACCUUGGGGUUAAAAAAAUUAAGCCAUUAACACAGGGGUAUUGGUGUCUUUUUGUAUCUAUUUUAUUUUAAUUUCAAUUUACUAUAUGAUAUUAAUUAUUAUUUGCAAGAAGAGUAAUAAUUUAAAUUCAAUUGAAAUGAAAUAAUUUUCUAUAAAUAUUCCUCAUUUUCUUAUUAAUAUAUUUUUGUAAAAAAAAAAAGUUUUUCUGAUCCAGGUCAUGAGUUUAUGAGUUAACUCGAAUAAACUUGAGUCGUUUUAUUGUAUUCUUUUUUAGAUUGAAAUUUUUUCCAUUUCAUCUUUCAACAAUGAAUUUAUUAAUAAUUGAGCUUAAUAUUUUUUUUAGAUUUUUUUAUAUGGGUUAUCAUUGUCUUAUAACCCUGAUCAUAGAUUUAGAAAGGUUAACUCACGUUGACCUGAGUCGAUCCAACAUGUUGUCAUCUCAAUAUAUUUUAAAAAAUAUAUUGUCUUGAAUUUUUUUCAGUCAAACUAUGUUUUUAACAGUUGUCUAGAUUGUCUUUGGACCCGUCGAAUCAAUCAAGUCAUAUCAUGUCAACUCUCACAUGAUUUGAUUUUUUUACUAGAAAAAUAUUAGCUACGCCUGAAUGUUUCUUUUUAUGUUAAAAAAAUUAAUUUGACCCACAGCAUAGUGUAAGCCAACAAUUUAGUUGUUACUAAAUAAAAAUGUUUAGAUUUUGAAAUUAUAAUAGAUGCUUGACAUUAUAUUUAAGAUUUGAACAAGACAAUCUCGAAAUAAAAUGCUAAAAUGAUGAAAAAUCAAAAUGUAUUGUUUCAGUUAAAAAAAAAUGCGAACCAAAAGGGAACUGACAACCUUGUUUUUAUCCUUAUAUUAACCCUUCUUUUUAUUAUAGGUUAAUCUGUAAAUUAAAUUUUAAAAUUAUAAUAAUAAUUAUUUUUAUUUUUAUAUUAAAUCAAAUCAAUUCAAAUUGUCAAAGAACCAUCUCAACCCAAUAGCUUAAGCUGUUAGGUGAGGUCCCAUGAUAUGAUUUAUAUUAUUCUCCAAUACACCCCCUCAAGUGAAAGCCCUUUGGGCUUGAAACUUGCACAGACCCACAUUACCUUGUGUUUAAUUUUUAUCAAAUAAAUAGGGAUGGUGAGAUUCGAACUAUUAACCCUUUUUGCUUGUAACUCAGUUUUUAUUCUAGGUUAAUCUGUAAAUUAAAUUUUAAAAUUAUAAUAAUUAUUAUUUUUAUUUUUAUAUUAAAUCAAAUCAAUUCAAAUUAACCCUCUUAUAAUCAUCCCUUAAAGUAAAUAAGGCACCGACCGACUUAUCUACCAUCAAUGAAAGAACCAAAAUAAUGAUCAGCACAUGUAUCAAGGACCCCACAUCAGAUGGGACCACCACCAUAACAUCCAAAAAGGAAGCCAUGUUUCUUUGGUACGGAAGGUUUUUCAAAAGAAAGCACGCCGUAGGGGUACCAAAGAUUCUUUCGAGGGCUUCCAUUUUCCGGUCAUUUAAUAAUUAAACAAACCAACUACACCUAAAAAGCGCUUCUUUGUCUGCAUCUGGGCUAACUUGUAGGCAAGCCAAUCACUUUCGUUACAGCGCGUGCCUACACUCCACCACCCCAAAUAUUAGCUGGAGGCCUUUUUUUUCUUUAUAAUCAUUUUCUUUUUUCUUGAUUUCACACUAAAAAAAAAAAAAAAAGUCAUGCAGGAACAUCGAAGGAAACUACCUCAUACUGCUCAAGUGGGUGAAGUAUGUCGUUGCCUAAAAGGUAGUGUGAAUGAAUUUAUAGCUCAAUUGAAUUUGAUCCCCCAUUUUAUGUAACUAUCUAUACAUCCCUUUUCAAGAUUAAUUUGGAAUUAGAAACUGUUUGAAUAAUCAUGUCUAUGUACUUGAAUCCUGUAUAAAUGAAUAAAAUAAAUUAAUAAUUAGAUAAAAACAAUUUGUCUGAUUACAAUAAAAAAAAAACAAGAGGAAAAACAGAGAGAACCAAGAAAAAUGGCGUGAGCUGUUGAAACCAUGUUUGAUUCUGUGUCAACAGUGCGUUUAGUUUAAAAAAUAUUAGAUUAAUGUGUAUUUUUUAUUUUUUUUAAUAAUUUUAAUACGCUGAUGUUAAAAAUAAAAAAAAAUUAAAUUAAAUAUUUUAAUAUAUUUUAAAAUAAACAUGAUAUCAAAAACAUAAAAAUUAAUGUCAAGUUAUCAGGUUUUUAGCCUAUCUUCACUCUUCACUCUUUUAAGCUUCCCCUGCCCAGCAUGCCUUUCAAUAAAUAAACAACAAGAUCACGUGGUAAUGGAAUGUUAAGAAAAUCUUACUUGGAGGCCCAUUUUGCAUGUACUUGAUUUUAUUCAUUCCAGAAUGUUUAUUUAAUAAUAAGGUCACGAGGAAGGGUAAUAUGCACUUUUCAACAAUGAUUUGUAUAUAUAAAAAAUUCUAAGUGAUAAAUAAAAGGCUAAUAUAUAUAUAUAUAUAUAUAUAUAUAUAUAUAUAUAUAUUAAAUUAAAUCAAUCAGGAACUAUACACGUUAAUAAAUUAAUAAAAAAUUAUUAAAGAUAAAUAAAGAUAAAAAUAAAAAAAAUUAAGAAGCAAAUAUAAAUCAAGAUAGUUGACCUUGCAACAUGGUUUUUUGAUCUGGUUGUGUUUAUUGACUUUGUUUAUCAAAAUUAAAUUUUUAUUUAACCAAAUGAUAAUAGAAAUAAACACACAUUAAAUUGAUUUACUUAAAACACUUAAAAACAUUGUAAGAAACUCAAAAAACCAUUUUAAAACCUGAAAUCAACCUAAAAUAAUAAUAAAAUUUUAAGUUUAGAUAUGUUAUUUUAGAUAAUUUUAAAAUAAAAAAUAUCUAAACUGAAAUUUUUUAUCAUAUAAAUUUAUUUAAAAAAAAAACUAUUUUUCCAAAAACCAUUUGCCCGACGGACUUUCCUCGUCUAUGGAAAGAAAACCUGCCAUUUUGCUAUGGCAUAUUCCAAUAAAAUUGCCAUGACAAUUCUACCAUAUGCAUCAUGCAUGAUGCAUCGUCAUGAUUAUAAGUGCCAUCUGUUCCUUGCACGAGUUAAAUGUGGUACACUAGCAUUAAUUCUCCGGGCCCACUCAUCACUCGCUAUAGCGAACUGAACUCUUGUAGGAGGAUUGGUAUAAAUUGACUUUAAUUUGGUCUUUUCUGUCUGUAUCUUUUUUACCUGAUAUUUUUUUCCAUAUCUAAUCUUCUAAGACUAAUUCAGGAAAGUAGAUGGAUUAUUAGAUCAACUUGUUGAAUUUAUAAGUCAUUAUAUCAACUCACGUGUCAUUAGAUGAAUUAUAUUUAUUAAAACAUUAUUUUUCUAUUAUUAUUUUUUUAAAACAAUAAAAUUGGUGUUAACCUCAUCAAAUUUAAACUGAAUCACGAAAAGUUGAGUAAAUUAGGUGUUGUCAAAUUAAUAUUUAAUUUAAGUCAACUACUAAAAGUAUAAUUCUGAGUUAUUUAUUGCUUCCGUGUUUCCGGGCAACCCAUUAGCCGGAAUUUAACAAUUAUACGCUUUUUUAAUUAGCUGGCUCUAUGGUAAUUCAAUAUAUUCUUCAUUAAUUUUAAGAUGUGAUAUUUUUUAUUUUUUAAACUUAUUUUAUGACAUCAGAAUAUUAAAAUAAUAUAAUAACAUAAAAAAUAAUUUUAAAAAAUCAUCUAAAAAGUAGCUGCUUAAACAACAUGUACGCUAACACUGAUACAUGUAUUGAAUCUUGGAGGAAUAUUGAAUCUUGGAGGAAUAAAAAAACAAAGAAUUUUUGAAUAAAGAAAGAAGGUGGAAAGAGAGAACUUAGGCCGAGGGUUCAUGCAAGUGGAGUGGGAUUCUAAAUUUUAUGGCAACAUCAAUGCCUUUUCUUCCUUUAUCCACGCCACCUAUCCUACUUGGAUUUUUUUUUAAACCUCGAUUAAUUAUACGGGUCCUGAAAUUAACAAUCAUGUAAACUUUCAGUGGCUAUCAUAUUAGCAACCACAAAACUCCAACUUGAUACCACAAAAGGAGUAAACCCUUUAAUCCCAAGCUCUUAUACUGGACCACCUACUAGAUGGUUAGUAUUUCAUUUUCUUUUUUGUUCAUAAGCUAGAUUGCAAAAGUUUUGAUAUUUGCUUUUUUUAUAUCACACCAUCCUUUUCUUCUACAGCUCUUUAGCUUGAUUUAUGGAAGAACUUGAAAACAUUAGGGCCACUCUGUGAUCAGCAGGAUAUAGGACUUAGUCUAUUUAGUUUUGAUUUACGUGGGACCAAUUUGUGGAGUUGGUUUAGAAGUGGCAUAGUGGGAGUAUCCUCUUUCGAUUUUUUUUAGUACUUUCUGUUCUGAGUUUUAUGGCUAUAAAUGCCAAGGUUAUUUUCAAUAAAGGGAGGCUUUAAAAAAAAACCCAGAAGAGACUCCUUCUCCCCUACUACUUUUCUUCUUUCUUAAAAUUUAUUCUUAUAGAUGGGAAAUUCUAGAUAAAAUUAAGAAGAAUUCUAGAGGGUGCGUUAAAAAAAAUAUUAUGUGAUCACCUAAGGUAGAUACAGAUUAUUGUGAAUUCAAUAAUAUUCUUUUUUGCCCUUUAAAUUUUUUUCCACUUCAAUCACAAGACAAAUUUAUUUUCAAUUUAUCCUUUUUGUGUUGUAUUGGUUGGGAAUUGGGAUCAAAGAUUUGUUUCAUAUUAUAUUUUAUAGAAUUGUUAUAGUGUUAUAUAACAUUAUUAUAAUAUUGGAUUGACACUCAAUUUUACAAAAACAAAUUGAAUGCUCGCAAAAAUAAAAUAAAAUUAGGGACUAAUUUAACCAUUAGGCAAGAAUGUUUUUUUUUUUUAACAAUCAUUCACCUUUCUAUCUAAAUAGUUUUUCCAAAAUCUUUUUUAGUUGCUGAACUAAGAUGUUUAGGACCAACUUCAUUUUCAUAAUAUUUAAAUCUCUGAAUUUGAGAGCAAAAAAAGUUACAUAAUAGGAUUAGGGAGAGAAAGCUACUUGUUUGCUAGAUUUUGACAAUAAAACAAGUUAAUCUUAGUUUCAAUAAAUGUGUUUUUCAACGAUGAAAGUCAUGUUGAGGUGUUUUUUUAGCCUAUAUCUUGCCUAAAAAAUUAAAUGGGCAUCUCUUCUCAAAUUCGAGUUGAUUUUUUACUUUUUUAAUUGAUUUUUUGCUAGUUGAAGAUAAAAAACAAAAAAAAAAGAUUUAUUAAGGUCUCUAUUAUAUUUCUUAAGUGUUUUCAAAUAAAAAAAUGAUUGAAAAUAAAUUUUGGUCCAAGGAAUUAGAAACAUGACUUUUUAGCCAUCCAAUAUAGUCGAUAUUGAUACUAAAAAUGACAUGUCAUCUUCCCGUAAUGAUUAUACAUCAUCUGUUAUUUUUUUUUAAAAAAAAUGUUAGAUAGAUAAUAUGUUAUUUUCCAAACUUAAAAACAAGAUUCAUAUAGAUAAACGAAGUGUCAUUUUUCAAGAGGUUUAUCCUUGGAAGUCCAAACACACCUUUGAGGUGCUUGAAAAGUCAACAAUCUUCUCAUUUGUUCUAUCAGCUUAAUUUCCCUACCUAAUUAAUGCAUAUGCAGCAUGAAAAGUUUACUUGAUCCAGAUCUCACAGCACAUUUUUACAAUCAGAUGCUGUGGGAUGUACCAUUGAAACGACAGGGAACCGAUUCCCUUACAUGUUGCCUUUCUUAUCAGAAAUUUCGCAGAAUUCUACCAAUAUUUACGUGCCCUGUUUCGCUACAAUUUGUAGUGUCUACAUCCUCAGAAUAUUACAACAAUGCCAUUGGCAUGAAAUGAUUUCCAUAAAGAAAAUGGUAACAGCUGUCAGCAGAAGUCAAGGCAGGAGAAUUUUCCAUAAAGAAGCUACAAAUUGUCGAGGCUGGCCUUAUCAUGUUAAGGUCACAUGGAUCAUAUCAAACCAUAUGAUGGAUUGUUUACAUUAUUAUUUUUAUUUUGAUUUUAAAUGGUUUUUUUUUUCAUUUCAUAAAACGCUGGUAAUGAAAUAGGCCUUGCCCAAUUGGAAUUGGAGAUGACUGUUGUCUUUAGUUUAUUGCUGUCGUGUGAAUAACUUAGAAACUAUGCUCUUAAUUUGUAUAUUUCUCUUGCCAUGCAUGUAUGAUCUUGAUCCUUAAUCAGUCAUAGAAAAUUAAUCAAUAAUUGUUGGAAUUUGGGUGUUAUCUUGAAGAAAUUUUAAAAUACUCAAUUAUUUUAGGUUAAAAGUAGGGAAAUCAAUUCUUAAAAAAACAAAAUAAAGAGAAAAUUCUCACAAUAAAUAAGCACAUAUCCAUUUUAUCUUUAAAUAAAUAUAUAUGCAUUUCAUGUAUGUUGUUUCUUAAUUUUUAGAUUGGAUAUUGAUUUUUGAUGCUUGCACACACAACAUAACAGUUUCAAUAUACACAUUAUCUUUAAGUUAGCAUGAGAAACAUAAGUUUCAUAUCUUCAAAUCUUUAAGUAUGAUAGGUUUGGUCUCUUACCAUUUCAUAUUUCAUAUGAAGUCUUAUCAAUAGAUUUUGAUGGAACCCUAUUUAAAGAUAAGCAAUAGUUUAUAAGGCAUAACCUCAGAAAAAAAAUGGAAAGUUUACAUAGCUCAUCAUGGACUAUAUCAUAUUCAAUAGGAUUUGAUUUCUAUUUUCAGAAAUUCUAUUAAGCUGUGGUGUUCCAAGAGGUUUCCAUUGUGAGAGAAUCCAAUGGUCUUUUAGAUAAUCUUGAAAUACUUGGCUCAAGUAUUCACCACCUCGAUCAGAUCAAAGUAUCUUAACACUAUCUUAAUUCUUUGAACUUUUUAAAUAGUUUAGACUUUCAUCAAAUACACAUGAUCAUAUCCAAUAUGAUAAUCAAUAAUGAAACAUGUAUAUCUAUCUAUGACAUGAAUUGUUACUGGUCUACAUACAUCUGUAUGUAUUAGACAUUAGAUCUAACAAUUUAUUAGGUUUAUAACAAUUUUCAAGAACAUAUACAUUCUUUUUUUUUUUACAACAAUUCUCAUAUUUCGGUAUUAGUCCAAAAAGUUCAAAUACAUUAAGAAUUUUUAUAUGUAUUUGUUGGAUUUCCUAAAACACAUAUAAAUGGUCAAAAUGGUAAAUUUAAUUUUUUUUUAGAGUCCCAAAAAUCCUGUUAUAUAGAUCUAGAGUUGUUUAGGAUUUAUAUGAAGAUUAUUUAAAGAUCAAAUAUUCUUUUCAACUUUGAAUAAUUGCUACAAGGUUGAGUUGUCACAAACCACAAAUGUCUAGUCUCUAACUGUAAUCAACAUGAACUAAUGCGAUCCAAACAACACCAAGAGAUCCGUUAAAGGUUCCAGUUUGUCCAGUGACAAAACUUAAGUCUAAGAGGUUCAAAGAGGCUUUCAAUAGAUUUCUACAAGACACAUGAGCCAAGGUGGACUCCAAGAAGAUUUUAAAUAAUAAAGAACAAACCUUGAUUAAUUUAAUUAAUGUUCAAGAAGGGCUUGUUGGUGGACAUUCAAACAUUACAAAAAGAUUG